Molecule: long non-coding RNA, 104180 nt
Filed under: Fragaria vesca (wild strawberry)
Lineage: Eukaryota; Viridiplantae; Streptophyta; Magnoliopsida; Rosales; Rosaceae
Description: long non-coding RNA (FVES_LNC001656)
Source: RNAcentral
UGUUAUAACAAGUCAAAACUGGUUGGGUAUCCAUACCUUAAGGCACACAAGUGGCACCCAACAAACAAUUUGAAUUAUGUUCUAGGAUAUUCUGUAUCUUUCUAGAUAUUCUUUAUGUGUGCCUUGGCCUUAUGCCAAUAGGAUAUGUAGUUUGACUAGAUCUAUGUAUUCUUAUCCUUACCAUAUUGGUAUUGUGUAAUUCCUUAUAUAAAGCCUCUUAUCAAUGAAUAAUACACACAUCUUUCACGAUUCUCUAUUCUGAAAUAUCUCUCACUUCAUUAUGUUAUCAUGCACAUUGUUCUAACCCUAGAGCCAAUAGGCCACAAUUUGUUUUCUAAACCCUAAAAACAAUUUUUUUUUCUUUUCAAACCAAAAGUUCCCGGCCCUGCCUCGGUCCCUACACUGUCGUUGCUCCCAACCCGUCGCUUCCCAGCCGUCAGCUCCGCCUUCUUUUCUGGUUUCGCCGAUCAAGCUUUAGAUCAAGAAAUCCGAGUAGUUUGAAGAAAUUUUACGGUAUGUUUUAAAUCCUAAACUCUUCAAAGUUCAAUAAGGGGAGAUAAAGUGUUUUCUCCCUUUCUCCAUCUCCAUUCUAUGGUUGGGAUUUUGUGCGUGCAGGUACCAAAACCCCAGAAUUUUAUUCGCGGGUCAAGAGUAUGUUUGAUCACUCUUGCUUCCUUGUUCGGGUUCUAUAUGAUCAACCUCGACCUUUCUCCGGAUUGUGUUUGAUCAAUCCGAGCCCUUUGUCGAAUUGUGUUUGAUCAAUUAGCGGCUUUUCCGUAUUAUGUAUGAUCAAUCCGAAGGACAAACCAUUAAAAGCAUUGUUUGUGACCUCUAUCGAGUCUCAUAACAGCUUGGUUUUGUAUGCAAGAGCAACGUAACAUUCUGCUCCUUUAAGUUUUGACGUACUCGAUACCUAAGGCGAAUCUUUGCUUGGUAGCUGUGGAACCUUUCAUUGGAAAAGAUUAAACCACAUGUUUGACCCCCAGGCUAACAAGCCUAGAUGCCGAGAUUUCACAUCUCAUGCGCUCAAACUCUUUGACACGCCACAUCGACAAAAGCCUUCAAUGGCAAUCUGUACAAAAAGUAAUGACCACAAAGUACUGUGGAAUUGACACGACCCACCUCGAAUUUCACCCUGAAACCCGGAGUAAGUGGUGCGGGGACCACCUCCAAGAAAGAUAUUACCGAAAAAUCGGCAUAACCUCCCUUGAAAAUGGACAACCCUUCUUAAAGAAAACCUGCAAACACUUCCAAAAAUUUUAAUCCAACCUUAACUCCUGGAGCCUACGUGCUCCCCAAAUACAACUACCACCAACAACACAACAUUAUCCAAACAUCAAAUAUAAUUAUCCAAAAGAUAACAUAAAUCCUCCAACAAAUAUUCUAAGACGUCAACAAGUCUUCACCCACAACCGAAAUAAUACACAUUAAACCCAAGUAUUCAGAGCUACUAACACUAGCGGAAAAAGAAACCACAGGUAGGUUAAAUAGGUAACCUACUGAUGAAAAGUGGUGGAAAUGCGGGUGACUAUGCCUCGUCUCCUACUAGGUCCAACCCGAACUCUGCAGACUGGGCAUUUUAAAACGAAGGGCCUAGGGGAAACAUUUGAACACGUUAGAGUGAGUGGACAAAAAUAAAAUAAAUGAAAUAAUUCUUUAUGCUUUCCCAAUUUUAUUUUUCCAUAGAAAAAUAUGCUGCAUGCGACAGCUCAAAACACUCAACACGAAAACUGGAAAUUUCAUGACUAGCUCCGGCCAGUCUCUAACGCUCAAUAAAAUACAGCCUCUCAGGCUAAAAUAAAAUAUGUAUGUAUUACACUCGUCAUAUCCCUUGUAUGAAUUUUCUUGAAACAACAAAAACAAAUAGAAAAUUCACACAAGGCUACGACGCUUGCGUCUAACGCUCACGUCGCACCAUAAUGGCAUUUUACCUCAUUAUGGUGGAAAGACGGUGUAUAAAUAUACGCGCAUAUCCCCUAUAUAAAUUAUUAUUUUUAUAUAGGGCUACGAUGAUUGCGUCUAACGCUCACGUCGCACCAAAAUGGAAUUUUACCUCAGUAUGGUGGAAAAGCACGUAUAGCUAGCUAGCAUUCUCUCAUAUACAUAUUAUUCUCAUAAUCAUCCACAUAUGGAUAUAUAUAUAUAUAUAUACUCACCGAAAUUUUCAAUUUCGGUUAUUCUCCAACAACAUAAAUUAUUUCGCAUGCACAUUAUUUAAAACAAAAGUCCACUCACAAAUUAGGCCUAAGCCUGAUGUCGAUCUGGGGCCUCGUCAGCUCGAGCCUCCUCACGACCUGUUCCAAAUAUAAUAUUAAGUUCCCAAUUAACAAUCCAAUAAUUAAUCAAAAUAGGCAAAAUUACCCGAGAGCCAUAAACACGCUCAUCAUUACCUAACUUCGAUAUUCUUGAAUCGGAACGAUCCGAACUUAAAUAUCAUCCUCGACAGUCGUAAAUAUAACCUCCCAAAAAUACGACUUAAAUCUUACGGCCGGAUUCUACAUUAAUUAACCGCCAAAAAUACCAAACUUCGGAAAUUCACAAACCUAUCCAAAUCUCAUCCAAAAAUUCCAUAAAUCACCUCAAUAUAAUCCCCUUAAUAUUCCACAUUUAAAACCCUAAAAAUCUCCCAAACCGGCAGCGGCUCCGCAGGCAGCGGCGGUCGGAGGCUAAAAUCAGCGACCUCCAAUUCCUAUGAAAUUUUAACAGCAUCUUACUCUCAUCAUGCUCUACAACUUUCCUAACUAGCACAAACCCAAAAUCCAAGCCUAGCUAUGCCAAUCGAACAAAAACAUCAAAAACGCCCUAGAGCUUCCACCUCAAAUUUCUCCUUACCUGAAGCAAACCGGAGUGAGUCCUUUUAGGGCAAGGCAGCUGGGUUGGAGACCUACAAAACCAUACCAAGCUUGCCCGGAUUGGUGGCCCGAGGAGGGAAUUCCGGCGAAAAGCUUCCCGGCGUCUCCGGCGAGUUUUCUCUUCUUCCAGCGGGCUAACGGCUCGGGGGCUAGGUCGGGGAGGGAGAGGAGGAGAUCGGGGUCCGAACUGGGGUGGAGCGGCGGCCGGUGGCUGGCCGGACGGCGGCAGACGGCGGCUGGACGAUCCGGCGGGGAGGAAGACUCGGGGGGGGGGCGCUGAAGGGAAAAACGGGAGAGAAGGGAGGGAAAAGGGUUGGGCCUCUCCAACCGGUCCACUCCCCAUUAUACCCAACUCCCACAAAAAUAAAACACCCCGAAAAAUAAUACCCGAAUAAAAAUUACCUUUUACUAGCUAAAAUUUACUAUUUUUACCGUCGUCGUAUUUUCCUCAUACGAAUAAUCCUCCGCACAUAAUCGUCCCCGAAACCCCUCUAGGGACCAAUUAAACUAUUAACUAAAUGAUCGAGACGGUAAAAUUCUUAUUAUAAUCAUGCUAGUAAAUAAGGUAAAAAUAUAAGGGUCGGGAUGUGACAGGAAUGUACUCUACUUGUUGACACGACCCACCCCGAAUUUCACCCUGAAACCCGGAGUAAGUCGUGCGGGGACCACCUCUAAGGAAAAUUUACUGAAAAGAUUAAGAAAAUCUCCCUUGCAGAUGGACAACCCUAACUCGAAAAUUCCAAAUUACACUCUUAAUUCAACACGUCCAAACAUCACAUAAUUAUCCUUCAGAAAUUCUACGCAUAAUAUACAAUAAUCCCAAAGUAUUCAGAGCUACUAAACACUAGCGGAAGCAAGAAAACACGAGUAGGUUGAACAGGUAACCUACUGACGAAAACUGGCAGAAAUGCGGGUGACUAUGCCUCGCCUCCUACUAGAUCCAACCCGAACUCUGCAGACUGGGCAAUUUAAAACGAAGGGCCCAGGGGAAAACAUUUAAUAACGUUAGAGUGAGUGGACAAAAAUAAAAUAAUAAAUAAAAUAUUUAUGUUUCCCCAAAUUAAUUUCUAAGGAAAAAUCGAAUGCAUGCCGCAAGCGAUAAAACUUUUAUCUCAUAAAAUAUUGAGCCUCUCAGACUCUAUAAUAUAUGUAUGUAUUUACACUCGUCCAUACUCCCUAUAUAAAUUCAUGGGUCUAUAUAGGGCUACUACGCUCGCGUCCAACGCUCACGUCACGCCUUAAUGCGGUGCUACACUACGCCAUCAAGGUGGACAGACGGGUGUAUAAAUAUGUGUCCAUACCCCUAUAUGAAUUAAACACACAAAUAGGGCUACUACGCUCACGUCCAACGCUCACGUCACACCAUAAUGCGGCUAUAUGCUACGCCAUUAAGGUGGACAGACACAUAUGGCUAGCUAACAUUUAUAUACAUACUCUCUCAUAAAUACAUAUUUAUAUCCACCGAAAAUCCCAUUUUCGGUAACUCUCCAAGAGAAAUAAAAAUCGUCAAAUUAAAAUGACAUUAAAAUAUUCUGCAACAUUAAUUGUUCAACCAUGAACUAUAGCAUGCAUUUAUAUAAAAUAAAUGUCCACUCACAAAUUAGGCCUAAGCCUGAUGUCGAUCUGGGGCCUCGUCUGCUCGAGCCUCCUCACGUCCUGUUCCAAAUAUAAUAUUAAUUUCCCAACCAAUAAUCCAAUAUUUAAUCAAAAUAGGCAAAAUUACCCGAGAGCCAUAAAUACGCUCAUCAUUGCCUAACUUCAAUAUUCUUAAAUCGGAACGAUCCGAACUUAAAUAUCAUCCUCAACAGUCGUAAAUACAACCUCCCCAAAAUACGACUUAAAUCCUACGGCCGGAUUUUACAUUAAUUAACCGCCAAAAAUACUAAACUUCGGAAAUUCACAAACCUAUCCAAAUCUCCUCCAAAAAUUCCAUAAAUCACAUCAAUAUACUCCUCUUAAUAUUCCACACUUAAUACCCUAAAAAUCUCUUAACCGGCGGCGGCGCCGCCGGCGGCUCCGCCGGCAGCGGCGGCCGGAGUCCAAUUCCGGCCACCUCCAAAACCUAUGAAAUUUUGACAGAAUAAUCUCCUCAUCAUGCUCUACAACUUUCUUAACCAGUACAUUACCCAAUUCCAAGCCUAACUAGGCUAAUCGAACGAAAACAUCCUAAAAGCCCUAGAAAAUUCAACUCCACAUUUCUCCUUACCUAGCUCAAGAGGGAGUGAGCUGAUUGGAGGGGUUGCUGCACGGGAGGAGGGCUACAAAACGAGCCAGGGAUCGCCGGUUUUGGUGGCCAGAGGAGGGAGUUCCGACGGCCGGAAGUUCGGGGCAGCCUAGCCUUUCGGGCGGCACCGCUCUCUCACGGCGGCGCUAGGGGGGCUGUCACCGGUCCUGGAAGAUAGCUGGGUCGGAGGGCAACCGAACGGGACCGGAGCGGCGGCAGAUGGUGGCCGGACGGCGGCGUACGGACGGCGAGAAGUUUCCAGCGGGGGAGAGGCUCGGGAGGAAAACGGGAAGAAGAGAGGAAGAAAAAGAAAAAGUGAGGGUUGGGUUUGGGCCUGACCAACCAGGUCCAUCACCUAUAUAACAACCCAAUUCCAAAAAUAAAACACCCCGAAAAAUAACACCCGAAUAAAAAUUACCUUUUACUAGCUAAAAUUUACCAUUUUUACCGUCGUCGAAAUUUUCUUUUACGAAUAAUCCUCCGCACAUAAUCGUCCCCGAAACCCUUCUAGGGACCAAUUAAAUUAUUAACUCAAUGACGGAGACGGUAAAAUUCUUAUUAUAAUCAGGCUAGUAAAUAAGGUAAAAAUAUAAGGGUCGGGAUGUGACAAUUCUCCCCUCCUUAUAAAAAUUUCGUCCUCGAAAUUUACAUACCUGUCAUUCGAAGAGAUAGGGAUAUUGCUGCAUCAUUUGCUCCUCCGAUUCCAAAGUAGCUUCUUUUACUUGAUGACUUCUCCAAAGCACCUUGACAAGUGGGAUUGUCUUAUUCCUAAGCACUUGCUCCUUUCGGUCGAGAAUCUGAACCGGUUCCUCUUCAUAGGUCAAAUCUCUCAUCAAACUGAUCGGCUGCUCUUGCAGCACAUGAGAAGGAUCGGCAAUAUACUUGCAAAGCAUGGAUACAUGAAACACAUUAUGUAUCCUAGCUAACUCUGGAGGCAAAAGUAGCCGGUAAGCAAGUGAGCCAACUCGCUCAAUAAUCUCAUAAGGGCCAAUAUACCUCGGACUGAGCUUCCCACGCUUACCGAAACGCACAACCCCUUUCCAAGGAGAUAAUUUCAGGAACACCUAAUCACCCACUUGAAAUUCAAGAUCUCUCCUACGGACAUCCGCAUAACUCUUCUGCCUACUUUGAGCAGUCUUGAGUCUAUCUCUAACCACUUUAAUCUUCUCAUUCGUACAUNNNNNNNNNNNNNNNNNNNNNNNNNNNNNNNNNNNNNNNNNNNNNNNNNNNNNNNNNNNNNNNNNNNNNNNNNNNNNNNNNNNNNNNNNNNNNNNNNNNNNNNNNNNNNNNNNNNNNNNNNNNNNNNNNNNNNNNNNNNNNNNNNNNNNNNNNNNNNNNNNNNNNNNNNNNNNNNNNNNNNNNNNNNNNNNNNNNNNNNNNNNNNNNNNNNNNNNNNNNNNNNNNNNNNNNNNNNNNNNNNNNNNNNNNNNNNNNNNNNNNNNNNNNNNNNNNNNNNNNNNNNNNNNNNNNNNNNNNNNNNNNNNNNNNNNNNNNNNNNNNNNNNNNNNNNNNNNNNNNNNNNNNNNNNNNNNNNNNNNNNNNNNNNNNNNNNNNNNNNNNNNNNNNNNNNNNNNNNNNNNNNNNNNNNNNNNNNNNNNNNNNNNNNNNNNNNNNNNNNNNNNNNNNNNNNNNNNNNNNNNNNNNNNNNNNNNNNNNNNNNNNNNNNNNNNNNNNNNNNNNNNNNNNNNNNNNNNNNNNNNNNNNNNNNNNNNNNNNNNNNNNNNNNNNNNNNNNNNNNNNNNNNNNNNNNNNNNNNNNNNNNNNNNNNNNNNNNNNNNNNNNNNNNNNNNNNNNNNNNNNNNNNNNNNNNNNNNNNNNNNNNNNNNNNNNNNNNNNNNNNNNNNNNNNNNNNNNNNNNNNNNNNNNNNNNNNNNNNNNNNNNNUUUUAUCCCAACUCCCUCUGAACUGCAUGGCACAAGCCCUCAACAUAUCCUCCAAAGUCUGAAUAGUCCUCUCGGACUGCCCAUCAGUCUGAGGAUGAAAAGCAGUGCUGAAGAGUAAUUGGGUACCUAAAGCUGCCUGAAGAGCUCCCCAGAAUUUAGAAGCAAAUCGAGGAUCCCGAUCUGACACUAUUGAUUCAGGAACACCAUGAAGCCUCACAAUUUCAUUCACAUAAAGCUCCGCCAAUGUAUCCAAUUUAUACUUUUUCCCACUGGCAAGAAAUGUGCAGAUUUGGUGAGUCUAUCCACAAUCACCCAAAUACCGUCAUGCCCUUCACGGGUAUGAGGUAAACUAAAAACAAAAUCCAUGUUGAUGUGGUCCCACUUCCACACUGGAAUAGGCAACGGCUCAAGCAACCCAGAAGGCUUCUGCCUUUCAGCCUUGACUUGUUGAAAAAUCAGACAUCUACUCACAUAAGCUGCAAUUUCCCUCUUCAUGUUUGGCCACCAAUAAUAAUCCUUCAAAAUCCGAUACAUUUUUGUGCUACCCGGAUGAGCAGCAUAUGCAGAGCUAUGAGCUUCCUCCAUAAUCUCACUUCAACUCUUCAUUUCUUUUUGGAACACAUAGCCGGUUCUUAAACAAUAGAGUCCCAUCUCUUCUAACUGAAAAAAAGAUCGGCUGCGGCUCCAUUCGAAGCUCUUUCCAUCAAUCGAACUAUGGAAGGAUCAUUAUACUGUGCUUCCCGCACUCUAUCAACCAAAACUGGCCUCACAUGAAAACUGGCUAUCAAAGCACCUACCUCAUCCACUGAUAAAUCCACUCCUGUAGCUCGCAACUCACAAAGAAGCGGAACAUGAACCAUCUUUAUAUGAGAUAAAGAUAUGGAGGGAUUUCGAUUAAGAGCAUCAGCUACCACAUUAGUUUUUCCAAGAUGAUACUCAAUAGUGCAAUCAUAAUCAUUGAUUAACUCCAUCCACCUUCUUUGUCUCAUAUUAAGCUCUCUUUGAGUGAACACAUACCGAAGACUCUUGUGAUCGGUAAAUAUCUGACACUUGGCUCCAUAAAGAUAGUGUCUCCACAACUUGAGAGCAAAAACUACCGCUGCAAGCUCCAGAUCAUGAGUAGGAUAAUUCCCCUCAUGCGGCUUCAAUUGCCUAGAAGCGUAGGCAAUUACUCGAUCAUGCUGCAUCAAAACUCCACCUAGACCACGUCUAUAAGCAUCACAAAAAACCACAUACUCUCCACUAUCAUCCGGAAGUGCCAAAACAGGAGCACUUGUUAAGCAAUUCUUCAAUUCUUGGAAACUUUGCUCACAUUGAUCUGACCAUUCAAACUUAACCCCCUUCCUGGUCAAUCUUGUGAGAGGAGCAGCAAUAUAUGAAAAAUCUUUCACAAAGCGCCGAUAAUAACCUGCUAAUCCCAAAAAACUACGAAUCUCCGUCACAGUGGUGGGUCUUCUCCAAUUCGACACUGCUUCCACCUUUUGGGGAUCCACACUAACUCCUUCUGCGGAAAUCACAUGACCCAAGAAUCCCACUUUAUCUAGCCAAAACUCACACUUGCUAAACUUAGCAAAUAACUGCGACUUUUCCAAAGUCCGCAAUAUUAUUCUUAGAUGCUUGGCAUGCUCCUUCUCACUUCUUGAGUAAACCAAUAUGUCAUCUAUGAAUACGAUCACGAAACGAUUAAGGUAUGGACUAAACACCCUAUUCAUGAGAUCCGUGAACGCCGCGGGUGCAUUAAUAAGUCCAAAUGGCAUCACGACAAACUCAUAAUGACCAUAUCGUGACCGAAAAGCAGUCUUGGCUAUGUCCCCCUCUCGGAUCCGCAACUGAUGAUAACCCGAUCUCAAAUCAAUCUUAGAGAAAACAGAGGCACCCCUCAACUGAUCAAACAAAUCAUCGAUCCGAGGCAACGGAUAUAUAUUCUUCACUGUGACCUGAUUCAACUUCCUAUAAUCAAUGCAUAGUCUCAUGGUGCCCUCUUUCUUCUUAUCAAACAACACCGGAGCACCCCAUGGAGACAUGCUAGGCCGAAUAAAACCCUUAUCUACCAACUCCUGCAAUUGAGUCUUCAACUCUUUCAAUUCCGCUGGAGCCAUUCUGUAAGGCGCCUGAGAGAUAGGCAUAGUUCCGGGAAGUAAUUCUAUAGAGAAGUCUAUCUCCCUUGCAGGAGGCAAACCAGGCAACUCCUCAGGAAAAACAUUCGGAAACUCUCCUACUUCUGGAAUAUCUUCUAAUCCCACAACUCCCAUACUUGUAUCCACCACAUGAGCUAAAAAUGCCUGACAGCCUUUACUCAACAAUUUCCUUGCAGCAACAGCGGAAAUUAUGCAACUAGAAAUAACAUCUCUUUCCCCUUGGAAAGCAACCUCAAAACCAUCUCGACUUCGAAGCACCACUACUUUUUGAAAACAAUCUACCAUAGCUCUAUAUGCUUCCAAAAAGUCCAUUCCCAAGAUCACAUCAAACUCCACUAUAUCUAAAGGAAUUAAAUCAGCCUCGAAAUUAACUCCUUCCACUAAAACUUCACAGCCACUAAAUACCCAAUUUAUUCUCAUCACCUCACCGGAGGGUAGAGACACAUGCCACUCGCCUGGAAGAGACGAUGAUGGUACAUUGGCAUGGAGGGCAAAUCUACUAGACAUGAAUGAAUGCGUGGCUCCGGGAUCAAUUAAAGUAAAACCAGGCUGACCAAAAAUUAAUAACGUACCAAUGAUGACAUCUGGAGAAGUACGACCCUCCUGCUGGGUCAUAGCAUGCAGUCUAGCGUGAGUCAUGGGACGUCCACGCUGACCACUUCCCCGCUGAGAGCCACCUCUAACCGAAACACUGCCCUGGGCACCACUACUAGAGCCUCCAGCUGAAGACUGACCAACUGGCUGAGUAGGGGUGGGAGUGGUCCUCUGAGCCAACAAUGGGCAAUCUCUCCUGAAGUGGUCCUGACCACCACACUCAAAGCACCCAGAAAACUGCUGCUGCUACCCAUAUGAAAAAGUCUGGCUACCGGAUGACCCACCAUGGAAACUGCCACCCGAACCAUACUGCCCAGACUGCUGCCUACCCAACUUACUCCUAGUAGGUCUCCUGUGACGUCCUCUAACCCUGAACCGAGAAUUAGAACCUGAUCCCCCACUACUGCCACUACCAGCUGAUGAACCUGAAGCGGAUGAUGAAGCAGCUUUCUUGGAUGGACCCUGACUGGGGCCACCGAAAUCUCAUGGCCGAGCACUAUAAAUCCCCAUAGACUCAAUGGCCAUGGCUGCAUGAACAGCGUCAGAGAAAGUCGGGUAAUAAACACCCGUCAUUUUAUCUGCAAACACUCCACCAAGUGCCCCAAUGAACAUCUUCAUCCUGGUCCUCUCAUCAGGAACCAGAUAUGACACAUGAUAGCUCAGGGAAGUGAAUCUCUCCUGGAACUCUAUAACACCCUCAUCAUCCCUCUUCUUCAUAUUCAGGAAAUCCGACUGAAUUCUGCUGCGGUGGGCAGGACUGAAAUAUUGCCCCAAGAAAAGCGUCUUAAACUGCUCCCACGACAUAUUCAGAGCAUCCUCAACAUUCCUGCUAGCGAGCGACCACUAGUGAUGUCGCUGAAUCAUCCAGGAAAGUCACUGCCAUCUUCUUCAUAUUCAGGAAAUCCGACUGAAUUCUGCUGCGGUGGGCAGGACUGAAAUACUGUCCCAAGAAAAGCGUCUUAAACUGCUCCCACGACAUAUUCAGAGCAUCCUCAACAUUCCUGCUAGCGAGCGACCACUAGUGAUGUGCUGAAUCAUCCAGGAAAGUCACUGCCAUCUUCACCUUCCUUUCUUCUGGCAAAUCUGUGCUCGCAAAAGCCUUUUUCAUUUUGUCCACCCAAGUAUAAGCAUCAAGGGGUCCCAUGGCACCCUUGAACUCUCUUGCUCCAGCCUCAUAAACUUCUCUCCUCUUCACUGCAUGAGGGUGUGGAGCUCGAUCUAUGACAUCCCUCAGCAUAUUUCCAAUAUCAUCAACCAGUCCCCUGACCUCAUUGCCCUCAUCGGCAUUGGUCGAAGUAGCCACACGGGGUUGCCGUGGGCGCCUAGGAGGCAUAGUACCUGAGGAAGAAGAAAUUUAGUAGUCCAUAAACAAGACUAACACAACAAUCACAUAUACCCAAUAACACAUAGCAUCAAAAGCAUAAAAUGCCAAUGAAUCCGCCGCGGUCGGAUCAUCACUCUAUAGACACUACGUGCUACUUAGGCAAAUAUGAUAGUGACAAGGAAGCCGGAAAAGGAAACCUAUAGCUCUGAUACCAACUGACACGACCCACCCCGAAUUUCACCCUGAAACCCGGAGUAAGUCUUGCGGGGACCACCUCCAAGAAAAAUUUACUGAAAAGAUUAAGAAAAUCUCCCUUGUAGAUGGACAACCCUAACUCGAAAAUUCCAAAUUGCCUAACUUCGAUAUUCUUAAAUCGGAACGAUCCGAACUUAAAUAUCAUACUUAACAGUCGUAAAUACAACCUCCCCAAAAUACGACUUAAAUCCUACGGCCGGAUUCUACAUUAAUUAACCGCCAAAAAUACCAAACUUCGGAAAUUCACAAACCUAUCCAAAUCUCAUCCAAAAAUUCCAUAAAUCACAUCAAUAUACUCCUCUUAAUAUUCCACACUUAAUACCCUAAAAAUCUCUUAACCGGCGGCGGCGCCGCCAGCGGCUCCGCGGGCAACGGCGGCCGGAGGCCAAUUCCGGCGACCUCCAAAACCUAUGAAAUUUUGACAGAAUAAUCUCCUCAUCAUGCUCUACAACUUUCUUAACGAGCACAUUACCCAAUUCCAAGCCUAACUAGGCUAAUCGAACGAAGACAUCCUAAAAGCCCUAGAAAAUUCAACUCCACAUUUCUCCUUACUUAGCUCAAGAGGGAGUGAGCUGAUUGGAGGGGUUGCUGCACGGGAGGAGGGCUACAAAAACGAGCCAAGGAUCGCUGGUUUUGGUGGCCGGGGGAGGGAGUUCCGACGGCCGGAAGUUCGGGGCAGCCUUGCCUUUCGGGCGGCACCGCUCUCUCACGGCGGCGCUAGGGUGGCUGUCACCGGUCCUGGAAGAUAGCUGGGUCGAAGGGCAACCGAACGGGACCGGAGCGGCGGCAGAUGGUGGCCGGACGGCGGCGUACGGACGGCGAGAAGUUUCCGACGGAGGAGAGGCUCGGGAGGAAACCGGGAAGAAGAGAGGAAGAAAAAGAAACAGUGAGGGCUGGGUUUGGGCCUGACCAACCCGGUCCAUCACCUAUAUAACAACCCAAUUCCAAAAAUAAAACACCCCGAAAAAUAACACCCGAAUAAAAAUUACCUUUUACUAGCUAAAAUUUACCAUUUUUACCGUCGUCGAAAUUUUCUCUUACGAAUAAUCCUCCGCACAUAAACGUCCCCGAAACCCUUCUAGGGACCAAUUAAACUAUUAACUCAAUGACGGAGACGGUAAAAUUCUUAUUAUAAUCAGGCUAGUAAAUAAGGUAAAAAUAUAAGGGUCGGGAUGUGACACUUGUUGAGUUAUUAGUCAUGUGGAUUGCUUACCACCUUAAUUGACUACAUAUUGUCGAUGAACUUUUAUGGCAUCAUGAUCCAUAAUUUUUAGCGGAUUCGAUCAUCAUCAAGUUCUCUAGGUCCUCCAAGUUGGUUUGGAAUUACCAACGGGACUUGAUUUUUAUCAUACAAUUGCAAACAGGAAUUGUAUAUACGCUAAUGUGAUAAACAUAUUUGACAUUAUCCCCUAAUAUGGGGACAACAAUAUGGGUCAUGUCAACGGCAUAAAAUGCCAUGCCGAUGUCUAGAAAAGAGGGGGAGGUGUCGCCGGCCCUAAUGGCGACACUCCCGGUCUAGACAUCAAUCUGUCAAAACUACUCACGUCCGCUUAUGACAAUGCAACCAUUGUGGAUCUCCGGAUCGUUGGUUGAAGAGUUAUCGAGCUAUCCUUCAAAUUGUUAAUGCAUACAAAAGGGUACAGAAAAUCAAUAUGAGGAGAAGAACGUCAUCCUCAUGAUCGCGGAUUUCAAAGAUUCGGAUCCUGCUCUAGCUACCCAUGACUUUGACGUCAUUGGCUAGACAUUGAUUUUCUUUCCAAGCUAUAUGUAAUACAGCGUCGUAUCGACGUCCUUCGUCUAUUUGAGACCUCGAUGUACUCACAUUAGCAAUAAUGAAUGCCUUGAGAAUUUUUUUUUCGAAGUGAAACUAUUCUCCUCUUAUGGUUCGUAUUGAUUUACAAAAAAUAUAUACAUUCUUACAUCGUCCUUAGAAACAUGGCAUAUUGUGCCAUUUUGGUCCCUUCCUUUGAAGGUGACUCAUGGCACCGCAUCCUCAAGGAGGAUCGCCCACGUGUUUCCGGUUGAGUCUUCUACCCUAUAGCGGAUUUUCCAUCAUCAAUUGUUCAACUAGGCUCAUCUAAGUUCAGUGUGAUGUCUUAGAAUUGUCCGAAAUUAAGAAGAUAGUGGUUUAAGUGUGCCUCGCACUACCGACCCUCUACGGACAAGCCUGGUCAUACUGAUUUGGAGUUACCGAAAGCUUUUGAUUUUGGAUCCCCGUACGCUAUUAAACCAAUUGUCGUCUUGCAAAAGAUGUUGAAGACUUAUCAAAACCGGACAAUCAUCAUCAUGAUCGAAUCCUCUAGGUCUUCUGAGUUAGUUUAUGUUCAUGUCAAGGAGCUUUUGCUAACUAGUCAUGGAGUUUACGACCUUGGAACGACUGAAAGGACUUGAUUUUGAUCAUGCACACAUCACUUUUGGCUAAGGCAAAAGCCUACAUGCAACCUGCAAGCUUCACAGCUUCGCACAUGCCAAUUCUGCGAAAAACAGCAAUCUGUCUCUUCUAGACAGUCAACUUCGUUUGAGCUUUGUGAACAGCUCUGGACGAACUAGAUAGUGAGCUUUAUAUCAUUGGAAAGCUCUACGAGUCUAGUUUUCAGAACCUUUCGCGGUUCAUCCAUAUCUAUUUUAACAAAGAAGUUAUGGCUGUUUUAGUGCGCAAAAGUCAUUCCGCACGGAAAUUUUAAUGCACUCUCAGGAUUGCAGCUUUUUGUAGCUUCUUUCAAUCCUUCUAAAUGGUUCAAGUGGAACUAUUUACUCUCCUAUCUACUCCAUUUUGUACAUCUGUCUCAUAGAGACAUUAAGUGCUUCGCAAACAGUGGAACUAUUCACAACAUUCUAAGGAACCGGCAACUAUCUUUGGAUAUUAUGCCUUUGUAAAUCUUCUGUAUUGAGAGACACGGUUUAGCUUGAAUUUUGAUGCCUCAUGGCACCAUGAUCAACGUCACAGAUGCCCUCUAUGCAUUGAGAGGCAACCGAACCAUGUUGAGCUUUAAAGACAUUCUUGCUAAUAGUUUUUAUUUGAAAACACAUUAUGAGAAUGAACAAGAAUUCUUUUGUGUAUACAUUCUCAUGAAUGUGGACUGAAAUGCAUCUUGGAGAAGUUCAUGAGUCAAUUUAAUGGAUUGUAUGUCACUACGAUUCGAGUAUCGAAUCCCAUGUUGUCGCCAAACAUGAUAUUUGGGACACCGACUCAUAGAGGCUUUGGUUUGACCAAAUCGGUCAACCUCGAAGAGAUAUAAUGGUCCAAAUUUUGAGAAACAUCCAUUCUUCUGCUCAAAACGAAGACAUUCGGGAUCUAACAUCACCAUGAAGCAUGGUGGUGACCCAGGGGACAUUUGUAACACCCCGGACCAAAUUCUACCUAUUUACUAGGUAUUCUACGAGUUACUGAAGAAUUUAACUGUGUUCGGUAAUUUGGUAAUUUAACACUCGAGUUUAUUGUUGAGUUUUUCUUAAAAUGUUAAAUUCCUCUUUUAAGGCCUCGAUAUAGUAGUACGUGUCGACACAGGUUCAACAGUGGCAUUGGAUUAUUUGUUGGAGCUUCGAGUUAUUUUUUCUAUUAUUUAUUAGAGGUUUGGUUUUAGAAAUUUAUUUUCUCGGAAGAAAAUAACUUUUAUCCGGGCUUCCAUUAGGGUUUUGAUAUGAGUUGUAGAAUUUAAGCUUAAAAGGUAAAGAGGAGGUUGACCCAGUCAAAGAACCCAACUCGGGUUUGACCGAGCCCAACAGAGUCUCCUCCUUCUCUCUCACUUCUCUCUCGUCGUUCGCCUUCUCCGGCGCAAUGGCGACGAUUCCGAGCACCUCCCACAGCGUAACUACCACCAAAAUAUUCUUCUCUUCAAUCUCUACAAAACCCAUACCUCAGUUCACACAGGCAUCCACAUACGAGGGAGAUCGAUGUCGAAGAGGCACGGCUGUGUUUCUCGUUUUCCGGCGAGCUCCGACGGCGACGGCGAUAGUGAGGGGUAGGAUUCUUCUCCUUUUUCCUUCUUCUCCCUUCCUAUGUCUUUAAUCUUUUGAUUCGUGCCCUAAUCAGAGGAACCCUUUUCUCCUGUUUUUGGGUUUUCACGGCGUAUCUCCGGCGACCGAGUUCUUGCCGUUUCCGACCUCUUCUCCAUGUUCCGACAAGCAAGGCUACUUCUUGGCAGACCCAGUGGCCGAGUGGAGGAGGUGGUUGGAGUUUGGUAGCAGAUGGGGUUCUUCUGGUUGGGACAGUGAGAGGCAGAGGGCUGCAGGUCGGUCUCCGGCAAGGAGAAGUUUCUGGGUUGGGGUUUUGAGCGGACUGAAGGUAAAGGUUAAAAAUCUGAGCUGCUGUGUUGUUGCUAUGUUGUGCUUAUUGUGUUGUUUAGGUGUUGAUUCGGCUGUUUCCUUUGUGAUAUGUCGAGAACUUGGUGUUUUGAAGAACACGGGGAGGUUAUGGCCAUUUUCUGGUGAGUGGCCGGAAUCCGGUAGAAUAUUCCGGCAAGUCGCCGGAAUCCGACGAAGGCAGUAAUUUUGGAAGAAGGUGAUGAGGUAGUUAUCGACGUUUUUCCUUUCUGAUUUGUAUCGUUUCAGAAAUGGAAAGUUUGUCGGUUUGUAAUCGGAAAUCUUUCUAAGGGAGGAAAGUUUCUAUUUUAGGAAACUUUCCCUUUUUUGGAAGCUUCCUAUUUAUGGAAACCCAUUUGGGUGCCCUUAGUAAAUUUUGGAAGUAAAUUGGUUGUUGUAUUAAAGGCAUGGAAAUUGAUUAUGACUUCGAUUCCAAGUUAAGGUUUUGUUUAGAGGCAACGUUCGAGGAGUAUUCCAAGCAUUAUAUUGAGAAGUUUAAGCCUAACACUGUGAGUGGACAUUUUGGUUUUUCUUAAAUAUGCGUGCAUGACUUUAUAAAUUAUGAUUUUAUUUUCCGAGCAUAUAUUAUAACUUCGGCUUACUAAAUGAUCUUGGAAAUUAUUUUAAGUUUGAUGCAUGGAUUAAUUGUGCACCAUGAUUUAUGGAUUUGAGCUCGGAUCAUUAAUUUGGUACUUGAGUUUGGAUAUCAUUUAUGAUUUCCGGAUUUAAUUAUUAUCGGCUUUAUUGUUGACUUUGAGAUUUAUUAAAGACUACCGAAACUGGGAUUUUCAGUAAUUCUCUUUUUAUAACUUUCUCGGUUAUUUGUGGUUUAUCGACCUUGACAUUGAGAAUAUUUUGACGUGUGAGACACGUCAUUGAGUAUUGUUACAUUGCUUGGUUGAGUGGGCCGGGAUACUUAUCUCGUGAGCUUUAUCUAGUGGGCCGGGAUACCUUUCUCGUGAGCUCUAUCUAGUGGGCCGGGAUAUUUAUCUUGUGAGCUCUAUAUGAUCUUCUUAUUUCAUUAUAUAAGGGUUGUUGUAUAUUAUUAUUGCUAGCUAGCCUUUAGCGUGGGACGUUAUUAAUAGAGUCUGGGAGGCUCCGACCCUAGCCUGGGAGGCUCAUCUUUAUGGUGAAACCCCUUUCUAGUUUCUUGGAUUUAUUCGAACCAACGGGAUUGGUUCGUCAUUUGUACUCUUUUAGAAGUAUUAUGAGUGAGCAUCAAGUGUUGCAUGCAUAGUUGUAUUUUCGUUGAUCAAAUCGGGAAAACAUAAAUAUUUUUAUUGGUUUAUUUCCUUUAAAUUUAUUCUUGUCCACUCACUCUAACGUUUUCGAAUGUUUUCCCCUAGGCCCUUCGGUUUUAAAUGCCCAGUUUGCAAGUUAGUAUAAUUGAGGUCGGGCGUACUUGGAGUCGAGGCAUAGUCCAUCGUAUAGCUUAAGCUUAAAUAUAUAUUUAUCUCCCCUUCACUGUUAGAAUUGCUCUGAACCUAUUAAUUGUUGGUUAUGGGAUUUUUGUUAGAUUAGUAAAUAUAAAUUUUUUAGAUGUUGUGAUUUGUGGGGAGCACGGAGGCUUCAGGAGUUUAUAAGAUUGAAGUUGAAAUUUUUAGAAGUGUUUGCAGGUAUUUUUAUUUAGGAAGGGUUGCCUAUUUUCAAGGGAGGUUAUGCCGAGUUUUCGGUAAAUUUUCCUUGGAGGUGGACCCCGUAGGAUUUACUUCUGGUUUCAGAGUGAAAUUCGGGGUGGGUCCUGACAACAUUGACGUCACCCGAACACGGCUCCAACUUCCCGAAGGCCGUCCGGUCAAUUCCUCAAGCAAUUGAGGUGCACCGGCCUUCCCUCUAUGUCUCAUUGGCCCCUGUAAUGCUCAUUGCUCGUUUUGAAAGCCUAUUUUUAACUAAAUUAGGAGUGAGACUCUCCUAUGCUAAAUUACACAAAGUGAACAUUCCAUUCUUACAUCAACCUAUGUUGAUAGAUACAACCAACUUGCGAACACCUUUUUUUAUGCUUUAUGGUGUUGGUUGAAGUGUUAACACACUGGUCACGUGUUACACUAUUAUCUACUGCUUAUGCUGCUUAUACUUCUACGGGCUCACUACCCAUUCUUUAAAAAAGUUUAUCGGGAUGUCAGUUGAAGUGUCUUGUACCCCAUGUUCACACGCAAUACGGUCUCACCGAGGCUACGACCAAGCAACUUUAGCUUGUCGCUCGAACAUUAUUGAUGCACACCAAUCUUUUUAUUGCGUCUUGGGGCUAUGCAAUAUUUGCAUGCAGCUUUACUAUUCAUCUACGACCCACCAUCAUUGAAUAUUUUUGUACUACAGCUCGUGACUGUCACUACCAGGACAAGCACUUUAGCCGACGAAAAAGUUUCAUCGGCCAGUUAGCUUAAUUCGUCGGCUAAGAUCUUACCCGACGAGCCUUCGUCGGCUAUAGUUUCGUCGGGAAAGAGGCGUCGGUGAUGACUUUAGCCGACGAAAUUAGAAAACGUCGUCGGCUAUUGUCCCAGUAUUUAGCCGACGACAGAAGACGUCGUUGACCAUAGUCUGAGACUUUAGCGAACGAAACAUUUAAGAUAUUCGUCGGCUAAAGUAUGUAAUAAAAAAUUAAAAAAUAACUAUAGCCGACGAAAUAUAGUCUGUUUCGUCGGCUUUAGAAGUGUUUAGCCGACGAAACAUGCCAUAAUUUGUCGGCUAAACCUUAUAAAAAAAUUAAAAAAUACUAUAGCCGAAUAUAGUCGGCUAAAGUAUUUAAAUAUCGUCGGCUAAAGUAUUUAAAUAUCGUCGGCUAAAGUAUUUAAAUAUCGUCGGCUAAAGUUGCUGGUUUUUGAAAAAAAAAACUGUAGAAACUUUCGGCCACCUCCAAUCAUCACCAAAAUUUGACAAAAUCUUCCUCUCAACAUUUCGAACAACUUUCUAGAAGAAGUCAAACCCAAUUCUAAGCCUAAACAGGUCAAUUGAAUCAAAAUAUAAAAAUCCCUAAUUUUAAACCCUAAAAACUUUAAAUCUUCGAUUCUCUUCACACACACCGAAUCGAGCUACCAAAUUCUAGGGGAAUGUAGUACUAAUCAAACUCAACUUAUCCAUAUAUAGAACUCACCAAAUGGUGACCUAAGGAAGGAGAAAUUCGAUCGACACCGAAUCCAAACCGGCGGAGUUUUAGAGCUCGAUUUAUCCCUCACGGCGGCGCCACUCAAUGCACCACCUGUCCAGCAAUGAAGUAGAGAUGACGGCGAAGUUUUUAGGACAAGUGUGGCGGUCUCCGGUGGCUUGACGGCGGAGCUAGGCCGAGAAGAAAAUCCGGCAGGCGAAACAAUAACUUUUUCUGAUUUUCUGACUUCUUACCAUCCACCUCUGGUAAAACUCCUAUAUAAAGAACUUUACCCGACGAAAUUCUUUAUUUUCAUCGGCUAAACUCUUUUGAAAAUUUUGAUUGACCGCAAAAAUUUUUUUGACAAUAGCCGACGAAAUCAUAUAUUUUCGUCGGCUAGAGUCCUUUGAAAAUUUUCCUCCAAAUUUGGUUUACCACCAAAAAAAUUUUGACCUUAGCCGACGACUUUUUUAAGAUCUCGUCAGCUAAAGUCUAUAAAUUCACGAAAACGCUCAUAUCUCCCUCUAUAGUAAGUAGUUUGGUCAAACCUUCCACACGAAAAACUUUCACGUAGAUGAGACGCAACCGCCUAUAUAAAAAUUUGAGACAUUUACCUUCCGACGAUAGGGCUCCCCAUAGGGAAUAAUAACGGUAAAUAGGGUUGACCGCUACUAUCGGUACCGAGACGUUACCUGAUUUACAUGAUUUUUGAACCAUAGCCGUAUUUCACCAUUCUAAACACAUCUUAUUUCACGAGAUUUUUGAUAAUUUUGCUUCCUAUGUAGAGUUGGUUCACAAAGUUGUAUUACCUACUAAACAAGUUAUACAACAUUCGUAGACACGUUGUGAUUACGAUGAUUAAAAUUCACAAACCAAAAUUCGACCAUCAGAUAUGAUCAUUAUGAUAAAAGAUGUCUGGAAUUCAACUGGAUCCGACAACGUUAAGGGCUCGAUCGAAACGGUCAACCCUAAUCCAUCGUCACUUAUCACACAAAAACGCUCAUAUCUCCCUCUAUAUUACAUAGUUUGGUCAAACCUUCCACAUGAAAAACUCUCACGUAGAUGAGACGCAACUGACCAUAUAAAAAUUUUGAGACAUUUACCUUCCGACGAUAGGGCUCCCCAUAGGGAAUAAUAACGGUAAAUAGAGUUGAUCGCUACUAUCGGCACCGUGACGUUACCCGGUUUACGUGAUUUUUGAACCAUAGCCGUGUUUCACCAUUCCAAACAUGUCUUAUUUUUACAAAAUUUUUGAUAAUUUUGCUUCCUAUGUAGAGUUGGUUCACAAAAUAUAAAAAUUUUGAGACAUUUACCUUCCGACGAUAGGGCUCCCCAUAGGGAAUAAUAACGGUAAAUAGAGUUGACCGCUACUAUCGGCACCGAGACGUUACCCGGUUUACAUGAUUUUUGAACCAUAGCCGUAUUUCACCAUUCUAAACACGUCUUAUUUUCACAAGAUUUUUGAUAAUUUUGCUUCCUAUGUAGAGUUGGUUCACAAAGUUGUAUAACCUACUAAACAAGUUAUACAACAUUAGUAGACACGUUGUGAUUCUGAUGACUAAAAUUCACAAACCAAAACUCGACCGUCAGAUAUGAUCAUUAUGAUGAAAGAUGUCUAUGGUAAAAAAUUCAACUGGAUUCGACAACGUUAAGGGCUCGAUCGAAACGGUCAACUCUAAUCGGAAAUAAGAAAACUGCAUUUUGAAGCCCUAAAUAGACUUGGAUGGCCAAAAAGGCCCAUAUUUCAUGGCAUAGCAAUGAGUUUGACUCGUAGGGCCGUUACGCUUCCGGAAAGGUAUCAUAAUAGUCAAUCGGACACUGAACGCCAAAUCUGCAGCAUACCGGGUUUCGAUUGUUCUACAUCAGAGACGUUACCCGAUUUACGUGACUUUUGAACCAUAGUCGUGUUUCACCAUUCUGAACACAUCUUAUUUCAUGAGAUUUUUGUUAAUUUUGCUUCUAUGUAGAGUUGGUUCACAAAGUUGUGUAUUUGUUUAAAACCUACUAAGCAAGUUAUACAACAUUUUAUUGUUUUUCUUUUAGCAGACGGAUAAUAGCCAACGAGAUUUUUUUUCGCCUACUAAAAUACUUUAGCCGACGAGUAAAAACUUUGGCCGACGAAAAAAAAUUUUGUCGGCUAAAGUAUAGUAUAGCAGACGAAAUUUUUUUUCCGUCGCACUAGGAAGAAAACAAACUUAGCAUAACCUGAUCCAUUGAUCAGUGAUACUCAAAUCUGUCUCAUGAAGUCUGAAUUGUGAUUAUCGUUGGGGGACACCUCAAUGUCAAAUCCAAUCCAUAUAGAGAUCUAUACAAGUAUUACACUAGUGUACAUGAGGACGCGGGAUAAUGAGUCUACUAUCGAACCACCCUUCGUUGAUUGGCCAAAUGGAAAGAUGCGAUCCAGCAUUAACAAAGAGAUAGGUCCUUGGGCAGGUGAUGCCGACACCGCAAGUUAAACCCUAUCAACUAUGCCUUUGUUAGAUAGCGUAGUGAGAACAAGAGCUUAGACUCACCUUAUGGCGCAAGGUCUCUCACUAACAAGCACUGAGAUCGACUACGAUGAGAUAUGCUCUCGUAAUGGAUGUCAUUGCACUCCACUACUUUGUCAGUUUGGUAGUUUUCCGAAUAACUGAACAUGCAGCCUAUGAAUGUGGUCAUAAUAACAUCUCUACAGGAUCAGAGAUAUACAUGAAGAUCUUAAACAGACUUCAUUCAUCUUAAUCAAGUUGCUCCAGACCACAGGAGCACGCGUUCGCUAAAGGUUUUGAAACGCACAUUAAGUAACUAAUUUGCGUGUUCAUUCUGGAUUUACAUGGACUCUUGAUGGAUCAAGAGAUGCCAAUAUGUAUCAACAUUUUAAGAAAAAGAUCUUGAGAAGACACAGUCUCGACAAGGCACUCGAUGAUUGUAUUGAUGAUGAUUUUCCAUCAAUCGGCUUAGGCGCUCUAUAACUAGUGAGGCCUACAUAUACUCCCAUGAUUAGUCAAAGUCUUUGCUUUAAAGAGAGAUCCGUUUUUUUGUCUAAAGCAAGAUGACAAAUAUGUGUUAAGAGAUGGAGUUCCCAUCUAAGUACAAUAAGAUGCAUCAAUGUACUCAACACAAUACGAAACACUUGACAUCUCAUUCGUUAUGAAAAGUUGUAAAGCUAAGUGUAGCUAUGCGCCCACGUAACGCCAAUGUAAUGGCAGUAACUCUUUUUUUAAAUAGUUAAUGGUAUGAAAGGUUGAGGCUUAUUCUAUCCCUACAUAAGAAAGACACAUCAAUAGCGAAAUUAGAAUCUGCCAAGUUUCGUAGGUCAAUUUCUACGGGACCUACAGGAAAUUUCACUCACUGGAAAAUGGUGAAAUUGGUGCCACUGGAAAGCUCUAUGUGUCUACUUUCCAGGGACACCAACCAUUUAAUCAUAUCUAUCAUAUUGAGUGAGUUAUGGCUUUUUUCGUAAAGUAGGACGAAUCUGUCCGAGAAUCUGAUUUUGGCAAAACAGUUAAAUUUGACAGGACUUUGUGAAUAGCUCCUGACGAACCAGAACAUGUGUAAUAUACAGUUGGAAAGCUAAAUGAGUCUAGUUUCCAAAACCGUUUACGGUUCAUUCAUAUGUAUUUCCUAGAGGAAGUUACGGCUGUUCUAGUAACUGAAGGUCAUGCUGUGCGGAAAUCUGAUUUCCUGCACGAACUUAUGUUUUGAGUUCACAAGCGGUCUUCUCCUCAAGAUCUAAAUGUAAAAGAUCAUGUUUGAGGACAAUACGGCAUGAUCUAGUUAAUCAUUGCCCAAUGCCACAUUUGAAGACAUGUUAAAGAGCAUUGACAUGCGAAGUUAUUGAAGUUUCCGUGAUUAGUAAGAAUCAGGAAGAGCCCUAUGAUUGAUGUAAGGGAAAAUUUCAAAAACAGUACACCAAUUAUGGUCCACUCUAAAGACUAGUACAUUAUCUUUUGAGAAAAUCAAAACAGUACAUGAAGUUGUAAUUAUGACCCAAAAUCGAUACAUGCCGUUAUUUUUUCUGUUAUUUGGUGUCUCUACCAUUAAACUUCAAAGGAUAAAUUCGUCCUUCUCUUGCUUCCUCCUUCUAUCUCUGAAACUAGAAAAAGCUGCAGCAAUUUUGCAAACUCUUUUAAAUAUAAAACAGAUGAGCAUGAACCAAAAAAAACCCAAAAUCCCAAAACCCUGUAUGGUUCAUUGGUUCUUCUACCAAGGGUUUUAAUCUCCAAUUUAUUUAUGAAACCCAUUGCUUCCUAGUGAGCCCAACCGCUGUCCUCUCACCAGAAUCAUCGUCUUAAAUGAAAAAAGUUAAAAAAAAAAAAAAAAAAGUAGAUUCCUCCUGCAAUUAUGAAUGGGUAUUGCAUGUUCUUCUAUUUGUUCAUAUCUGGGUAAUAUUGUUGCUUUUUUUUGUUGUUGCUAUGGUAUGGUAGGAUUGUCAAACUUCAAGAAUUUGUGAAGAACAUUUCAAACCCGUCACCAUGCGAACUGAAUUUCCAACCCCAAAAUCAAUAGAAAAAACCCAAACUCAUCUAUUUUAUAUUUAAAAAAGUUUGCAAAGUUGCUGUAGUUUUUUCUUGUUACAAAGAUAUAUAGAAGGAGGAAGCAAGAGAAGGACGAAUUUAUCCUUUGAAGUUUAACGGUAGAGACACCAAAUAACAGAAAAAAUAACGGCAUGUAUCGAUUUUGGGUCAUAAUUACAAUUUCAUGUACUGUUUUGAUUUUCUUGAAAGAUAAUGUACUAAUCUUUAGAGUGGACCAUAAUUGGUGUACUGUUUUUGCAAUUUUCCCUUGAUGUAAAGAUCAGGGGGAGGUGCGAACUUCAGGGGGAGUCUAGCACAUACAUACAUGUCACUAUCAAAUGUGAAGGGUGCGUUGUACUCUUUUUCUCCUACGAUUAAGGUUCAGUUUUUCUCCCACAGGGUUUUUGUGACUUGACGAGGUUUUUGACGAGGCAAAAAAUCAGCACCAUCGGCAUAUCAGCGCGCGGCACAAGGGAGAGUGUUCUAGGAUAUUCUGUAUCUUUCUAGAUAUUCUUUAUGUGUGCCUUGGCCUUAUGCCAAUAGGAUAUGUAGUUUGACUAAAUCUAUGUAUUCCUAUCCUUACCAUAUUGGUAUUGUGUAAUUCCUUAUAUAAAGGGCUCCUAUCUUUGAAUAAUACACACAUCUUUCACAAUUCUCUAUUCUCAAAUAUCUCUCACUUCAUCAAAUUAGUAAUUAAUGGUUAUUUGAAUUAUGAGACUAGAGUUAGAAUAAAAAUUAUGAUACUCAUCCUAAUUUAAAGAUAUUGAGGAAAAAGAUGCAGGAAAUGGCCUCAACUUGAAAAGUUAAAACUUAGAAGUAUAUACCUAUCUUCUCAUCAGGAAUGGAGGUAGAAAAUCCCUUUAAGAUUGGUUUAUAUUAGUAAGGAUGUCUAACACAACAUCACACACUAAAUUCAUAAACAAGAGAACCCUGACAAGCAACGAAUUGACAAACACAAUAUAGUAUGCAGGUCUUCAAAUUACAAAGCAAACCAAACUAUCUAACUAGUUGUGCAACAAAACCCCUCAAUUAUAAUUGGUUUUUAGACAACCCAUUUGAUAACUAUUACUUUGAAAAAUUAAUUAUGAUUUGUUGGCAAGUUUGGAGAGCAAGGAACGAUACUAUCUUUAGGGGUAAGAAUCCCAACCCCAAAUCUAUUCCAGUUCUUGCUGCUUGCCAUCAAAGCAAUGCCCUACAAAUUGAUAUGCAAAGGUCUACAAUGCAUGAUCCUGUUGAAAUGAACAUGAUUAGGUGGUCACCACCCCCUUCAAAUUGGGUUAAAAUAAAUUUUAAUGGUUCUGUAAGAAGUAAAGCUGCUGCUGGAGGUUUUAUUUUAAGAACAGAAGAUGGUAAACCUCUUGUGGCAGCUGCCUUCAACUCUAGUGUUGCUAGUCUCUCUCUUGCCGAAACUCUUGCACUAAGAAAUAGUCUAGUAUGCGCUAAAGAGAAAGGCUUAUCAAAGAUUGAAGUAGAAGAUGAUUCCAAGCUCAUCAUUGACAUUGUGAAUGGAGUUUGUGAUCCCCUUUGGAGGCUUCUGAAGAUAUUCCAAGAUAUAAAUUUUUUUGAGAUGUAAUUUUGUAUCCAUCAGCUUCAAACAUGUAUUGAGGAAAGCUAAUUUCGUGGCCAAUGUUUUGGCUAACAUAGGGCAUAGGGUUGAGAAUUGUCACUUCUGGGAGGAGUGUCCCGAAGCAUUUCUUGCCCUUGCCUUCGACAAUGUAAACUCUGGGUGCCGGCGAGCACCUCUAUUUAAUAGAUUUUCUUCUCAUCAAAAAUAAAUAAAAAACAAAACCCCUCAAUUUCCAUAAACUCUAACUGCUCCAAUCAUCAGAAACAACAGUUUCGUACACAUUCGAUUGCAUACACAGAGAAUUAAACCUAUAUUUAUGAAUCUCAAAAGACUGGAUUAUGAAAUUACCUCGAGCUUUUCCUCGUUGUUCGCCAUAUUGAGUUCGGAGCUCUAACACGAUCUCACCUCUCUUUCUUCCUCUCUACCUCUCUCCUCUCUCUCUCUCUCUCAAUCUCACACUGGCACUCUCUCUAUGUGUGUUUCUCGUUCAAUUUUGUGUUUCACUAUAAACCCGUCUAGUGGCAGUAGGGUUUGUUCAGCUUGAGGGGGACAUGUGGCGGCAUCCUACUUGAUUGUAUACUGUCCAAGUUUUAUGAAACAUCGCCGUAUUAAACUGAAGAGCAGGCAUGACAUUGGACAAAGAGAGUCCACCCUAAUAGUUUUACCUAUAUAACUCCACUUUUCUUACUCAAAUUAUUUCCCCUUGACUGUCUUACCCUUGUGCAUAAAGAUAUUAGACCUGUGGCGCUCAAAAUGUCUCUCAUUGCUGUCACCCAAAGGGCCAAAACCUCGCUCUGCAACGCCGGCUCGACUACGAUUGCGGUCACCACCGACAACAACGUCGGCUCGACCUCGACUGCAUCUCCAAUUCUAUCGACGAUGACCUCCGACUCGACAUCGGCUGAAUCUUCGAUUUUGACCUCGAUUGGAUCUCCGAUUCUGUCGUCGACAACCUUGAUUGGAUCUCUUAUUCCGUCCUCGACCGGAUCACCAAUUUGGCCGACAAAAACCUCGAUUGGAUCUCUGAUUCUUUCAAUGACCACCUCAACUCGAUCUCUGAUUCCAUCGACUGAGUCUUGCUCGACCUUAGCUGCAUCUCUAAUUCGGUGACAUAAGUUUCUAAUCUCGUUGGCUUUGGUUUACACGAAUUUAAAACAAGCAACUAUGUGCUUUGCUUAUAUUUGUUGUGUGAUGGUGAUGGUUUUUAGGAUGAAAGAGAAGCACGGGAGCCUCAAUGUGAAGGCGAAGUAGAGAAAUAACCAAUUAGGAUCCGGAUCGAGGGAUAUCUAUUUUUACACAAAUUUUGACACUCGUUUUUAGCUUUUAGAUUUUAAAUUUUUUAACGGUGUAGAUUAAUUGUGGAUAUGAUGUGAACCACUACUAGAAAUAAGUUCUUAGGUGACGAAAUUUUUUCGUCACCUAAGAGCUUCUAUUGUCCUGUAUUGAUGUAUACACUAAUACGACGAAAAUUUCGUCACCUAAGGUUCGUCAUCUAAGGGCGGUGGUUAGAGCACUUAGGUGACGAAAAUAUGAAUUUCGUCAUCUUAGUAAUGACUAAGAUGACGAAAACCUUUUUGUCGCCAAGAUACUUAGCUGACGAAAUAAUUUUCGUCGCCAAACUACUUAGUUGACGAAAAUAAUUUUGUCGCAAAUCUGGUUACAUGACGUAGUAUGACCAGCUAAGGUGACGAAAUCAGUCAUUACGAAAACACUAACACUACGAAAACAGUCAGUUUGCUGACAAUUCUUUCAUCGGGCUAGGGCCACGAAAGUUGAAUUUUCAUCACCUUAGUGCUAUUUAUAUUUAUUAAAUUUGAUCAUUAAUAAUUAUUAAAAUCACAUUUAAUAUUAACAAAAAUAAAUUUAAAAAAAAAGUCUCAAUAUUUCAAAAACCCACUAUUGGCCAAAGCAGCACCUAGGCAGUAGCAAACAUAUAUAUAUAUAUAUAUAAUCAAGUUCAUAUACAAACUCAUCAAGAGUAGUACUUGAUCAAUAUAGACUUGUUCAUACAAAAUAUAUACUAGCUAGAAAAUGAACUAGUGACUAUGAAGGGCUAUCAAUUGAAUCAAUGCCUCCAUCAUCAUGAUCAUCAUCAUUGGGAUGCUCCUGGGGUGGGACUGCCGGCUGGCAUACGCCGAAUUUGGUGAAAAGAAACUGCUCACAUUGUUGAAGACGUGCCAUGAUUUGUAUGUUCUCUUCCUUGGCUUUUCGGGCUUCCUCAUUGGCUUUCCGGGCUUCCUCCUUAGCCUUUCAAGCUUCCUCCACAGCAAUAUCAACAAGUGCAGCUCGUUGGGAACGUGAAGUGCAGCUCCUAUCGGGCCCUUGACUCAAACCAUAACUGCCUACUAGUCCCAUGACCCAGAUCUCAUUCAUGUUUCUAUGUCUAAAUGCUUUUUCAAACACAAUCGCUUGAGUUUGUUGGUCAAAAUGAAGAUCAAUAUCUUCUUCCGGAAUGCCAGGGUAUUCCUUCCUCACAUUGUCACGGAUCUCAUCAAGCUUAUCCAUCAGUUUAGCCUAACAAAAGAAGUAUAUGUUUUACAAAAACAAUUACUAUGGAGAAUAGAGUUUUGAGGGCAGUAAUAUCUAUAUUGCUGAAAGUCAUUAAUCAUAGGCUCUCAUCUAGCAUUAUUAACCCAUCUAUAUAUAUUGAUUACCACCACAUAUUAAUCAACCUCCAUAUAUCAAGGUAUCAAGAAACUUAGUCUGAGAUGCACUAUGAAUGACAUUAACUGCCACAAUUCUUUUUUGAGAAGUCACUAGUAUAUGUUCCUUAUUGUGGUUUUUGCUUAUGACAUGCAUUAUUAUAUAUUACAAGUUACUCAUGCAUUUGGCAGGAAGUAAUGCAAGUUAACUAGUUAAUAUCGUGCAAAAAAAAACUAAUUCACAAUAUUGUUGCUUCCAGAGACCAAGAAGUAAUGCAAAGGCAGGAUGUAAACCACUUACUUCAUUUUCAGCUGCUUUCAAGUUGUGAGCUGAGUCAUACACCUGUGAGUAACUUUUAAUAAAAUAGAGGUGUUCACCCUUGUCCUUCAAUUCCUUCGCAUUGUAGAUGAAAGGCCUCGCCCCGGUGUAGUGGUACAAUGUCUUCUUGUCCCGGUUACUCUUGUUUGCAGCCGAUCUUCUCUGUAAUUUCAUCAUAUUAACAAUUUGGUUAUUAACAUCAAGCUUAAUCAUCAAAAACCAUAAACACAAAACUGACCAAAUGAACAGUAGUAAUGCAAAACCCAGAUAUAUACUUGUACCCAGAGAAACUGUUGUAGUAAUGCAAGUAAUAUAUAUAUACUUGUACCUAGAGAAACUACUGUAGUAAUCAGUGGAAUAUAUAUACUUGUACCUAGAGAAAAUGCAAGCAAUAUACUUGUACCUUAAUCUACCUUGUACAGCAAAGAAAAAACUAAAGCCUUAUUUAUUUUCUGCUGGAUACAAAGUUAACCAAUUGAACUAAUCAUUCGAAGGAGCCAGAGAAUGGGGAGUAACAAUUGCAGCUGAUCAAUGGAUUGCCUUGUCAUCAGUUAAAAAAAUCUACCAACUUUUUGUGUAACACAAAAUGUCUCAAACUUUAAAUAGAUCAAUACUUUUGGUAGUCCAAAAUCCAGUAUACUUCUUCUCUACUCACAAGUUUGUGUUUGCUAAUAGAAUGAUGGGGCUAUUUCCGCAUUGCUUAAAAAAACCAAAUUCUAAACCACUUUGGUAAUUCAACAUGGAAGGAUUCCAUAAGGGAUUCCAAGAUUUCAAGUCCAUGGGAUAGAGGCGAAAUGGAUGACGUUAAUAUGAAAUAACAAGCACAAUAUAUGGAUGCAAUAGAGGUUCAAUAUCCUACACAGAUUCAAAACAAGGGUAUCUGAGGACUAAUUAAUCAAGAACUCAAGAAAAAGACAUGCAAAAGCCAAGAAACUGGUUUUCCAAAAAUCAAAUGGUCAGAAACAAGGCAGAACAACAAAGGUAAAACAACCUUGGCACCAACUAGCAAUAGCCAGCUACACAUAACACUGAAUACAAUAAGGGAGAAACUAAUCCUUUUGAUUAAACCAACAAAGUUUUGAAUAAACCAACAAACUUUCAGUAGCAACAGUUAGUUAUAAAAUGAAAGUAAUAUACUAUGAAUCCAUCAGACUCGAAGGGUUUGAGGAGCCAGUUCCACUCAUCCAGCCUGUCACACCCCGGUUCUUAAGUUAUUUUACGGUUAUCUUUGGUAUUAUUUUGGUCUUUUACUGUUUACUAUUUUAAGACUCCAAAAGUUGACUUUUUCUUCCAUUUGGACUUUAGGAAAAAUUCCUUCAUGAAAGUCGUAGAGGACAUUAAUACGAGUUCGUAGCAUGCUAUGCGUUAAAUUCGAUGUUUGCAUGACAAAGUUAUCAAUUAAAAGGGUAAACAUUAGUUGGUAAGGGGUAAAUUUUUAUUGGGUUUUAUUUUGUGGGUGUUUUAAGUGUUGGACCGGGUGUGGAGAAGCCCAACACCCACAUUCUCUUUCUCUCUCUCUUCACUCUCUCUCCCGAGCCUUCCCCGAGCUCUCGCUCCCGCCGAAAACUUUCCCAGCGUCGUCCGCGGCCGUCCGGCCACCAUAGACCGCCGCACCGGUCCCAAACGGUCGGCCGUCGACCCAGCUCUCUUCUUGGACCGGUGGGAACCGCCCUAGCUCCGCCGUGAGAGAGGAAAAGCUCUCGGAAGCUCCGGUUGCGUGGUGGAGUCCCGACGCAGGAACUCGCUCCUCCGGCCACCAUCUCCAGUGAUUUCAGUCCCAUUUGGAAGUGCUCUCCGUGUGUAACAUUUCCAUAGAAGGUAAUGAUCCAAUUCGAAGUGUGUAGGAGGAUUUUCGGGCUAGGGUUUGAAUUGGGGGAUUUUUGGAUGUUUUGAUUUGAUUACCCUAGUUAAGCUUAGAAUUGGACUAAGUGCUAGUUAUGAAAGUUGUUAUGCUUGAUGAGAGGAUUAUUCUGUUAAAUUUUGGGAGGCAAUGGGCACCGCCGGAGGUUUUUUUUCAGGUUUUUGGGUUUGUUAUAAUGAGAGGAGUCUAAUGAAGUAUAGUUUGGAAUUUUUGGAGGAGUUUUGAUAAGGUUUGGGAUUUUUAAAAGAUUAAGGAUUUUGCCGGUUAUUAGAAUGAAAAUCCGGCCUUGGAUUUCCUUGAUAUUUAUUAUUGGAAAAUGGGAAAGUAAUUAAGUUUGGUUAGUUAUGUUGCGAUCAGUUACUUGAUUAUUUUUCGUCCACUCACUCUAACGUUUUUAAAUUACUUUCCCUUGGGCCCUUUGGUUUUAAAUUCCCAGUUUGUAGGCUAAGUCUAAGUGAGGUCGAGCGUACAUGGAGUCGAGGCAUAGUCAGAGGCUGCUUCCGCUUAUUCUUUAUUCUUUGUUUUUCUUUCAUUAUAGAUGUGCUCUGAUAACUAUUUGAGAUAGUUGUUAGUUGAUUAAGGUUUGUUGUAUUUUUGGGAGAUGUGUGGAACUUGAGGAGCAGGAAGGCUCCAGGUUGAGGCUGGUUUAUUUGUUUAUAGAAGUGUAAAUUGGAUUUUUCAGGUAAGGGUUGUCCAUUUUCAAGGUAGAUUAUGCCGAAUUUUUGGAAAAUUUUCCUUGGAAGUGAACCCCGCAAGAUUUACCUCGGGUUUCAGGGUAAAUUUUCCAAGGUAGAUUAUGCCGAAUUUUCGUUAAAAUGCUCAAUGAAAUAACCAAUCCAAAUAAUCAACAUAUUUCAAACCUCAAAUCCUUGAAUCAUUAUAAUUAAUAUAACUUAAAAUACCAAAUCUUUUACCCAAGCUCAAAUUCAUAACUUCCUCAAUGAAUUCAUAAUCAAUGGGUCAAUCACACAUAAAUCCCAUAACCAAUUCAAAAGCCGUAAUUAUAAUUUAAGCUUGGAAAAAUGUAUAAUGAACAACUUAAAAAUCAUGCAUGCAUAUUAGUUAAUAACCAAAAUGUCCACUCACAGAAAAACCCGCUACGUCGGUCCGCGGUCAAAACCCUUCUCACGUGGGGUCUCCUCUCAUCCUGUACAAAAUGAGAUUUAAGACCCGAGACAACAAUCACAAAAUUAAUCAAUUAUAAGGAAAAGCUAUCCUAGCACUAAUCUCACUCACCCAAACUUUCCAAAAUCUACUUAUAGCUCUACUUUAUCAACAACUUCCUACAAUACGACGAGGAAUGGACCAAACGAAUGAGCCUCCUCAAUUUCUCCCCUACCAAAACUAAUUCCAACACCAUAUCCCAAAUUUCAAGCAACCAUCUCCAAAAAUCCCCUACACUAAAUCAACAUUAGUCCCUUCUAAAAAUCAUCACCAUGUAAGGCAGCAGCCACCAGCAGUGGCGGUCAACCACCACCACCAUAUCAACUUCAACCAAAACUAGUAAAGCAUAUACCAAUCUCUUCUUCUCAACAAACACAACAACAAUCAAAACUAGCACGAACUCUAGAAAUCAAAGACUUGGCCGAAAAUUACCUCUAAAGCACAACAACACCAAAAAUUCCGAUUUGCCUUCUACUCCGAAUCAUUCUACCACUUUUGGGUGGUUGAAUGGCCAAUCAAUGAGCUAUAAAACCCCUCAAAGAUCACUUGAAUCGGUGGCCGAAAAAAUGGAGUUCUGGCUAGGGCAAGACUCACGACGGCAGCAGCGUCACCGCGCCUCAACACCGCCGAUUCUGGGCCGGUCACCACCCUAGGCUGGACGAGCGGCGUCUCAACUAUCAAACGUGACCCGCGAGGCAGCCAGGCGUGAUCGGACGACGGCGAUCGGUAGGGGAGAGGUUGGACUGGUCUGGGUCGGGGUCGGGGUCGGGGAGAGAGAAGGUGAGGUGCGGUUAUUUCUGUUUUCUAUCUUAACCCAAAAAAAUAACAAGUUUCCCCCCACUUAUACCCCAGCCCAAAAAUGGUAAUUAUCAUUAUUUUAGCUACCCUUCACUUACAAACUCCAGUUCGGGUAACUAAAAGUCUACACGUUUGUCUACACCACCUCUACCGAAAAUAAAAAUAAAUUCCUGAGUUGACAAGCUACAGUUAAAUCGAAAACCACAAUAUAAAAAUAAUUACUAGGUUCGGGGUGUAUCACCACUUGUACCACUACUGCAAACCCACCUCUCGACAUGCAAACCCGACUUCUCCUCUAGCUCAGCAAUUCUGUCACUCAGUUAGCUACACGAAUCGAAGGCGUUGAGAGUCGCGGGAGCCAGCGACCUCUAUUCUCGGGGUAUGGACAUCGCCCAAGUCCCUUCACGGCACGGGUGCAAAUGGAAAAGAGGCCACCCAAGGCCAAGCCUUUCAAAGUGGACAAAUAUAAGGGGACUGGGGACCCUCAUCUCCAUCUCGAAACAUUCCUUUCGUUGUGUAGUUCCACUCGAUACACAGAUGCCAUGGUUUGUCAUGCCUUCUAAGAAACCCUCUCAAAUGAAGCACUCAGUUGGUUCCUCAACCUGCCACACAACUCCAUUGAUAAUUUUAUGAAAAUCUACCGAAAUUUGUAUUCAUGCAUCACUGGUGUCUCCCUUCUUUCUAUUUUCAUAAUGUAUUACAUGCUAUUCAUAUAUUGUAAGUUUGCAUACAUCUAUAUAUAUAAGCGAAGAGUGUUUUUCACUGUUCACGUGAACAGUGACGUGACCCUUUUGUCUUUCCUUUUUAAAUCUUUUUACACCUCUGCCAUUCAGUUCUUAGGUUUUUUUUUUUUUUUUUUNNNNNNNNNNNNNNNNNNNNUUACAAUCCACCCCCCUUCGGGAGUCCGACGCCCUCGUCGGCACACUCGCACCACACGGCAGAGUGGCUCUGAUACCAUUUGUCACACCCCAGGACCCAUUCCGCCGUAACACGAUAUUGUCCGCUUUGGGCCCACCGGCCCUCACGGUUUUGUUUCCGGCAGCUCAGGAGCAGCUUCCUAGUAGGUCACCCAUCUUGGGAUUGCUCUAGCAUCAACAUGCUUAACCUCGGAGUACCCAUCCCCUCCGAAGCCGCUGAGCCACCAAAAGGCCUCGUGUUAGAUUGGAGGUGGGCAUGUAUAUAUACAGCACAUAACCCCUCUCCGUUUGGCCGAUGUGGGAUAUUACAAUAAAAAAUUUGGACCAUUUCUAGAUUUAUGCGUGUCAUCCUUGCGCAGGGGCCAUGCUAAUCUUCUCUAUAUCGUUCCAAUUUUAUCGGAUGUCCACGUAACACGAUAUUGUCCGCUUUGGGCCCACCGGCCCCCACGGUUUUGUUUCCGGCAGCUCAGGAGCAGCUUCCCAGUAGGUCACCCAUCCUGGGAUUGCUCUAGCAUCAUCAUGCUUAACCUCAGAGUACCCAUCCCCUCCGAAGCCGCUGAGCCACCAAAAGGCCUCGUGUUAGAUUGAAGUUGGGCAUGUACAUAUACAGCACAUAACCCCUCUCUGUUUGGCCGAUAUGGGAUAUUACAGUUUAAUUCAUAUAAGGGGUAUGGACACAUAUUUAUACACCCGUCUGUCCACCUUGAUGGCGUAGUGUAGCACCGCAUUAAGGCGUGACGUGAGCGUUGGACGCGAGCGUAGUAGCCCUAUAUAGACCCAUGAAUUUAUAUAGGGAGUAUGGACGAGUGUAAAUACAUACAUAUAUUAUAGAGUCUGAGAGGCUCGAUAUUUUAUGAGAUAAAAGUUUUAUCGCUUGCGGCAUGCAUUCGAUUUUUCCUUAGAAAUUAAUUUGGGGAAACAUAAAUAUUUUAUUUAUUAUUUUAUUUUUUGUCCACUCACUCUAACGUUAUUAAAUGUUUUCCCCUGGGCCCUUCGUUUUAAAUUGCCCAGUCUGCAGAGUUCGGGUUGGAUCUAGUAGGAGGGGAGGCAUAGUCACCCGCAUUUCUGCCAGUUUUCGUUAGUAGGUUACUUGUUCAACCUACUCGUGUUUUCUUGCUUCCGCUAGUGUUUAGUAGCUCUGAAUACUUUGGGAUUAUUGUAUAUUAUGUGUAGAAUUUCUGAAGGAUAAUUAUGUGAUGUUUGGAAGUGCUAAAUUAAGAGUGUAAUUUGGAAUUUUCGAGUUAGGGUUGUCUAUCUGCAAGGGAGAUUUUCUUAAUCUUUUCAGUAAAUUUUCCUUGGAGGUGGUCCUCGCACGACUUACUCCGGGUUUUAGGGUGAAAUUUGGGGUGGGUCGUGUCAUUGACUAUGCCUUUUCUCCAUGUACGCCCGACCUCAACUAUACUAACCUGCAUACUAGGCAUUUUUGAAACGAAGGGCCCAAGGGAAAACAUUUGAAAUUGUUAGAGUGAGUGGACAAAAAUGAAUUUAAUGAAAAAUGUCACGCCCCGGUUCUUAAGUUAUUUUACGGUUAUUUACUUUAGUAUUAUUUUGGUCUUUUACCGUGUUAAGUAACCGGUUACCCCUUAAGGACCCUAAAGUUGACUUUCUUUUCCGUUUGGAUUUUGGGGAAACUUUCUUCAUGAAAGUUGUAGAGGACGUUAAUACGAGUUCGUAGACAUGCUAUGUGUUAAAAUCGGAGUUAGCAUGAAAAAGUUAUUAUUAAAAGAGUAAAUUUUGAGUUAGAAAAGGGGCGUAAUUAUUAAUGGGUAUUAUUUUUUGGUCGGGUUUAUAGCUGGGCCGGCUGUGGAGAAGCCCAAAACCCUCACCCCUCAUUUCCUCUCUCUCCCUCUCUCCCUCACCCGUCACUUUCUCUCCCUCCCUCACCCGUGCAACUUGACCGCCGGAGAAGAGCCUCUGUCCGCUGCCGUCCGGCCGCCAGGGACCGCCGGACCACCUCUACCUGGACCCCCCGCCACCUCCUCUCCCUCCCCGGCCUAGCCCCCGAGCCGUUAGCCCGCUGGAAGAGGAGAAAACCCGCCGGAGACGCCGGGAAGCUUUUCGUCGGAAAUCCCACCUUCGGCCGCCAUAAGUCGAAAUCUUUAACUCAUCUUGUAGCCCUCAUCAAGGUGAGUAAUCCCUCAAAAGGAAUUAGUCUAUCUCGUUGUGGUUAUAGAGAAAUGUAUAAUUGAAGUUUUAGGGAUUUAUGGAUGUUUUGGUUCGAUUGCCCUAGUUAGCCUUAGAAAUGGACUAAGUGCUAGUUAUGAAUGUUGUUGAGCAUGAUGAGAGGAAUAUUCUGUGAAAAUUUGAGAAGUAUUGGAGGUCUCCGGAAAACGGCUGCCGGCCGCCGCCACCGGCAGGGCAGCUGCCGCCGCCGCCCCUUAAGGGCAGUUUUUCCUGUUUUUGAGAUGGUUUUAAUAAGAGGAGUUUAUUGAAAUAUAGUUUGGAAUUUUUGGAUGAGUUUUGGUUUGGUUUGGAAUUUUUCGGAGAUUGGAGAAAAGGCCGGUUAUUAGAAUGAAAAUCCGGCCGUUGGAUUUCCUUGGUAUUUAUUAUAGAAUGUUAGAAUUGAUGAAUUAAGGUUGUGGUGGAGUUUGGUGUGAAUCCGGCAAGUUUAACCCUAUUAAGAGUAGAGGGUUAAACGGAGGAGAGUUAGAUAUUUUAAUUCACGUAUUUAUUUUCUAGAAUUGAAGUUUGGUUCUAAGCAUGGUUGUUGUACCAGGAUGCGAAGGGAACCUCGCUUGAGUGGCGUUGCGGUUAUCGUCGGGCUUAUGCCCAAAUUUCUGAGUGGACAUUUUGGUUUUAAAAAUAAAUAUGCAUGCAAGAUUUUAUAAUCUAUCAUUUUAUUUUCCGAGCAUAUAAUAUAAUUUUUCAGUUCAUGAGAUGAGCUUGAAAAUUAUUUGAGUUUGGUGCAUUUAUUAAGUGUUGGUCAUGAUUUAUGGAGUUGAGCUCGGAUUAUUAUUUUGAUAUUUGAGUUUGGAUAUUUUUAUAAAUUCCGGAUUUCAUUAAAUGGUUUUAAUGGUGGAUUUUGAGAUUUAUAUAAGAUUUCCGAAAAUGGGAUUUUCGGUAGUUUCCUAUUUUUAAUUCUCGAAAUUAUUGGUGGAAUAUCGAUCUUGACUUUGAGUUUUAUAAAUGAUUACCGAAAAUGGGAUUGUCGGUAGUUCUCCUCAUAAUUUAAUUGUUCAUUUGAGGCAUAAUGAUUUUGACUUGGAGAAUAUUUUAGCGAGUAUUUCGGGCGUAGAUACUAUUAUUUAUGAUUCAUAUUUGUUAUUGAAAUCUCGCUUAUAUUUAUAAAUUGGAGAAUAUUUUGACGUGUGAGACACGUCAUUGAGUUGUGUUAUGAUUUCUUCUGAUGAUUUUCAUGUACGGUUGGGAACCGUACCAUUCGUUUGGUCUUGGGGGAAGUUUAAUGGAUUUAAGUGACUUCGUAUGUUUUAGUCACCAUAUUAUAGGGUCGUUUAUCUUAAUUAUUGCUAGCUAAUCUUAUUGGCGGUCCUCAUCAUAUGUGAGUCGCUAUUAUAGCCUUAUUAGCGGUCUUCUUCAUAUGUGAGUAGAGCGCUUAGCAUGGGACGCUAUUAUAGCUUGGGAGGCAACCGAUCGGUAUUUAUAUUUAUUAGUUAGCUAGCCUUAUUAGCGGUCCUCAUCAUAUGUGAGUUGAGCACUUAGCGUGGGACGCUAUUAUAGCCUUAUUUAGUGGUCCUCAUCAUAUGUGAGUUGAGCGUUUAGUGUGGGACGCUAUUAUAGCCUAGGAGGCAUCGACCUGAGCCUGGGAGGCUCCUUUUUCAUGGUGAUAACUCUUCCCCUAUUUUAUUCUUCUCAAUAAUAUAUUUGAUUAACCAGCGGGGCUGGUUUAUCUCCUCUUAUGAGAUUUAUGUUUUAACUAACCAGCGGGGCUGGUUUGUCCUUUAUUAAGUGAUUUUGGAUUUAAAGUUUUAAGGACGUUUAAGUUGCAUGUUGUUAAGUUUUAAAAGUUGAAAAGUGGGAAAGUAUAUAAGUUUUAUAAUUGUUAAGUUACUGAAUUUAUUUUCGUCCACUCACUCUAACAUUUUUAAAUUAUUUUCCCCUAGGCCAUUUGGUUUAUAAAUGCCCAGUUUGCAGGCUAAGUUAUUUGAGGACGAGCGUACAUGGAGUCGAGGCAUAGUCAGAGGCUGUUUCCGCUUAUUCAUUUUCAUUGUUUUCAUUCAUCAUUAGAUAUGCUCUGAAAGUCCAAUAAUAGCUUAUUAAAUGUCUUUGUUGUUGAUUGUGGAAUUAUUAUUAGAUGAGAAAUUGUUAUUGGGAGUUUUGAUGAACUUGGGGAGCAUGAAGGCUCCAGGAGACGAGGAUGGAUGUUUGUUUAUAGAAGUGUUAAGUUGGAUUUUUCAGGAAAGGGUUGUCCAUUUUCAAGGAAGGUUAUGCCGAAUUUUCGGUAAAUUUUCCUUGAAGGUGGACCCUGCAGGAUUUACCUCGGGUUUCAGGAUGAAAUUCGGGGUGGGUCCUGACAAAAAAUAUUUACGCUUUCCUAGUUUAAAUUUCCAUAGAAAAUAUACUGCAUGCGACAGCUCAAAAGCUCUCAACUCAUCAAUUGGCAAUUACAUGACUAGCUCCGGCUAGUCUCCAAACUUAAUAAAAUAAAGCCUCUCAGGCUAAAAUAAUAUAUAUAUAUAUAUAUAUAUGUAUUUACACUCGUCAUACUCUUUGUACGAAUUCCAUGAAGGAAUAAGAAAAAUAGAAAUUCAUACAAGGCUACUACGCUUGUGUCUAACAUUCACGUCACACCGUAAUUGGAUUUUACCUCAUUAUGGCGGAAAAGCACGAGUGUAUAUAUACGUGCAUAUUCCCUAUAUAAAUUACUAAAUUUAUAUAGGGCUAUGACGAUUGUGUCUAACGCUCACGUCACACCAUAAUAGAAUUUUACCUCAUUAUGGCGGAAAAGCACGUAUAGCUAGCUAGCAUUUAUUUAUAUGCAUACUAUCCUCAUAAUCAUCCAUAUACAUAUGCACCGAAAAUCUCAUUUUCAGUAACUCUCCAGAAAGAAUGAAAAUUGCCAAUUAUAAAAGACGCAAUAAAUAUAUGACUCCACCGAAAAUCUCAUUUUCGGUAACUUUCCAAAUAGCGAAGUUAACAAAUAAAAUAAGAGCAUUUACUUCCAAAAAUAACUUCGCGAAAAUAAACAAUUCCACAAAUUGAUAUUCAAUAAAAUCACCGCAUGCUUAUAAUUUAAAACGAACGUCCACUCACAACUUUAGGGAUAAGCCCGACGAUAUCCAAUUUGCUACUUAAGUGAGGUCUCCUCGAAUCUUGGCACAAUAACCAUGCUUAGGACCAAACUUCAAUUUCAGAAAAAAUAAUUCUUAAAUAUAUCACCCAAAACUCUUCCGCCUAGUCCACUACCCUUUCUAGGGUUAAGCUUAUUGGAUUGACGCCAAACUCCACCCAAAGCCUCAAUUCAUUCAUUUCAACAUUCUAAAACAAUAAUAAGGGAAAUCCAACGGUCAGAUUCUACCCCAUUAACCGCCAAAUUCACCAAUCUUUCAAAAAUCUCAAACCUAUCCAAAACUCCUCCAAAAAUUCCAAACUUCACAUCAUUAAACUCCCCUUAAUAUUACACAUUUAAAACCAUGAAAAUCCCCCUAGGGUCGUCUGCUCCGUCGGCAGCAGCGGCCGGCGACUGACUCUGGAGACCCCCAAUGCCUACUAAAUUUUAACAGCUUCAUCCUCUCAACACGCUCUACAACUUUCCUAACUAGCACCAAGACCAAUUUCAAGCUUAACUAGGCCAAUCGAACAAAAACUUACAAUAAAACCCUAGAACUUCAAACACUUGAAUCUCCUUACCUAGGCCAAGAGGGAGUGAAACCUUUGGAGGGAUGAAUGCACGGGAGAAGAGCUUCCUUUUGAGCUAAGUAGCUUCGGCUAUGGCAGCCGGAGGAGGAAGUUCCGGCGACGGAACACCACGGACAGCCCGAGCUUCCAAGCGCGAUUUCUCUUUCACAGCGGCGCUAGGGAGGCUGCCACCGGUCCAAGAAGGAAGAGGAGAUGAUGGCCGACCGUUUGUGACCGGUACGGUGACCUACGGUGGCCGAACGACAGCGGAUUGACGACGGGAAAAUCCGGUAGGAAAGAGGGAGGGCGUCGGGAGGAAAGAGAGAGAGAAGAGAGAAGAAAAGUGUUAGGCUUUUCCCAACCGGUUUCUACCGAAACCAAAUAUAAACCCAACUCCAAAAUAACACCACCAAAAUAAUACCCUAAUAAAAAUUACCUUUUUACUAGCUAAAAUUUACUAUUUUACCGUCAUCAAAUAUUUCUUCUACGAAUCAUUCCUCCGAAAAAAUCGCUCCUCAAAACCCCUCUAGGGACCUUUGAAACUAUAAACUCAUUUAUGAAGACGGUAAAACUCUUAUUAAUACCAAGCUAGUAAAUAAGGUAAAAAUUUAAGAGUCGGGAUGUGACAUGUCUUGUCCGGACCCGUCCCGGAUUUCACCUUGAAACUCGAAGUAAAUCCUGUGGAGUCCACCUCUGAGGAAAAUUUACCGAAAAUUCGGCAUAACCUCCCUUAAAAAUAGACAACCCUUCCUAAAUAAAAACACCUGCAAACACUUCUAAAAGUUCCAACUCCAACCUUAUAACUCCUGGAGCCUUCGUGCUCCCCAAAACACAACAUCUCCCAAUUUAUUUACUAACUUUAACACUUAAAAUCUCACAACCAACAAUCACAGUUCAGAGCAACUCUAUUAGAGGAGAAAAGAACUAGAAAUAUAGAAAUGAGCAGAAGCUAUACUAUUAACUAUGCCUCUUCUCCAUGUACGCUGGACCUCAAUUAUGCUAACCUGCAUACUGGGCAUUUUUAAAAUAAAGGCCCAGGGGAAAACAUUUGCAAACGUUACAGUGAGUGGACAAAAAUGAAUUCAAUAAAAAUUAUUUAUGCAUUCCCAAUUUAAUUUUCAUAGAAAAUAUGCUGCAUGCGACAGCUCAAAGCUUUCUACUCACAAACUGGCAAAUACAUGACUAGCUCCGGCCAGUCUCCAAAACUCAAUAAAAUGGAGCCUCUCAGGCUAAACUAUAUAUAAAUAUAUAUGUGUAUGUAUUUACACUCGUCAGACUCCUUGUACGAAUUCUAUGAAUAAAAUAGAAAAAUAGAAAUUCAUACAAGGCUACUACGCUUGGGUCUAACGAUCACGUCACACCAUAACGGAAUUUUACCUCAUUAUGGCGGAAAAGCACGAGUGUUUAUACGUGUAGACUCCCUAUAUGAAAACCUAUAUGAAUCGGAUAAGAAAGUAGUUUUCAUAUAGGGCUAUGAUGCUUGUGUCCAACACUCACGUCACGCCGUAAUAGAAUUUUACCUCAUUAUGAUGGACCAAGCACGUAUGGCUAGCUAGCAUUUAUAUACAUACUAUACUCAUAAACAUCCAAUAUACAUAUCCACCGAAAAUCUCAUUUUCGGUAACUCUCCAAAAGAUGAAAAUUGCCAAAUAUCAAAAAAAGCAAUAAAUUUCAGCAGAAGAAUAACUGAUCAACAAUAGAAUGCAUCGCAUGCUUUUAAUUAAAACAAAAGUUCACUCACAGUGAUUCUGUUGCAUUUGCUGUCAAGACAAGACAACGAAGACGAGCUCGGAAAAUCCUCCUAUUCUUUUUCGAUUUAACCCCCUUCUUUCACUUCUAAGAAUGCACAGUAAAGUCCCUAAUAAAAACUAAAGGGUAAGAGAACAAUAUAACCAACUCCCCUUCAUAACCAUUGAAACCAAUUCUCUUAUAUCCUUUUAAUUAAACAAACACACACAUGACUCCCAAAACAAUAAUACCCUUAACUACCAUUUAACUUAGGAGAUUCACCUCUCGGUCAAAAUGGCAAAUGCACCCAAAAUACUCUUUGCAUUCAGAAGUUUUCAUUGUGCACCCAAACCUUUCCUCUAGUCCAAGCCUACAUGCAACCCCACAAUUCCAUAAUUAUAUUCAAAACUCACAACACAAUUCCGAAUUCAAUAGCCGAGAAUUAAAACCUUCUCACCUUGCGGUUUCAAAAGAUUAACACACGGUGCUCCUCCAAUUACUCUUUGCACCCAAAGUGGAAAUUAGCAUCCAACACCAAUCUUCAUUUGCUACACUGCCCUCCACCAAAACUAAACCCAAUAAUAACAUUAACUCCAUCUCCCUAUCCAACACCAAUCUUUCUAACUGUUAAUUUGCUGCCACCUAUUAAUGUAAAAACACUUGAAGUUUAUCUUCCAGUGCCAGUAGUUGUUUUUAAACUUGAUGCCCAAGUUUAAGCUGCUCACUCGGCAGCUAUUUGCAACCCACAAGUCUGAUUGAGGUUUUCAGACUUUCACUUGUGAUUGGCUGCAUGUAGUCAUGUGUUAGGCAUAAGCUAGCAAGUAGGUGAACCAGCAUUUCAAAUAAGACAAAGCAGCAAUCCAAAUUAUUGUUAUUAUUAUUAUUAUUAUUUUUUUUUUAAGUUUGGGGUUUCACAGAACGUCACGGGGUUAAGACUUAACAUGGAUCUCCUGGAAGAGCGCCGCGACAGGGUACACCUCAGGAAUGUCAACUACAAACAAAAGAUUGCUCAACACUACACCAAGAAAGUUGUUCCCCGCCCCCUAAAGGUAGGCGAUUGGGUUAUGAAGGAAGUCAUUCCCCACCCCACUGGACUCAAAUCAAAGUGGGAAGGCCCUCUCGAGAUAGUCAAUGCCUCAGGACCAGCUACAUUCUAUCUCCGGGACACUGAUGGCUGAGUACUACCCCGCACCUGGAACGCUCUCCACCUCCACCUCUACCCCAUUUAAAUUAACAGACCCGGCAUAGUAGCUAGUACUUCAUUAUUGUGUACUUCAACCCGUUAGUGGCUCACAUUAAGUGUACACCUUGCCCAUUAGCGGCCUACCCUAAAUGAAGAUGUUAUGUUUUUUAUCAUUUUUAUAACAUACCGUAUCAAGAACACGAAACAACAAAGCAAACAGUAGUCCACAAACAAAAGCAUUCAUUAAAACAAAUAAGAAUCAACAUGGACUCCUAAGCAAUGCAUAAAAAACAAAUUGUUCAGAUGGCUAACAUUGUUUUACAAGCAAACAAAAGAAAGCAAAUAAACCUAACAAUAACAGCAAAUUACAAAGCAUCAUCAUUUCUCCCCAGAGGACGCGCCACUUGACUUAUUCACGCUUCUGCCACUCCUUGAACCGCUACCACACCCACGACUGUGGCUGAUAUUCACCGACACCCUCUGUCCAUAAGCAUGCUUAGAGCGGUCACGUGACGUUGGUGGAGGCCUCACUGAAACAUUAGGGCGCACCAGGGAACUCACUUGUUGCACCUCAGUGAUAGGGGACUUGCUCGCUGAGGUCUUUUGCACUUCAGAACGCGGUGGCGCCACAAGUCUAGGUGCUUGAGGGAUAGUUGGUUCAAUAACAGAGGAUGUGACCUGAGAUACCACCACUUGAGCAGAAGGGGAUCCCUCAGGACGCGAAGCCCUUAGUGGAGAAGCAACGAUCACCGCAAGUGGCUGAGGCGUACCCACAGUAGGAACUUCUUUUGGCACGGCAGAGGAUGUAGCGCGCUAGGCCUCAUGCUGCUUAGCCAGAGAUCAAGAGAUCUCAGCUUGCUUCCUUUGCUCUGAGGUCAUCUGUUCCCAAGCCUUCUUCGCCACAUCCCUCUCGGCAUACCACUUGCGGAUGGCCGCUUCAUUUAUCCAGCCAAUUUGGCACCAGUCUUGCUUAGCUCAUCUUGUCCCCGGUUAUAAGCGCUCCUCAGUUGCUGCUUACACACUUCACUCUCCCGAAACACCCUCUCCCCAGCCCCAGCAGCCCUUGCACACUUCAGCUUCCACACUCUCUCUUACUUCGCCAGGGCUUGCGUUAACCUCGCCACCUCAGCUUCCAGAGACACCGCCUUGGCAAUGGCCACCUCCCCAGCCUCCACCUGCUUGUUUUUCUCCUGCACAGCUUCCUUCAACUCAGCCACCUCCUUCCCAGAUGCAGCAGCCUGAUCUCGGAAGAUAGCAACAUCUUGCUCCAGACGCUGCGAGAGGGCUCGGUUAUUCUCUUCCGCCUCCCUCAACUGCUGGCAUUUAGCCUCGGCAUCCCCCUGCAAGUGAGCAACAACCCUCUCACUUGCAGCAUACAUCAGCAGCGUCGCCUGCAGACAGCACCAAAAUGUAAGCAAAAAGGCAGGGAACUAAAGGACAAAAUGACCAUUGUGCACACUUACCCGAGUUAGUUUCUCCUUGGCAAGAGCUACACAAGCUAGAGGAUCAAUCUCCUCCAUGCAUGGAUGUCACGAGAGCGGUGACACAUGUCAUAUGCCAUCUGAGCUAGGGAAGGCUGCACCUCCCCGGUCCCCUCUAGAGCUUGGGUGAUCUCGGCCAGGCUCCCCAAGCUCUUGGAACGCCCCUCCUUACGGGACUUCUUUGGUUGGCCUUCACGUGACGACUCGACCCUUUCUUUCCUCUUUCGGGUCCUUGUCAUGACAACCUCUUCUUACCCUUGCCCAAUGGGUUCCACCUCCUUCACCACAACAUCCUCGCCACCAGUUUGGGGCUCACCCACAUUACCCAAAGACGUAUCUUCCACUCCUACUGGCUCCGCAUAAGCUCUUCCUCCACCGGAACCUGCUCAUGAUAGUCCCCGUGGUCGCCACCCUCAGUGUCCGUUUCCUCGUCAUUCACCUCUUGAUCACCCAAGCCCAUAUAUUGCUUCUGCCACCAAGGGAGGCAAAUAAGCAUAAUCCUCGUCCGCCAGCUUCAACCUCAAAAAAUCAUCCUCACCCUCAUCCAGCUCCACCUCUUUCCUCUCGCUAGUCUCCAAGUCGAUAUCGUACCGCUUGACAUGAUCAACCUUGGCACGUAACCCAUCCAGUACGUCCUCAUCCGACACCUUGUCAUAAGGACCUUCCUUCUUCCGCGACCCACCGUCCCGAGGCAUUGUCACUACACCAAACAAAAGAUGAGGAUCAAGUAGAGACCAGAAAGCAUAACCGAAAUGACUAUAUAUGCCAAGGCAGCAUAUCCGAUACGAGCUCCUAGACUCGAAUGCCCACAGCACCCGGCGUAUUCGACGCUCCAUCAGCUCGGUUAAUUUAUACUCUUGGGGCAUGACUUGUAUACAAUUCAUGCAAGCGAACGUAUCGUUGUCAAGAUAGGGAAGUAUUUGUGCCCAAGUUAUCGUACCAUGGGGAUUAGUGGCUAACCCACAAUCCUAAGCUAAUCGGAACAAAAGUCACUAAGCAAACAAAGAAAAAGAAAAAAAAUACUACUCUAAAGCACCAAGCCUUAGCAAUGCUCGGCCUCAGUUAUCACCAAAGCCUAAUCAAUACUAAAUGCCUAGUGAUGGGUAAUUACAAUGAGUCGAUAUAUAAAAUGGAGAUUGAAUGGGGAAUUAACUAAAUUGACGAAAAACUAAAUAAAAAUAAACUACUAACUAAUGAACUAGAGAAUGAUGAGAACAUGGGAGUGUCGGGUGAUUCACACUAACUCAUAUGCAAACAUCGAUACCAAUUUCACAAAUGCAUAUCCUAUUGUAUCAAAUCCCGUAUCUAAUACCGGUUAAGGCUACUAGACCAAUUAUCCUUUCGGUGUAUCGAUUAUGCCGGUUAAGGCCACAAUCAACUCUCUAACAUGGGCAUUACAUCGGUUAAGGCCGUAACAUCCAAAUUAGAGGCCUAGAGUGCAAGAUAAUAGAGACCCAAGCAAGCUUAGCUACAAUCAAGCUAGCUAAUGGUUACCACACUUCAAAUCCUAGAUGCACAAGACUAAUAAGUUGUCAAUUUAUCAAUCUAUCCAUCAAAUUGUCCACAACAUAAUCUCAAAGGGUGACAAAACCUAGAAACAUAUUUCUAAGGACCAACACAUUCAGAUUCAAAGCAUACACAAUGUAAAUUGCAUUUAUAUCAAUCAAAGUACCAACAUUAUACAAAAUGAGUUUAGGGCUUCAAUACCCUAACUCCCAAAAUUAAAUCACUCACAACCCAUAGUCAAAUAGAUCAUCAAUAGCAUAUAAGUUAAAUAGCUAUCAUUCUAGCAUUGGUAUGGCGCCCUUUGAGGCUCUUUAUGGGAGGCAGUGUCGUACGCCUUUGUGUUGGAAUGAAGUAGGGGAAAAAGAGCUUUGUGGCCCAGAGUUAAUCCAUGUUACGAAUGAGAAGAUUAAAGUGGUUAGAGAUAGACUCAAGACUGCUCAGAGUAGGCAGAAGAGUUAUGCGGAUGUCCGUAGGAGAGAUCUUGAAUUUCAAGUGGGUGAUUGGGUGUUCCUGAAAUUAUCUCCUUGGAAAGGGGUUGUGCGUUUCGGUAAGCGUGGGAAGCUUAGUCCGAGGUAUAUUGGCCCUUAUGAGAUUAUAGAGCGAGUUGGCUCACUUGCUUAUCGAUUAGCUUUGCCUCCAGAGUUAUCCCGGAUACAUAAUGUGUUUCAUGUAUCCAUGCUUCGCAAAUAUAUUGCCGAUCCUUCUCAUGUGCUGCAAGAGCAGCCGAUCAGUUUAACGAGAGAUUUGACCUAUGAAGAGGAACCGGUUCAGAUUCUCGACCGAAAGGAGCAAGUGCUUAGGAAUAAGACAAUCCCGCUUGUCAAGGUUCUGUGGAGAAGUCAUCAAGUAGAAGAAGCUACUUGGGAAUCAGAGGAGCAAAUGAUGCAGCAGUAUCCGUAUCUCUUCGGAUGACAUGUAUGUUAAUUUCGAGGACGAAAUUUUUAUAAGGAGGGGAGAAUUGUCACAUCCCGACCCUUAUAUUUUUACCUUAUUUACUAGCGUGAUUAUUAUAAGAAUUUUACCGUCCCAGUCAUGGAGUAAAUAGUUUAAUUGGUCCCUAGAGGGGUUUCGGGGACGAUUAUGUGCGGAGGAUAAUUCGUAUGGGGAAAAUACGACGACGGUAAAAAUAGUAAAUUUUAGCUAGUAAAAGGUAAUUUUUAUUCGGGUAUUAUUUUUCGGGGUGUUUUUAUUUUUGGAAGUUUGGGUUAAGUGUUGUGGACUGGGUUGGGGUGAGGCCCAAAACCCUUUUUCUCUUCUCCCUCUCUCCCGAUUUUCUCUCCUCCCACCCGGUUUUCCCCUCUCUACACCCAGAAGAAUUUCCGGCCGUCCUUCCGCCGCCGUCCGACCUCCGUUCGCCGCCGGACCGGUCCCGUUCGGUCGGUCUCCCUCCCAGCAACAUUUCUAGACCGGUGAGAGGAGCCCUAGCUCCGCCGUGAGAGAGCGGUGCCACCCGAAAGCUCCGACUGCCGAAUCGGUUUUCUCGCCGGAACUUCCUCCUCCGGCCACCAAUCCGGGCAAGCUUGGUACGGUUUUGUAGCCCUCCUCCCGUGCAACAACCCCUCCAAACAGCUCCCUCCCUCUUGAGCUAGGUAAGGAGAAAUUUGAGGUGGAAGUUUUAUGGUGUUUAAGUUGUUUUCGUUCGAUUAGCCUAGUUAGGCUUGGAAUUGGGUGAUGUGUUAGUCAUGAAAGUUGUAGAGGAGAUUGAGAGGAAGAUUCUGUUAAAAUUUGGUAGCAUUUGCAGGUUGCCGGAAAACGGCUGCCGGCCGCCGCUGCCGGCGCCGGCGCCGGUUAGGAGAUUUUUAGGGUUUUAAAUGUGGAAUAUUAAGAGGAGUAUAUUGGUGUGAUUUAUGGAAUUUUUGGAUGAGAUUUGGUUAGGUUUGUGAAUUUCCGAAGUUUGGUAUUUUUGGCGGUUAAUUAAUGUAGAAUCCGGCCGUAGGAUUUAAGUCGUAUUUUGGAGAGGUUGUAUUUACGACUGUUGAGUAUGAUAUUUAAGUUCGGAUCGUUCCGAUGUAAGAAUAUCGAAGUUAGGCAAUGAUGAGCGUAAUUAUGGCUCUCGGGUAAUUUUGCCUAUUUUGAUUAAAUAUUGGAUUUUUUUGGUUGGGAAUUAAUAUUAUAUUUGGAACAGGACGUGAGGAGGCUCGAGCAGACGAGACCCCAGAUCGGCAUCAGGCUUAGGCCUAAUUUGUGAGUGGACGUUUAUUUUAAAUAAAUGCGUGCUAAAGUUCACGAUUGAAUAAUUAAUGUCGUGGAGUAUUUUGACGUCAUUUUAAUUUUUGACGAUUUUUAUUUCUCGCGGAGAGAUACCGAAAAUGGGAUUUUCGGUGGAUAUAAAUAUGUAUUUAUGAGAGAGUAUGUAUAUAAAAUGCUAGCUAGCCAUAUGUGUCUGUCCACCUUAAUGGCGUAGCAUGUAGCCGCAUUAUGGUGUGACGUGAGCGUUGGACGUAAGCGUAGUAGCCAUAUUUGAGUGUUUAAUUCAUAUAGGGGGUAUGGACACAUAUUUAUACACCCGUCUGUCCACCUUGAUGGCGUAGUGUAGCACCGCAUUAAGGCGUGACGUGAGCGUUGGACGCGAGCGUAGUAGCCCUAUAUAGACCCAUGAAUUUAUAUAGGGAGUAUGGACGAGUGUAAAUACAUACAUAUAUUAUAGAGUCUAAGAGGCUCGAUAUUUUAUGGGAUAAAAGUUUUAUCGCUUGCGGCAUGCAUUCGAUUUUUCCUUAGAAAUUAAUUUGGGGAAACAUAAAUAUUUUAUUUAUUAUUUUAUUUUUGUCCACUCACUCUAACGUUAUUAAAUGUUUUCCCCUGGGCCCUUCGUUUUAAAUUGCCCAGUCUGCAGAGUUCGGGUUGGAUCUAGUAGGAGACGAGGCAUAGUCACCCGCAUUUCUGCCAGUUUUCGCCAGUAGGUUACCUGUUCAACCUACUCGUGUUUUCUUGCUUCCGCUUGUGUUUAGUAGCUCUGAAUACUUUAGAAUUUUUGUAUAGUAUGCGAUGUUCAGAAGUGAUAAAUUAAGAGUGUAAUUUGAAAUUUUCGAGUUAGGGUUGUCCAUCUGCAAGGGAGAUUUUCUUAAUCUUUUCAGUAAAUUUUCCUUGGAGGUGGUCCCCGCACGACUUACUCUGGGUUUCAGGGUGAAAUUCGGGGUGGGUCGUGUCAUCGGAGCUAUUUUUAAUAAUAUUUGGAAGUUGGUAUUAUCCAGAAAUUUAUUAAAAAUAAUAUUCUAAGUCGGUUUAAUCUCAGCCGUUAGAUUGGGAAUACAUAUACGUUUGGGUUAGAUUGUAAAACAGAAGAACCGAGCUUGGACCGACUCGGUCUCGAGUUGCGAUUCCUCCUCCGUCGAGCGGCUGUCUCUCGACAUCCAACCGGUGGCCAGAGCUCCAUAUCGUCGUCCCCAACAUGACUGUGUUGUUAGAUUUCCAAAACAAGCUCGGAGAAGGGAGAAUCGAGUAGAAGAAGGAUUUCUGGGUUCGCCGGUGAUCUUCGGAUUCCGGCCACGGCGGUGAGCAUGAACGGUGCUGGUAGCUUUGCCUCAACUCCCUGAACAUCGUUGUGCUAUUGGUUUUUGAAUAGAAGCCUUGAGGAGGGAGAAUCGAACCUCAAAAGUUUUUAGGGUUUUCCGGUCGUGUUCUUCAUUUUCCGGCGAGCUUCAAGUAUCAAUUCAGGUAUCAAAGUUGGUCCAUUUGUCGAACUCUACCUGUUUAUAUGCUUGAAUUCGAGUUUGAUUAAGUUUUGGAGAAGUUGGUGUUUGGGCAGACGUCAGCCGCCGUGAGUACUGCUGUGUACGGCGAUGACAGGUGGUGGUUCUUGUAGUUUCUGGUUUUUCAUAGUAUACUGAUUGUGGAGGGAUGCUUUGAUAUGUAUUUGAAUGGCAGGAGAUUGAAAAUUGGAUGAAGUGGGUUUUGGGGCAGUGUUGUUCGGUGGCGAAAAUGAUGGUUGAUAGUUCUGGGUUUGGUUUAUGUUUUGGAUGAAAUUGCAGGACAUGAUGUUGGUGUUGUAUAUGCUUGAAGUCUAGAAAUGGAAGAGUUGGGAAGUAGAGGAUUCAAGUCGAAUUGUGUUGUUGGAAUGAAGAACAGUAGUGUUCUUCUAUUCAUUGAAGUGCUUGAAUUCAAGAGUUUGAAAGUUGAUAUCGGCAAAAUAGAACAUGGGUGUCCAUAGUAGAUUUGGAGUCAAGUUGGUACUUGGAGCGCAAUUUGGAUAUGAUGACGGCAUUGAGCGUAAAGGCGAAUAAGAAUGUGGAAAUAAAUUGAAAUGAGUACAUUUGAUUCGGAAAUCAUUGGAAAAGAAAAAGGAUUCGGUACGAGGAUCGAAUGCGAGUAGCUGGAUUGCAGAAGGAUAAGGAUUUCUGAAUGUGUGUUGCAAAGUUACUAAUUUUAGCUAGUGUCAGAAGUAGCACUUGGAUUCCAGGUAGGGUCUCUCUCGGGGAACUUUUCUUUAAAUCGGUAAUUAGAUUUUAAUUGAAAUGGGUGAUUUGUGUGUCAUUGAGUGAUUAACUCUUGGUUGUUACCAUUUUCGAUAAAAGUAUGUGAUAUCGUUGAAAUAUAUGAACGAUGUUUUCGCUUAUCAGAAAAGAAUGUAUUGAAUGUUAUGAUAUGAGUAUUGAUAUUUGUUGCAUACAUUUUGCAUUGUGAGAAAUUGUGAGAUUAGUGAGAAUGGUGAUUAUGGAGAUGUGAAUGAGAUUUGAUAGAAUGGAUACAUUUUGUGUAGUUGAGUUUCCUGAUGGGUUGUCCAAGAUCCAAGGUAGCCCACACGUGCACAAAUUCAGGGAAUGUAUGCCUUUCGAUGGCAGACAUCGACAAAACGAUCUUAUCGGGUUUCGGGUUUGGAGGCCAUGAGUAUAACAAGAUGACUAACAAAAGAGGUACAAGCGGUGAGAUAUUACUGAUUGUUAGAUCAUAUAUUCGAGACAUCUGAGUCACCCCCGGUUGGUAAAAUACACGGUAUGGGACGUGUAGGCUCACAUGUCUUUGAUGUAUGGACUGAAUGCCAGUAAUCGAGGAAGUCAUUCAUUAGCAUAAAUGCAUCAAAUUUUCGUUAUAUAUUUAAAGUAUUGUUUGAUUGUUUGAUAACUUGUUUGUGCGAAGUAGUUAAGAAUAACUUAAGAAGGUUAGGCCCUACUGAGCGUAAGCUCACCCCUAUAGAGUUUUUGUUCAGGUUUGUACGAGGACACAUGUUUCUAGAAGACUAACUGUGACGUUAGCUUAAGUGUACAAGAGACGAGAAGUACUGAAGAUUAGAAGCCUCAAGACCUAUUUUGUUUUUGUAAUUGGUUUUGUUAUUUGUAAACGUUUUAUUUUCUUUUAUUUCUGGAAAAGUAGUUGAAAUUUGUAUUAUUUUUUUUACUUUUCCCGCUCACGCCUCGGGUUCGGCGUCAGGUGCUUGGAAACCACUGACACCGGGUUCGGGGUGUGACACCACACGUAUAUACACCCAUCCUCUUCGGUCAUAAUGAGGAAAAAUUUGAUUAUGGCGUGACGUGAGCGUUAGAUGCAAGACUCGUAGCCUUGUAUGAAUUUCUAUUCUUCUACUUUGUUCAUAGAAUUCAUACAAGGAGUCUGACGAGUAUAAAUACAUACAUAUAUAUAUAUAUAUAUAUAUUUAUGUAUAGUUUAGCCUGAGAGGCUCCAUUUUAUUGAGUUUUGGAGACUGGCCGGAGGUAGUCAUGUAUUUGCCAGUUUGUAAGUAAAAAGCUUUGAGCUGUUGCAUGCAGCAUAAUUUCUAUGAAAAUUAAAUUGGGAAUGCAUAAAUAUUUUUAUUGAAUUCAUUUUUGUCUACUCACUUUAACGUUUGCAAAUGUUUUCCCCUGGGCCUUUAUUUUAAAAUGCCCAGUAUGCAGGUUAGCAUAGUUGAGGUCGAGCGUACAUGGAGAAGAGGCAUAAUCAAUAGUAUAGCUUUCGCUUAUUUUUAUAUUUCUAGUUCCUUUCCUCUCAAUUAGAGUUGCUCUGAACUGUGAUUGUUGGUUGUGGGAUUAUUCUUAUUAAAGUUAGUAAAUAAAUUGGGAGAUGUUGUGUCACACCCCGGUUCUUAAGUUAUUUUACGGUUAUUUACUUUGGUAUUAUUUUAGUCUUUUACCGUGUUGAAUAACCGUUUAUUACCUAAGGACCCUAAAGUUGACUUUCUUUUCCGUUUAGAAUUUGGAGAAACUUUCUUCAUGAAAGUUGUAGAGGACGUUAAUAUGAGUUCGUAGACAUGCUAAGUGUUAAAAUCGGAGUUAGCAUGAAAAAGUUAUUAUCUAAAAGAGUAAAUUUUUGAGGUGGUAAAAGAAGGUAUUUUUUUAGUGGGUAAAAUUUAUUGGGUUUAAGGGUUAUGGAUUGGCUGUGAGCAGCCCAUAUCCUCCUUCACUCUCUCUCUUUCUCCCUUCCCUCUUUUCCCCGAGCUCCCCGAGCCCCUCUCCGCCGGAAGCUCCCAGCCACCAGCUGCCAUCGUCCGGCCAGCGUUCGGCUGCUGCUCCAGCCCAGUUCGGACCCCCAUCUCCUCCUCUCCCUCCCCGGCCUAGCCCCCGAGCCUCUAACCCGCCGGAAGAGGAGAAAACCCGCCGGAGACGCCGGGAAGCAUUUCGCCGAAAAUCCCAUUUCCGGCCACCAAAACUUGCAAUUCUUAGCUCAUUUUGUAGCUCUCAUCAAGGUGAGUAUCCCCUCAAAAGGAAUAAAUCUUUCUCGUUGUGGUUACGGAGAAAUGUAUAAUUGAAGUUUUAGGGAUUUUUGAUGUUUUUAGUCGAUUACCCUAGUUAGCCUGAGAAUUGGACUAAGUGCUAGUUAGGAAAGUUGUUGUGCUUGAUAAGAGGAUUAUUCUGUUAAACUUUGGUAGAAAUUGGAGGUCGCCGGAAUCGGCCUCCGGCCGUCGCUGCCGGCCGAGCCGGCGCCGGCGCAGGAGCUGUUUGGGAGAUUUUAAUGUUUUUAGAUUUGGAAUAUUAAGGGGAGUUUAUUGAAGUGAGUUAUGGAAGUUUUGGAUAGGUUUGUGAAUUUCCGAAGUUUGGUAAUUUUGGCAGUUAAUUAAUAUAGAAUCCGGCCGUAGGAUUUAAGUCGUAUUUUGUGGGAAGUUGUUUUUACGGCUGCCGGUAUGUUCGGUGAAGUUUGAACCGUAUUGAGUUAAGAAUGGCGAAUUUGGGCAAUGAUGAGUGUGUGGGAGGCUCACGUUUAAUUUUGCCCAUUUUGUUCAAUUAUUGGAUUUUUGGUGGGAAAUUAAUUAUAUAUUUGGAACAGGACGAGAGGAGGCCCGAGCAGAGGAAGCCUCGGAGCGUCAUCAGGCUUAGGCCUAAGUUGUGAGUGGACCUUUAUUUUAAUUGAAAAGCAUGCGAUGAAUUAUCUGUUGAUCAUUUAUGUCUUUUCCUGAGAUUUAUUUAUUUCUCGGAUAUUUGGCAAUUUUCCUCCUUUGGAGAGAUCCCGAAAAUGAGAUUUUCGGUGGAUAUGUUUAUUGGAUGUUUAUGAUGAUAGUAUGUAUAUAUAAAUGCUAGCUAGCCAUACGUGUUUGAUCCGCCAUAAUGAGGUAAAAUACCAUUAUGGUGUGACGUGAGUGUUAGACACAAGCGUAGUAGCCCUAUAUGAAAAAUAUUUUCUUAUUUGGUUUAUUUAAGUUUUCAUAUAGGGAGUCCACACGUAUAUACACUCGUGCUUUUUCCGCCACACUGAGGUACAAUUCUAUUAUGGUGUGACGUGAGCCUUAGACGCAAGCGUAGUAGCCUUGUAUGAAUUUCUAUUUUUCUAAUUUGUUCUUAGAAUUCAUACAAGGAGUCUGACGAGUGUAAAUACAUACACUUAUAUAUGUUUAUAUAUACUUUAGCCUGAGAGGCUGUAUUUUAUUAAGUUUUGGAGACUAGCCGGUGCUGGUCGUGAAGUUGUCAGUUUUUGAGUUGAGCGCUUUUGAGUGAUUGCAUGCAGUAUUAUUUUAUUUGGAAAUUAAAUUGGGGAAGCAUAAAGAAAUACUUUUAUUUUAAUUUAUUUUUGUCUACUCACUCUAACUGUUCCACAUGUUUUCCCCUGGGCUCUUCGUUUUAAAUUGCCCAGUCUGCAGAGUUCGGGUUGGAUCUAGUAGGAGGCGAGGCAUAGUCACCCGCAUUUCCGCCCGUUUUCAUCAGUAGGUUACAUGUUUAACCUACUCGUGUUUUCUUGCUUCUGCUAGUGUCUAGUAGCUCUGAAUACUUUGGGAUUAUUGUAUUUUAUGUUUAGAAUUUCUGAAGGUUAAUUAUGUGAUGUUUGGACGUGUUGUAUUAAUAGUGUAUUUUGGAAUUUUCGAGUUAGGGUUGUCCAUUUUCAAGGGAGAUUUUAUCAAUCUUUUCAGUAAAUUUUCCUUGGAGGUGGUCCCCGCACGACUUACUCCGGGUUUCAGGGUGAAAUUCGGGGUGGGUCGUGUCAUGUUGUGAUGUGGGCAGCACGAAGGCUCUAGGAGUAGAAGGUUGUAGAUGGAUUUUUUUGAAGUGUAUGCAUGUAUUAUUAGGAAGGGUUGUCUAUUUUCAAGGGAGGUUAUACCGAAUUUUUUCGGUAAUAUUUUUUUUGGAGGUGGUCCCCGCAGGAUUUACUUCAGGUUUCAGGGUGAAAUUCAGGGUGGGUCUUGACACAGAAGCUGAAGAUACUAGGAGCUGAAAAUACUUACCUGUCUUCCGUACCGUCUCUCCCAAACAGGGCCAAACAAACUAGAUGGCAAAUCCACAACCCAACCUCUGCCGCUCAGAUUGGGCCUGACACGAAGUACGUUCUCGCCCAUCCAACGACACCGCCUCAAGGAUGUGUCGUCGAACUGGGCAUGCACUAUGAACAAGGGGCUGCUAGAUAGGGUUUUGAAGAGAAAAGUCUCUUUGUUUUAUCAAUUCUUGUUAAAAUUUGUAGCCCUGAUUUGAUGUCAACAGGUGAAAUCAAUCCUAAAAAUUAAUCAAAUAGUAAUUAAUCAGAGAUCUCCAAUGACCUAAUGUAUGGAUUUGUUACUAAGACAAUUGCGGUAACAAAAUUUGGGUACAAGGUUGGUUGUAACAGCUUGGAAACAGUCCCGCAUUGAUCAAAAAGAACAAAUUGUUUUUUUUAUGGAAGGGCCCUUACGACCAAUUUCAUUGAUCAAAAGCCAAAAUGGCGCGGAUACAUGCUUUCCCUUGCCAAACGUUUGGGAAAGUUAAUGACUUGACAUGGCAUGCUAGUACCAUUCAUUACAAAUUCCACUCACUUAAUUCGAUACAGAAAAGAAAAAAGUGAACCUAAUUAGACCAUGAAACAAAUCACAACAAUUAGGCACACACACAAAAUGCUUAGACUCCUAAAAAAGGAAUUAUUGUAAAUAGACAAGCUACAUACUUAGAAAAUGAGCUAAGGCAUGAACCCUAGCCCAAAUCUAGGCCCAAGCAACUCCAAAAUGGCCCAACCCAAAGCUCGAACAAGGGAGACCCAUGCCUGCAUCCACCACACCCUUUGCCGUCACUACUUCCCAAAGCAUCUUUGAAUCCUUCGUCCACGCCAUCGCCAUCCGAAACGAGUCAGAUCCACCAUGACCCUUACCACACAUGACAACAGCCAUGAUACCAUCAAUUUGCACCGAUCCAACAAGCUUCGCUGUCGACAAUAGAUAGCAAAAAAAUUCUGACGAAAACACGCCGUCGCAAUGCUCAGAUGAAAACAUGCCGCCGCAGGACUCAAAGCCAACAAGCCCCGAUCCCUUCGCUCAAAACUUCAAGCCAAAAAAACCAUGAAGAAACUACUUGGCAACUUGUAGAUCCCGUCCGACGGUCUCUACUCGGAGUCAUCAAAGCCCAAAGGCCAGCCUCUAACCGAGUUCGGCCACCGGAUGAGAUGGAGAUUUGGGUGUGGGAGUCGAGUGUCUUUCGGUUAUGUGUCUUGACCUAAUCGUUUCUUUAUUAUAAUAGAUUACAACAAAAUAACAAAAUGACAUGACAUGGACAAAGAAAAACGUGGUGUUAUAAGAAGUACAACACGAACAAUCAUAGAAAGUGCCAUAUAAGUUGAAGAAGCGGAGACACCAAUGCAAAGAGGAGUUAGCUACACUUCACUAGACUACAGAUUACAGAAUAAAUACAUAGAGCGAGGGAGUGUGUGAGGAAGAAAAGGGAUCAUGUUCCAUUGCCAGCCAAUCGUUCAUAAAUAUACGUCCCCCAUCUUUGUAAUUACCCAAAAAGCCCACUUCAAAGCUGGCACACCCAAACCUCAAAAACUUAAAUAAAAAAUAAUAAUAAUAAAAAGAAAAUAGAAACGGGAUGUUGUGGACUGUAGGAGCACUCUGCACUCCUAUUGAAGAAGCACCGCCCAAUUACUAAACUAGCAGCAUUUUUUCAGUCUUAGACCUAUUUUUGAAAGAUAAUAGUAAUUAAAAAUAAAUAGAAUAAUAGUUUUGGGAUUUGAGUAGUGCCCCCAGAUUAUGUAUUACAGAAAACAACCAAAUGGAGUGGCGCCCAUGUUCUAGUCAAUAUCAAAAUUCCCCACUUGGUCAAUCACCAAACCCCCGCUCUCUCUCCACUGCCCUACUCCCCUCGUCCCCUCACUAUCUUUAAGAUCAUAGCAAUCCCACAUCACAUAUCAACAUGCUUAACUGAUUUCUGAAAUUCUAGGGUUAUAAAAAAGUAACCCAACAUUUUUCUAUUUAACCCUUUCCCAAAAAAAUCAACUCUAAACUUUGAUUGAUCGUAACUUUAUCGUACGACAUCCGUUUUACGCGUGCCACAUGUCUACGAACUCGUAUCGCCGUGCUCUACAAAUUCCGUGAAAGAAGUUUCUUGAGAAACCCAAUGAAUAAAAAGUCAACUAAAAAGUCAACCAAAUAAAAUAAAUAAAUAAUAAUAGAAACUAGUAUCUAAAUUCCGGGGUAUUACAUGUACUCUUGGUUUACCUUAUGUGAUGUUGGGUUGAGUCCGUUAAUGUAGAUUUACUCAUACGACCUGUUAAAGCUUACCGGGUUUGUUGUUUAUAACCCGGUGCACUAAUUCAUGAUGUAGGGGUUAUACCUGCAAGUGAUGAUCAGCAGGGUUGAGGCGGAGGCAUAGUAGCUGGGUUCUAGAGGCUGUACAUUUUAUUUUUAAUAUUAUGGCUGUUUGUUUUUACGCUCUUGCAAGCGACUGUAUUUUACUAGACUUUUUGAAGUUGAUGUAAUUAAGGAGAGAUAAUGUUUAACUCAGUUAAUGAGUUUUGUUGACAUUUACAUUUCUAGCAUUUGAUUUUAGUUGGAAGUUGUUAAGCAGGUUUUGGAAUAUUAAGAUUUUGAGUUAUAUCAUGCCCAAAUUUUUGAAAAUUAUCCUUAAAAAAAUUGGGGUGUGACAAAUGACAUCCAUUACGAGAGCAUAUCUCAUCCCAGUGCGUGUUAGUGAGAGACCUAGCGCUAUAAGGUGAGUAUAAGCUUUUGUUCUUACUACGCUAUCUAACAAACACUACAAGAAUUCGGGGCAUUUACCGAGCAAAAUUUAUGGUGUGCACCAAUGCACACCGUAUUAUGUGCUCUUUUAUGGCGUGCUUUUAAUGCGUGUCGUAAAAAACCUCUGACAUGUAUUCUUUUACUGCGUGCUUUUAAUGCAUGCCAUAAAUGACCAAUCACAUUAAGUCUUUCGUUGCACGCAUGUAUAACGUGCCGUAAUCGUGAUAUGUUUUUACUGCACACAUAUCAAAUGUUUUCCUCUUCUAAGAAGUCCCGCACCUUUGCAAAGCCUCAAACGUCAACCCCCAAACCUCAAUAAUCUCGAUAGAGUUAGAAAGAAGCUCUAAUCCUCCAUCGAAUUCUACAAUGAGUUGCAAACCGGAAAGCCUGCAAAUCGGUUUCUAGGGAUUUCUGGCUGUGGUGGUGCAAGGUAGGUUUGUUUCUUCUUCUUCUUCUCUCUUAUCUUAAUCGAUUUUUGUAUUCUACUUUCUCUUUGAAGCGAUUAGAAUCGCUGAAACCCUUAAUCCUUUUAUUUCUCCGGUUAUGAAUGUCGUUGUUUCAACCCCAGCCGUCAGCCUUCCUCAUCAAUCGCAGCCCCAAACUAUCGUCGGCCACAAACUCUUGGGCUAUCAGACUUCGUGACAUUCGUUGUUGUGUACGGCUGAGAUUGUGAUUCUUAAUCAUAAAAUUCAGGUAUGGCUAAUAGUAAUCCCUAUUAUAGUGUGGGAUUGUAAAUUUCACAGUAAUGUCAAAAGUAAUUUUCUUUUAUAACCUAAGUAAGCUGUGAGUAGGUUGUUAAGUGUUUCAUUGUUAUGUCGAUUGCAAUAUGCUUAUAUGCAGAAGUGUAAAUGUAUUUUUUUGCUAGUAUCAAUUUUGGGAGUGUAAUGAUCUCAAUUUUAUUUAGGUUUAUUUAUCGAAUUGCUUUUGUGUGUUUUUUUUUUCUCUGACUAGGAUUUUGAUUUUGAUUAUAUUUUGGACUACCAAUUAUAUUUCCAAAUUAGAUUUUCUUUUCUACGUGUAUAGUUGUUCUUUAUUUAAUUUUGGGUGAAAAUAUUUAUUUGGGUCUAGAACUAUCCAGUCAUCAUCAGAAGCAGAACACGUUGCCCAUUCUUUUUCGUUCACGUGUCCCUAACUGAUUUCUCCAGAAUUUACUCGUCAGUCUCUCUUCCUCUUCUCCCUUCUCUUCUUGUUCUUCUUCCCCUUUUCUCUACUCUUCACUUCUGUCUCUACUCUGAUCAUCACUCUCUUCUCUAAAUCAACAACACCGAUUUCACUAGCUCACAAGGAAGAGGGGAGGAAUCGCCAUGAAAUUCGUUGCCAAAGAAUCUGAAAUUCUUUGUCUAUUCGCAGCUAACUCCUAUAAGUUUCAAUCUCUUGUAAGUUUCAGUCUUCUCUCUCUCAAACUAGUUAUCCAAUCUCAGUUGUUUCUGUCAAGACCCACCCUGAAUUUCACACUGAAACAUGAAGUAAAUUCUACGGGGACCACCUCUAAGGAAAGUUUACCGAAAAUUCGGCAUAACCUCUCUUGAAAAUGAACAACCCUUCCUAAUAAAACCUGCAUACACUUAUGAUAAACCAAAUCCAACCUUAAACUCCUGGAGCCUUCAUGCUCCCCCAAAUCACAACAUCUCCCAAUUAUUUACUAACUUUAAUAAGAAUAAUCCCACAACCAACAAUCACAGUUUAGAGCAAUUCUAAUUGAGAGGAAAUGAACUAGAAAUUUAGAAAUGAGCGGAAGCUAUACUAUUAACUAUGCCUCUUCUCCAUGUACGCCCGACCUCAACUAUGCUAACCUGCAAACUGGGCAUUUUUAAAACGAAGAGCCCAGGGGAAAACAUUUGAAACCGUUAAAGUGAGUGGACAAAGAUAAAUUAAUAAAUAAAAUAUUUAUGUUUCCCCAAAUCAAUUUCCAAGGAAAAAUCAAAUGUAUGCUGCAAGCGAUAAAACUUUAAUCUCGUAAAAUAUCGAGCCUCUCAGGCUCUAAAAUAUAUGUAUGUAUUUACACACGUCCAUACUCCCUAUAUAAAUUCAUGGGUCUAUAUAGGGCUACUACGCUCGCGUCCAAUGCUCACGUGACGUCUUAAUGCGGUGCUACACUACGCCAUUAAGGUGGACAGACGGGUGUAUAAAUAUGUGUCCAUACCCCCUAUAUGAAUUAAACACUCAUAUAGGGCUACUACGCUCACGUCCAACGCUCACGUCACACCAUAAUGCGGCUAUAUGCUACGCCAUUACGGUGGACAGACACAUAUGGCUAGCUAGCAUUUAUAUACAUACUCUCCUCAAUAUACAUAUUUAUACUCAACGAAAAAUCUCAUUUUUCGGUAACUCUCCAAAAGAAAUAAAAACGUCAAAAAUUAAAUGACGUCAAAACUCCAACAAUUUAAAUGUUCAACCAUGACCAUAGCAUGCAUAUUAUUUAAAACAAAAGUCCCCCCACAACUUUAGGCCUAAGUCUGACGUCGAUCCGAGGUCUCUUCUGCUUGAGCCUCCUCACGUCCUGUUUCCAAAUGUAAAAAUAAUUUCGCAACUAAAAAUCCAAAUAUUUAUACAAAAUAGGCAAAAUAAACAUGAGCUACUAUAUGAACUCCCUAUAUGAAAGCCUAAAUAAACCAAAUAAGAAAAUAGUUUUCAUAUAGGGCUACUACGCUUGUGUCUAACACUCACGUCACACCAUAAUGGUAUUUUACCUCAUUAUGGCGGAUCAAACACGUAUGGCUAGCUACCAUUUACAUAUACAUACUAUCAUCAUAAACAUCCAAUAAACAUAUCCACCGAAAAUCUCAUUUUCGGGAUCUCUCCAAAGGAGGAAAAUUGCCAAAUAUCCGAGAAAUAAAUAAAUUUCAGGAAAAGAAAUAAAUAAUCAACAGAUAAUUCAUCGCAUGCUUUUCAAUUAAAAUAAAGGUCCACUCACAAAUUAGGCCUAAGCCUGAUGACGCUCCGAGGUUUCCUCUGCUCGGGCCUCCUCUCGUCCUGUUCCAAAUAUAUAAUUAAUUUCCCACCAAAAAUCCAAUAAUUAAACAAAAUGGGCAAAAUUAAACGUGAGGCUCCUACACACUCAUCAUUGCCCAAAUUCGCCAUUCUUAACUCAAUACCGCUCAAACUUCGCAGAACAUACCGGCAGCCGUAAAAACAACUUCCCACAGAAUACGACUUAAAUCCUACGGCCGGAUUCUACAUUAAUUAACCGCCAAAAAUACCAAACUUCGGAAAUUCACAAACCUAUCCAAAACUCAUCCAAAAAUACCAUAACUCACUUCAAUAAACUCCCCUUAAUAUUCCAAAUCUAAAAAAACAUUAAAAUCUCCCAAACAACUCCGGUAGCGGCGGCCGGAGGCCGAUUCCGGCGACCUCCAAUUCUUAUGAAAUUUUAACAGCAUCUUCCUCUCAUCAUGCUCUACAACUUUCCUAACUAGCACAAACCCAAAAUCCAAGCCUAGCUAUGCCAAUCGAACAAAAACAUCAAAAACGCCCUAGAGCUUCCACCUCAAAUUUCUCCUUACCUGAAGCAAACCGGGGUGACUCCAUUUAGGGCAAGGCAGCUGGGUUAGAGACCUACAAAACCGUACCAAGCUUGCCCGGAUUGGUGGUCGGAGGAGGGAGAGGAGGUGAUGGGGGUCCGAACUGGGGUGGAGUGGUGGCUGGUGGCUAGUCGGACGGCGGCAGCUGGCAGCUGGAAAUUUCCGGCGAAGGGAGAGAGAGCACGGGAGGGAGAAGGAAGAGAAAAGAGAGAAGAAGAGAAAGAGAGGAAAUGGGUUGGGCCUCUCCAACCGGUCCAACUCCACUAAUAUACCUAACUCCCACAAAUAAAACACCCCGAAAAAUAAUACCCGAAAAAAAUUACCUUUUACUAGCUAAAAUUUACCCCUUUUACCGUCGCCAUAUUUUCGUCCUACGAGUAAUCCUCCGCACAUAAUCGUCCCCGUAACCCCUCUAGGGACCAAUUAAACUAUUAACUCAGUGACGGAGACGGUAAAAUUCUUAUUAAAAACAAGGUAGUAAAUAAGGUAAAAAUAUAAGAGUCGGGAUAUGAUAAUUCUCCCCUCCUUAUAAAAAUUUCGUCCUCGAAAUUUGCAUACCUGUCAUCCGAAGAGAUAGGGAUACUGCUGCAUCAUUUGCUGCUCUGAUUCCCAAGUAGCUUCUUCUACUUGAUGACUUCUCCAAAGCACCUUGACAAGUGAGAUUGUCUUAUUCCUAAGCACUUGCUCCUUUCGGUCGAGAAUCUGAACCGGUUCCUCUUCAUAUGUCAAAUCUCUCGUCAAACUGAUCGGCUGCUCUUGCAGCACAUGAGAAGGAUCGGCAAUAUACUUGCAAAGCAUGGAUACAUGAAACACAUUAUGUAUCCUAGCUAACUCUGGAGGCAAAAGUAGCCGAUAAGCAAGUGAGCCAACUCGCUCUAUGAUCACAUAAGGGCCAAUAUACCUCAGACUAAGCUUCCCACGCUUACCGAAACGCACAACCCCUUUCCAAGGAGAUAAUUUCAGGAACACCCAAUCACCCACUUGAAAUUCAAGAUCUCUCCUACGGACAUCUGCAUAACUCUUCUGCCUACUUUGAGCGGUCUUGAGUCUAUCUCUAACCACUUUAAUCUUCUCAUUCGUAACAUGGAUUAAUUCUGGGCCACAGAGCUCUUUUUCCCCCACUUCAUUUCAACACAAAGGCGUGCGACACAGCCUCCCAUAAAGACCCUCAAAGGGAGCCAUACCAAUGCUAGAAUGAAAGAUAUUAUUAUAGGCAAAUUCCAUCAAAGAUAGGUUUUUAUCCCAACUUCCUCUGAACUGCAAGACACAAGCCCUCAACAUAUCCUCCAACGUCAGAAUUGUCCUCUCGGACUGCCCAUCAGUCUGAGGAUGAAAAGCAGUGCUGAAGAGUAAUUGGGUACCUAAAGCUGCCUGAAGAGCUCCCCAGAAUUUAGAAGCAAAUCGAGGAUCCCGAUCUGACACUAUUGAUUCAGGAACACCAUGAAGCCUCACAAUUUCAUUCACAUAAAGCUCCGCCAAUUUAUCCAAUUUAUACUUCUUUCCCACUGGCAAGAAAUGUGCAGACUUGGUGAGUCGAUCCACAAUCACCCAAAUACCGUCAUGCCCUUUACGGGUACGAGGUAAACUGAAAACGAAAUCCAUGGUGAUGUGGUCCCACUUCCACACUGGAAUAGGCAACGGCUCAAGCAAUCCAGAAGGCUUCUGCCUUUCAGCUUUUACUUGCUGACAAACCAGACAUCUACUCACAUAAGCUGCAAUUUCCCUCUUCAUGUUUGGCCACCAAUAAUAAUUCUUCAAAAUCCGAUACAUUUUUGUGCUACCCGGAUGAGCAGCAUAUGCAGAGCUAUGAGCUUCCUCCAUAAUCUCAUUCUUCAACUCUUCAUUUCUUUUUGGAACUACAUUAGCCGAUUCUUAAACAUAGAGUCCCAUCUCUUCUAACUGAAAAAUGAUCGGCAGCGGCUCCAUUCGAAGCUCUUUCCAUUCAAUCAAACUAUGGAAGGAUCAUUAUACUGUGCUUCCCGCACUCUAUCAACCAAAACUGGCCUCACAUGAAAACUGGCUAUCAAAGCACCAACCUCAUCUACUGAUAAAUCCACUCCUGUAGCUUGCAACUCACAAAGAAGCGGAACACGAACCAUCUUUAUAUGAGAUAAAGAUAUAGAGGGAUUUCGACUAAGAGCAUCCGCUACCACAUUAGCUUUUCCAGGGUGAUACUCAAUAGUGCAAUCAUAAUCAUUGAUUAACUCCAUCCACCUUCUCUGUCCCAUAUUUAGCUCUCUUUGAGUGAAUACAUACCGAAGACUCUUGUGAUCGGUAAAUAUCUGACACUUGCCUCCAUAAAGAUAGUGUUUCCACAACUUGAGAGCAAAAACUACCGCUGCAAGCUCCAGAUCAUGAGUAGGAUAAUUCCCCUCAUGCGGCUUUAAUUGCCUAGAAGCGUAGGCAAUAACUCGUCCAUGCUGCAUCAAUACUCCACCUAGACCAUGUCUAGAAGCAUCACAAUAGAUCACAUACUCUCCACUAUCAUCCGGAAGUGCCAAAACAGGAGCACUUGUUAAGCAAUUCUUCAAUUCUUGGAAACUUUGCUCACAUUGAUCUGACCAUUCAAACUUAACCCUCUUCCUGGUCAAUCUUGUGAGAGGAGCAACAAUCUUUGAAAAAUCUUUCACAAAGCGCCGAUAAUAACCUACUAAUCCCAAGAAACUACGAAUCUCCAUCACAGUGGUGGGUCUUCUCCAAUUCGACACUGCUUUCACCUUUUGGGGAUCCCCACUAACUCCUUCUACCGAAAUCACAUGACCCAAAAACCCCUCUUUAUCUAGCCAAAACUCACACUUGCUAAACUUAGCAAAUAACUGCGACUUUUCCAAAGUCCGUAAUAUUAUUCUUAGAUGCUUGGCAUGCUCCUUCUCACUUCUUGAGUAAACCAAUAUGUCAUCUAUGAAUACGAUCACGAAACGAUCAAGAUAUGGACUAAACACCCUAUUCAUGAGAUCCAUGAACGCCACGGGUGCAUUAGUAAGUCCAAAUAGCAUCACCAUAAACUCAUAAUGACCAUAUCGUGACCGAAAAGCAGUCUUGGCUAUGUCCCCCUCUCGGAUCCGCAACUGAUGAUAACCCGAUCUCAAAUCAAUNNNNNNNNNNNNNNNNNNNNUUAGAGAAAACAGAGGCACCCGUCAACUGAUCAAAUAAAUCAUCGAUCCGAGGCAACGGAUAUUUAUUCUUCACUGUGACCUGAUUCAACUUCCUAUAAUCAAUGCAUAGUCUCAUGGUGCCGUCUUUCUUCUUAACAAACAACACCGGAGCACCCCAUGGAGACAUGCUAGGCCGAAUAAAACCCUUAUGUACCAACUUCUGCAAUUGAGUCUUCAACUCUUUCAAUUCCGCUGGAGCCAUUUUGUAAGGUGCCUGAGAGAUAGAUAUAGUUCCAGGAAGUAAUUCUAUAGAGAAGUCUAUCUCCCUUGCAGGAGGCAAACCAGGCAACUCCUCAGGAAAAACAUCCGGAAACUCCCUUACUACCGGAAUAUCUUCUAAUCCCACAACUCCCAUAAUUGUAUCCACGACAUGAGCUAAAUAUGCCUGACAGCCUUUACUCAACAAUUUCCUUGUAGCAACAGCGGAAAUUAUGCAACUAGAAAUAACAUCUCUUUCCCCUUGGAAAGCAACCUCAAAACCAUCUGGACUUCGAAGCACCACUACUUUUUGAAAACAAUCUACCAUAGCUCUAUAUGCUUCCAAAAAGUCCAUUCCCAAGAUCACAUCAAACUCCACUAUAUCUAAAGGAAUUAAAUCAGCCUCAAAAUUAACUCCUUCCACUAAAACUUCACAACCACUAAAUACCCAAUUUAUUCUCAUCACCUCACCGGAGGGUAGAGACACAUGCCACUCGCCUGGAAGAGACGAUGAUAGCACAUUGGCAUGGAGAGCGAAUCUACUAGACAUGAAUGAAUGCGUGGCUCCUGGAUCAAUUAAAGUAAAAGCAGGCUGACCGAAAAUUAAUAACGUACCAAUGAUGACAUCUGGAGAAGUACGACCCUCCUGCUGGGUCAUAGUAUGUAGUCUAGCGCGAGUCAUGGGACGUCUAUGCUGACCACCACCCCGCUGAGAGCCACCUCUGACCGAUGCACUGCCCUGGGCACCACUACUGGAGCCUCCAGCUGAAGACUGACCAACUGGCUGAGUAGGGGUGGGGGUGGUCCUCUGAGCCAACAAUGGGCAAUCUCUCCUGAAGUUGUCUUGACCACCACACUCAAAGCACCCAGAAAACUGCUGCUACCCAUAAGAAAAAGUCUAGCUACCGGAUGACCCACCAUGGAAAUUACCACCAGAACCAUACUGCCCAGACUGCUGCCUACCCAAAUGACUCCGAGAAGGUCUCCUGAAACAUCCUCUAGUCCUGUUUCGAGCACCAGAGCUCGAUCCCCCACUACUGCCACUACCAGCAGAAGACCCAGAAGCGGAUGAUGUAGCAGCCUUCUUAGAUGGACCUUGACUAGGGCCACCGUAAUCACGAGGCCGAACACCAUAUGUCCCCCUAAACUCAAUGGCCAUGGCUGCACCAACUGCAUCCUCAAAAGUCGGGUAAAUUACCCAUGUCAUCUUGUCCGCAUACACUCCACCAAGUACCCCAAUGAACAUCUCAAUCCUGGUCCUCUCAUCAGAAACCAGAUAUGACACAUGGUAGCUCAGGGAAGUGAAUCUUUCCUGAAACUCUAAGAUACCCUCAUCGUCCCUCUUUGACAUAUGCAGGAAAUCCGACUGAAUUCUGCUGCGGUGGGCAUGAUUGAAAUACUGCCCCAAGAAGAGAGUCUUAAACUACUCCCACGACAUAUUCAGCGCAUCCUCAACAUUCCUGUUGGCAAGUGACCACCAGUGAUGUGCUGAAUCAUCCAGAAAAGUCACUGCUAUCUUCACCUUUCUUUCUUCUGGCAGCUCAGUGCUCGCAAAAGCCUUUUCCAUCUUAUCCACCUAAUUGUGAGCAUCAAGAGGUCCCUUGGCACCCUUGAACUCUCUGGCUCCAGCAUAAAAAACUUCUCUCCUUUUCACAGUAGGAGGGCGUGGAGCUCGAUCCAUGACAUCCCUUAGCAUAUUUCCAAUAUCAUCAACCAGUCCCCUGACCUCAUUGCCCUCAUCGGCAUUGGUUGAAGUGGCCACACGGGGUUGCCGUGGGCGCCUAGGAGGCAUAGUACCUGAGAAAGAAGAAAUUUAGUAGUCCAUAAACAAGACUAACACAACAAUCACACAUACCCAAUAACACAUAGCAUCAAAAGCAUAAAAUGCCAAUGAAUCCGCCGCGGUCUGAUCAUCACUCUAUAGACACUACGUGCUACUUAGGCAAAUAUGAUAGUGACAAGGAAGCAGGAAAAGGAAACCUAAAGCUCUGAUACCAACUGACACGACCCACCCCAAAUUUCACCCUGAAACCCGAAGUCGUGCGGGGACCACCUCCAAGAAAAAUUUACUGAAAAGAUUGAUAAAAUCUCCCUUGAAAAUGGACAACCCUAACUCGAAAAUUCCAAAUUACACUCUUAAUACAACACGUCCAAACAUCACAUAAUUAACCUUCAGAAAUUCUAAACAUAAUAUACAAUAAUCUCAAAGUAUUCAGAGCUACUAGACACUAGCGGAAGCAAGAAAACACGAGUAGGUUAAACAUGUAAUCUACUGAUGAAAACUGGCGGAAAUCCGGGUGACUAUGCCUCGCCUCCUACUAGAUCCAACUCGAACUCUGCAGACUGGGCAAUUUAAAACGAAGAGCCCAAGGGAAAACAUGUGGAACAGUUAGAGUGAGUGGACAAAAACUAAAUUAAAUAAAAAUAUUUCUUUAUGCUUUCCCAAUUUAAUUUCCAAAUAAAAUAAUACUGCAUGCAAUCGCUCAAAAGCGCUCAACUCAAAAACUGACAACUUCACGACUAGCACCGGCUAGUCUCCAAAACUUAAUAAAAUACAGCCUCUCAGGCUAAAUUAUAUAUAAACAUAUAUAAGUGUAUGUAUUUACACUCGUCAGACUCCUUGUAUGAAUUCUAAGAACAAAUUAGAAAAAUAGAAAUUCAUACAAGGCUACUACGCUUGCGUCUAACGCUCACGUCACACCAUAAUGGAAUUGUACCUCAGUAUGGCGGAAAAAGCACGAGUGUAUAUACGUGUGGACUCCCUAUAUGAAAACCUAAAUAAACCAAAUAAGAAAAUAGUUUUCAUAUAGGGCUACUACGCUUGUGUCUAACACUCACGUCACACCAUAAUGGUAUUUUACCUCAUUAUGGCAGAUCAAACACGUAUGGCUAGCUAGCAUUUACAUAUACAUACUAUCAUCAUAAACAUCCAAUAAACAUAUCCACCGAAAAUCUCAUUUUCGGGAUCUUUCCAAAGGAGGAAAAUUGCCAAAUAUCCGAGAAAUAAAUAAAUCUCAUGAAAAGAAAUAAAUAAUCAACAUAUAAUUCAUCGCAUGCUUUUCAAUUAAAAUAGAGGUCCACUCACAAAUUAGGCCUAAGCCUGAUGACGCUCCGACGCUUCCUCUGCUCGGGCCUCCUCUCGUCCUGUUCCAAAUAUAUAAUUAAUUUCCCACCAAAAAUCCAAUAAUUAAACAAAAUGGGCAAAAUUAAACGUGAGCCUCCAACACACUCAUCAUUGCCCAAACCAAAUUCGUCAUUCUUAACUCAAUACAGCUCAAACUUCGGCGAACAUACCGGCAGCUGUAAAAACAACUUCCCACAGAAUACGACUUAAAUCCUACGGCCGGAUUCUACAUUAAUUAACCGCCAAAAAUACCAAACUUCGAAAAUUCAUAAACCUAUCCAAAACUCAUCCAAAAAUUCCAUAACUCACUUCAAUAAACUCCCCUUAAUAUUCCUAAUCUAAAAACAUUAAAAUCUCCCAAACAGCUCCGGUAGCGGCGGCCGGAGGCCGAUUCCGGCGACCUCCAAUUCCUAUGAAAUUUUAACAGCAUCUUCCUCUCAUCAUGCUCUACAACUUUCCUAACUAGCACAAACCCAAAAUCCAAGCCUAGCUAUGUCAAUCGAACAAAAACAUCAAAAACGCCCUAGAGCUUCCACCUCAAAUUGCUCCUUACCUGAAGCAAACCGGAGUGAGUCCUUUUAGGGCAAGGCAGCUGGGUUAGAGACCUACAAAACCGUACCAAGCUUGCCCGGAUUGGUGGCCGGAGGAGGGAUUUCCGACGAAAAGCUUCCCGGCGUUUCCGGUGCGUUUUCUCUUCUUCCGGCGGGCUAACGGCUCGGGGGCUAGGCCGGGGAGGGAGAGGAGGUGAUGGGGGUCCGAACUGGGGUGGAGUGGUGGCUGGUGGCUGGCCGAACGGCGGCAGCUGGCAGCUGGAAGUUUCCGGCGAAGGGAGAGAGAGCACGGGAGGGAGAAGGAAGAGAAAAGAGAGAAGAAGAGAAAGAGAGGAAAUGGGUUGGGCCUCUCCAACCGGUCCAACUCCACUAAUAUACCUAACUCCCACAAAUAAAACACCCCGAAAAAAAAUUACCUUUUACUAACUAAAAUUUACCAUUUUUACCGUCGCCAUAUUUUCCUCCUACGAAUAAUCCUCCGCCCAUAAUCGUCCCCGAAACCCCUCUAAGGACCAAUUAAACUAUUAACUCAAUGACGGAGAUGGUAAAAUUCUUAUUAUAAACAAGCUAGUAAAUAAGGUAAAAAUAUAAGAGUCGGGAUGUGACAGGAGCAGUCGGCGUUUCCGGUGGUUUUCUUCUCUCCGGCGGCGCUACCAGCUCGGACACUAGGCCGGGAAGAGAGAAGAGGUGGCAGGGCUCCAAACUGGGCUGGAGCGGCGGCCGGUUGCUGGCCGGAUGGCGGCAGGCGAUGGUCGGAAGUCGGACGGAGAGAUAAGCUCUGGGGGAGAGGGAGAGAGAAGAGAAAGAGGAGGAAAAAGAAGGAAGAAAAAAAAUGGGCCACUCCUCUAACCCAGUCCAACACCUUAAACAAAACCCCAACUCCCAAAAAUUAACACCUCAGAAUAAUACCCAAAUAAAAAUUACCUUUUACCAGCUAAAAUUUACUAUUUUUACCGUCGUCAAAUUUUUCUCUUACGAAUAGUUCCUCCGAAAUAAUCGUCCAUCAAAACCCCUCUAGGGACUAUUUAAACUAUAAACUCAUUGACAAAGACGGUAAAACUCUUAUUAUUACCAAGCUAGUAAAUAAGUUAAGAAUUUAAGGGUCGGGAUGUGACAGUUUUCCUAAUAAAAUUGGACUCUGAAUUGUAUCAUGAAUCUCAAAUUAGGGAACUUGAAUUGCUUGGGUGCAAGCUGGGACUUUGCUUUCGGAAUCAAACUGCUAUUGUUUGAUUUGGGUGCUUAUGUGUUUGGAGUUGCUUGCUUAUGCCGGUUGCUAUGACAUGAGGUAGGGAAAACAAACUUUUCUUUAUAGCUUUGAUUCUAGUUUCAUGUGUAUUUGGUGUGAUUGUGUUGGAAUGUCUUCUCUGCUAUUUUUCCUUGAUUGAAACUGUCAAGCAUACAUAGCUUGUCGAAUAGAAAUCUUGUUGAGUGUCAUUGUUACUCUGAUUCAAGGUAAUAUGUACCCUUGUCUUAUAUUUAAUAUUGAAAUGAUAGCCUUGAGUAUUUUGGCUGGUAUUCUUUGAAGAAGUUCACAUUGGACAAGGUCCUUCUCGUUCCCAACUCUCUUCUUAUUAUGUUAGUUGCAGCCGUGGCUUGUAUCUUGUUAUACCAUCUAAAGUGGUUUUAUCUGUGUCUACUUUGUCUUAUGUUACUGCUUUCUUGGCUUCUCCUUUGAGUCUAUUACUUAGUUUAGUCCUGCUCUCUGUUAAUGCUCAUGAACUCACUGUACAAAGCUGCUCAAGUUAGUGUCUUUACCCAUUGAUAUUUAUAUUCUUGAGGCCGAUACAAAUCUGAUUCUUGCCCUGUUCUUUAUAAUUUAAAAGGAAGUUUUUAUACAUGGUUUUACUUGAACCAAAAAUUCAAGGCUUUGCUUAUUUUCACUGAUAUGACCUCUGUAAGGGAAUAGAUAAAUGAGAUAACUAGAUUUCUUGCUCUUAGCUAUUCUACUUGUUUGUUUUAUUCUUGGUGCCCGCUACCCUAUAAUUUCUGAAAUUAAUCAAGUACGACUUUUGAAACUGAAGUAUGUCUUCUCACAAUUAUCUGAUUUGUAGCAAAAAGACGUCGUACAUGUGUUAUAUACUUACCUAUACAUACGUUCUUGGUCUUUUGACCUCAAAGUGAAAUUAGCUUUUGGCCUAUUUCAUGUCCAGGCUUACCUAUCAAAUGUUGGUGUUUAAAAUAUACCACUUUUACCUGGUUUUCGACCUAUGAUGCGGCUCCUUAUUUAACGUAUUUUGAAAUAGUCUCAUACUCAUUACCUGGACUUCAUAACCAUAAGUACUGUACAGUUUCUAUGUUAUAUAUCUUAAGAUGCAGCAAAGUGAUUUAUGCAUCCUUUCAAAACCAAAGGUAUAUCUUGUGUACUUCUGGCCAUAUGAAACCAUGAAUUCCAAGUCAAUUUGUACAUGGUUGUACUUGAGUUUAUUCCUACCACUUGAUUGCAAUUUGAAAGUGAUCGUACCUCAUUGUCAUUAUUCUUAGAAAGCUACUUUUGUUCAUAGAAUGAUCCAAUGCUUUGUAUUAUGAGUUGGAGUAUGCGCUUAUUACUAGCUCAUUGUUCGUUGAGGUCUUCUCCAUCAGUCAUGGUCUUUGUUGUUGAUUACUCCAACAGUUUGAAAACCCAAGUCUUUGCUGCUGGCUUUGAAAUCCAUGUAUUGAUGCUUAUCUCAUAACCAGUUUGCUAUUGAAAGUUGAUUCCUCUGUUAUGCCUGUUCAAAUUUACUUGGAAAUAAGCUCCCAUUCUUUGAUAAUUUCCUCUUGUCAUCUGUGAGUUUAUGAACUCAAGUUCUCUACCUCAUUGUCAUUAGUUCUAAACUCGUGUACCUAUUGCUUUGAUCUUCACCUAAAGAUCUGCUCUGUUCAGAUUCCUUUCUAUUGAAAGAACAGAGGUCCAUGUUACAGUACUAUUUCUGGGCAGUGUCAUAUGAUAUUCUGAAAAGGGAUUUCAAGUUUGUUUCUGAAAUCCUUGUUUGAUCAGUUGGUUUGGAAAAUGAAACUUCCUGGAAAGAAAUGAUUGUAUUUCAAAUUUUCUGUUCGGUUAGGCCCGGUGAAUUAUGUGAGUGGGGAUUGUGCCUCCCUUGGGUUGUUUAACCCUAAACCUGAUCAGGGUACCGCAUGUGCGGGGUUUGCUCGGUGGUAUAGCUGGGCGAUGGGCUCUAACCGGCAUCUUAAGGAUUUGUUGAAAUUCGAGUGAAAGAAAGUUCUAUGAGCUUCAUGAGUUUUUCUCAUCAACACCUUUGUUGGUUCAUGAUUAUUCUUAUUUGUUGACCUGGUUGUCAGGUUAUCCUUAUGAUUAGCUUUCUUCUACCUCGUAUGUGUAUAUUGACUGCUGAUGCUUGUUAUACUUGGUAAAGUGUGAUAUCUGAAAUUCCAAUGUUAUGUUUGAGUCGAGUUCAUUUAUUCUACUUCCAGACUUCUGAUUUUCUCUCUCUCACUAGUGUAGCAGCAAUUAUUGGGGUUAAUCUCAUUUCAUUGGUUAUAUCUCUUAAGCUUCAUGUAUGUUCCUACCUUUCAUUUCCAAGUGCAUAUUGAAUUAGAGUCUUUGUUAUAAAGAUUAUUUUGGUCGUACCUACUGAGCUUGUGAAGCUCAUUUCUUAUAUUCUUAUUGUUUUCAGGGAGUCUAUUAGUGGACAAGAUAAUGAUAUUCUGGAGUUUCUUAAGCUUAAGUAUGUUUGUUUCUUACUUUGGGUUGGUGUUGCUGCUAUGGUGUUGUUGGAUGUGUUAUGUUUAAAGGAUUGGAAUAGUUGUCAAGCUCUUAAGCAAUAACCUGGUAUGGUUAUGAUACAAAAUGUGAUGUUUCUUCUAAAAAGUAUCUUCCAUGUUUGUACAAAAUGUAAAGUUGUAUUCAGCCUUCCUCUUAUCAGAUUUAAUUAUUGCUGUGUACUUUUAAAAGGAUUCUACAUUUAUCCAUUGCUUCUGUACAGUUUUACAAUCUUUGGAAAAGAGUGUAGUUUUAUUUCAUGGGAUGUUUAUUGCUCAAGUUCAUGCUUAAUGUUGUUAUUAGAGUGAUUCUUCAGGCAAAUAUUUUGAAUCAGUUGGUUUUAACAAAAUGGUUAUUCCUUCAAAGUUUUAGUGACUAUUUUCGGGUUUUUAUAAAAGUUCCUCAUUCCAAAAGUUUGUUUUAAAAAGAAAUAAUAAUAAUUUCACCGAUCUUUCUUUCGAUUUAUUCCAUCACAUUAGUCAUACCUUGAGGUCAGGGUGUGGCAGGGAGUGUGAUGUUUAGUGGUAGUAGACAGUCAACCUUUUCGCUGGGCUUUUGAUUUGAAUAAAGUUUUGAACUUGGUUGUAAAGGAGGGUUUUAGUUAAUGAUUCUAAUUGCUUGAGAUGCAGGGAUGCACUUGAUGCAUUGGGGUUGGUUCGUUACUGCUACAGGCGCAUGCUUAUGACUCAUGUUAAUCUCAUUGAGAAGCUUCUCAACUACAACAGUAAGUUUUAACUCUUUUUCUAGCUGUCUUUCUCCUGCACAUACACGCAUAGAGUUCCCACAGGUGUAAUCUGUCCUGAGUGUGGCUGAUUUGUUUAUUGGAACUGAGAUUGAAUCUUUGUUACAGCUUUGGAGAAGUCAGAUUUAGUGUCCUGAGUAAUACUUAUGGGAUACUCAUCAGAAUUGGGAGUUGGCUUGAGUUUUUAUCGAAAUGUGACGUUUCUUGUUAGAUUGGAUGAUUCUCUUACUCAUGUGUUGUUUUGUUGAAUGCAAAUAUGGCUUUAUUUUGUUGGAUUUUUAUUUCUUUUUAUCAAUUGGGAUAUAAAUUUUAGCUUUUUAAAACUUCAAUUGAGUUUCAUAUUAGCUUCUACUUGUUGAAAUGUAGAAGGAACAAAGUGAAAAUCUAGAAGCAAUAACAAGGUCUAUUGUAUGGGUACAUGCUUAUGAAACAAAGAAGAAGAAGGGCUCAGAUGAAGUAGUUGAGGAUCAUGAAAUAGUGGUUAGUAUACUCUUCUUGUCGUGUUUGCAGAUAUCAUGUCAAUUUAUCAAAGUUGCAUGAGAUUAACAUUAGUCUUUUUUAGAAACAAGUGAAAUAAUAUCAUGCAGAGGAACAACCUUCACAACCUUGUUCUUUAAAACACAAUGUUGUAGCAAAAGUUCUAGGUCCGGAUCCACGAGGAAGGGUAAGAGGGUUAGGAUUUGGAGAAGUUCCUUCAAGGGUAGAAUAUCAAACUACUGUUGGAAACAAAGUUGCUAAAUUAGAGAAUGCUUUGUCCGCUCAAGCACAAGAGAUGCUUUCUCAAUCGCAAGAGAUUGAACGAUUAAAAGAAGUGUUUAACACUCUUUUAGCUCGAUCAGAGAAAGAAGGGGAUAACUAUGUAAGUUAGUUAGAAUUAUUAACUUUUGGCAGAUAACUCAACUAGGUUACUGAUUUCCUGAACUUUAAAAUGACAGGGUAGUACCAGUGUUCAGCAUUCUGCUAAUAAGGUUGCACAAUAGAAAGAGAAUGCGAAUCAAAGUGUAACCCAAAGCAAGCAAAACAGUCCAAGUGUUCAGAGAUCUGAAAUUCGAAGUCCAAAGAGAAAGCAGAGUAACCAAAGAAAAACUUCACGUCUUCAACACUCUACUGAUCAUGGGAUGCAAAGUAAAGACAAGGAAGGUACAAGGGCCAAAAGUACAAAGGAUGAUCAAAAUAGAAUUGAAUUGUUAAGUUGGUUUGAGAUGAGCAAAGGUGUUGUUGCAAUUGCAAAACUUGAUUCCAAAGAUCCAAAUGCUAUGGUUCAUCAUAUGCCCUUUGGUCCUGAAUGCUGGAAAGUUUGGGUGCUUGAUGUUUUUGAUGAUAUAGCUUUAUAUCGACCAACCAGGGAGUUUGGAACACUGAGCGAGGCUACAGGAAGUACAAUUGCCUAGCCUAUCCAAUACAUCAGACAAAUUUAAUCUAUUAACAAGAUAUAGCAGGUAACAUACUCUUAACAUAUACUUCUUGCAAUAUUUGUUUUCAGUAUUGUACUCUAUUCAUUCAUUAAAUUAAACUCAGUAUAUAUUCAUCGAGAUUCUAUGUUUUGGUUUGUUCUUGUAGAUAGUGCAACCACUCAAUUUGCUUAUAAAUUAAUUACUUUGGCGUAGUUGUAGAUUUGAUAGGUUAUAUGAGGACUGCCACAUUCUUGUCAGCUGGAUACCUAAACUCAAUUUUACAUGUGCUAGGAGACCAUAACUCAUCAUAUUUGGAGAUCUAAACUGAACUCAUAUUUUCUUUUUUCUUGAGUAUUGCCUUAUAUAUGUACGCAAUUAUUUGGAUUCUUAUGAUUCUUAGAUCAACCAAUGUGUAAUAUGUAUAUUUUCAAACUUGUUUCUAGCAGGUAAUGUGAAGUUUUGAGGUGAAUGAAGAUUAAUGCUUAUGUUGCUACUGGUGGGACAUUUUGCAGUUGGAUAAUGGAGUUUGAAAGCUUCCAAGUACUAUGAAUUGUAAUGUUAUUUUUUGAUGGAAUUUUUAGGGGCAUAUAUGCAGUUGUUAUGUGUUGAGAUACAUAAUGAAUAUCCAAAUUGUUCAGAUAUGAAUGUGUAUAUAUAUAUAUAUGAUGUUAGUUCACCUUUGCUAGCUUUAAAUUAGAUUGUUGUUCUUGUAUAAGGUUUUGAAGUUAGUUAUUGUUAACUCUGAUUUGAGUAGCCAAUGGAAUGUAGUACCAUGAAUUUGGAAUAUGAUCAGUAAAUCAUAUAUAAUUGUGGAAACAAUAAAUGCAAAAAGCAACAUGCAGAGCAAAUAGGUUAUUACGGCAUACUUGUGCGCCGUAAAUGUCUUUAAACUAAUACUCUUUUACGGCACGCUAGAGCGCCGUGAAAACAUUCUAAUCCAAGUCUUUGACAGCAUUCUUUUGGAUCAUAUACGGCGCACAAAUAUGCUCAUUUGGAUGUUAUAACGUUGGAGGGAACAUGUCACACCCCGGUCCCGGCGUCAGUGGGUUUUAAGCACCGGACGCCGAUCCUGAAGCGUGAACGAGUGUUACAAAGCGGAAUAAAACAAAAACACUGUCUUCUAGGCUCGUCGGCUACCCUUUCCCGGCUCGAUCAAAUCUAAGUACUUCUCUGCAAAAAAUAUUAGAGAUGGGUGGGUGAGCAUAACCACGCGCUCAGUGAGUAGACCAAUGUAAUAUGCCCGCAAAGCCAUGUCAUUUUACAUACGCUACAAAAUACGUAUAUCGUAUACACAUCACUUCAAGCAAUUCAUCACAUCGCACAAUCCCUUUUUAUUGGAUAUCCUUCAAUUUAGUGAUCCCCAUGGGAACUUAAUGACCUUCAAGUCCAAUACCUCCAUGUGUCACAUCCUUACUUCGGCAUAACCAAUCAAGAAGUUCACAUGUUUUAUGACCAGUCAAACAAUGGAUCCAACACAAAAUAAUAUAUAAAACUCCAUAUAUUUCGCAAAUCGACAUGCUUCACUAUAAAAAUAGAGAGAUAUUUUGUAAAUAGAUCAAAAUCAUGCUUUUUGAAUAUUUGAUAACAAACAAGAAUAUUUAAAACAUAUUACACAAAUCCACUCACCUCGUCAAUACGAAUCCCUACCAAAAACGUCGAGUAAACUGAGCCUCCUAAAACAAGCCAUCUAGAAUCACCGUUGGAUCUAGCUCAAACCUCUAGGGAAGAAAGAGGACAUCGAGACGAACUCGUAGCACUUCACGGAUUCGAAAUCAGAGUUACAGAUCAAAAGUUAUGAUCCGCUAAAGUUUAGUCACAAAAUUCUAGAGAGAGAAAAUUUAGGAGAGAGAGAGAGAAUCUCUCGAAAAAACUACAGAAUGAGAGAAGAAAUGGUGCUGCUCCUCUCUAUAUAUAGCUUCACAAUUGACACGUGUCAACAAAUGAUUGGUCUAUUUGUUGUCACGUGUCAAACCCACACAAUACCUCUCCACUUGAUGACACAUGGGAGGUGACUAAUUGCAGAUGAUGACAUCAUCAGCCCACAUGGGUGACGUCAUCGUCAGCUGUUAUCUUUUUAAAAUGCCACGUGUCAGCUUCUUGGCCAAUUCGAGUUCAACACGUCAUCGUCUCUAUCUUCUUCCGAGAAACUUCGAAAAAUCGUUAAAAAUAGCUCGGAAGUCUGAAAAAUUCACCGAAAAAUACGACGAACUCGUGGCAACAUCUAGUUUCUAAUUCUAAGAAGAAAAAUGAAUUUUGAGAAAUUUCAAAAAUUCGGAAUGUUACAAUCUACCCUCCUAACAAGAAUUUCGUCCCCGAAAUUCAACACACCUCCAAAAACUCCAAAAACACUUAUGGUUCUACGCUAAGAUGCUAGAAUCCUAAUCUACCACAGAUCCUGGGGUUCUAAUCCCUAGUUUGCUCUGAUACCAUUCUCACACCCCAGUCCCGGCGUCGGUGGGUUUUAAGCACCGAACGCCGACUCGAGGCGUGAACGAGUGUUACAAAGCGGAAUAAAACAAAAAACACUAUCUUCUAGGCUCGUCGGCUACCCUUUCCCGGCUCGAUCAAAUCUAAGUACUUCUCUGCAAAAAAUAUUAGAGAUGGGUGGGUGAGCAUAACCACGCGCUCAGUGAGUAGACCAAUGUAAUAUGCCCGCAAAGCCAUGUCAUUUUACACACGCUACAAAAUACGUAUAUCGUAUACACAUCACUUCAAGCAAUUCAUCACAUCGCACAAUCCUUUCUUAUUGGAUAUCCUUCAAUUUAGUGAUCCCCAUGGGAACCUAAUGACCUUCAAGUCCUAUACCUCCAUGUGUCACAUCGUUACUUCGGCAUAACCAAUCAAGAAGUUCACAUGUUUCAUGACUAGUCAAACAAUGGAUCCAACACAAAAUAAUAUAUAAAAAUGGAGAGAUAUUUCGUAAAUAGAUCAAAAUCAUGCUUUUCGAAUAUUUUGAUAACAAAUAAGAAUAUUUAAAACAUAUUACACAAAUCCACUCACCUCGUCAAUACAAAUCCCCACCAAGAACGUCGAUUGUAAACCGAGCCUCCUAAAACGAGCCAUCUAGAAUCACUAUUGGAUCUAGCUCAAACCUCUAGGAUAGAAAGAGGACAUCGAGACGAACCCGUAGCACUUCACAGAUUCGAAAUCGGAGUUACAGAUCAAUAGUUAUGAUCCGCCGAAGUUUAGUCGCAAAAUUCUAGAGAGAAAAUUUAGGGGAGAGAGAGAGAGAGAAUCUCUACGGAAAAACUACAGAAUGAGAGAAGAAAUAGUGCUGCUCCUCUCUAUAUAUAGCUUCACAAUUGACACUUGUCAACAAAUGAUUGGUCCAUUUGUUGUCACGUGUCAAACCCACACAAUACCUUUCCACUUGACGACAUAUGGGAGGUGACUAAUUGCAAAUGAUGACAUCAUCAGCCCACAUGGGUGACGUUAUCGUCAGCUGUUUUCUUUUCAAAAUGCCACGUGUUAGCUUAUUGGCCAAUCCGAGUUCGACACGUCAUCGUCUCUAUCUUCUUCCGAGAAACUUUGAAAAAUUCACCGAAAAAUACGGCGAACUCGUGGCGACAUCUAGUUUCUAAUUCUAAGAAGAAAAAUGAAUUUUGAGAAAUUUCAAAAAUUCGGAAUGUUACAGAUCAGUUUUACAGCGUGUAUUUAUCUAUUUUUAUGGCUCGCAUUGGCGCGCCGUUAAUGUAAUGCGUCUUUUACGGCGUGCAUUGCUGGCCGUAAAAGCCUGUUUUUGGCGUAGUGGAAGACAUAGUUGAUAGGUUUUAGCUUACGGUGUCGGCAUCACUUGUCCAAGGACCUAUCUCUUUGUUAAUGCUGGAUUGCAUCUUUCCAUUGUUCUUACUACGCUAUCUAACAAAGACAUAGUUGAUAGGUUUUAGCUUGCGGUGUCGGCAUCACUUGCCCAAUGACUUAUCUCUUUGUUAAUGCUGGAUCGCAUCUUUCCAUUUGGCUAAUCAACUAAGUUGAUAUCCAUCAAUAAAGGGUGGUUCGAUAGUAGACUCAUUAUCCCACGUUCUCAUGUACACUAGUGUAAUACUUGUAGAGAUCUCUAUAUAGAUUGGAUUUGACAUUGAGGCGUCCCCCAACGAUAAUCACAAUUCAGACUUCAUGAGACCGAUUUGAGUAUCACUGAUCAAUGGAUCACGUUGUGCCAAGCUCGCUUUCUUCCUAGUGCGAGAAAGUAUCGAACCUAAGGGCCUCCUUCCUUUUUAGGGAGCCACACGGCCUUCUGACACCAAUUUUGCCACCAUAUGGUGUCAGCCUAUCACCAUCUAUGGUGAUGGCAUCAAGACCAACUCCUUUUGGUCGUGCUUGAUAGGACAUCAAUCCUUGCAGACAUAUUUGUAGCAUGUGAUCUCAUCACUUUAAAACUUUAAGCAUUUGGGAUUAAGAUGAGAUUUAGUGGGAACAAACCACGACAAUUCAUGACGUUCCACUUGAACACUUGUGUUCUUAUCUCCCCCUAACGGUGGGAAUAUUGUCUCACCAAAAUGAAUCCUACGGAGCUCAAGGAUUGCAAUUUCGUGUCAAUCCUCGUACACAGUCACGAGUUGUCACACCCUGACCUUAGAGUAUGACUAAAGUGGUGGAUUUUUGAAAAUAGAAAAUCUGUGGAAUUUUUUUUUUUUUUUUCUGGAAUUUAGAAAAUAUGAAUCUGCAUCCUUUUGUUUUAAAAGCAUUUGAAUUUGAACAAAAUAAUAACUAGUAUGUAAUGCAUAUGGUGAGCCAAAGAAUUUGGUUUAACAAUAAAACUGAAAGCUUGUAAUAUGUUCUGAGUGAAACAAAACCUAUACAAGGUUCAACAAAAGAAAAGGCUAACUGUACAAGGAUAUUUUCCUAUUGUAAAAGAGAGUACAUUUAACACCAAAGUGGACAUUUAGGAAUUUGAGUUUAACUUUAAAGAUCAAGUAGUUCAAGUCUAAAACAUAAACAGUUGCUGGAACUUAGUAAGAUAAAAUACUUCAUUUUUAUACAUGUGCGAAAUAUACAUUUUACUUACAAAAUAUCUCACCACUUAGCAUCAAAAUUUACAUCAAAUUUACCCAGAUCAGUGUGGACUUUCUACUUCAUACAACUAUCUUAACAAAAACCUCCAUUCCGAACAAAAUGCAUACUGAGCACAAACUAAUGAAAACCAUAGCACAUACUCAAUAAAGCCAAAAUAGAGGCACUUAAUCUACAAGUAAGCAAAACUUGAUCAUGAACUCUGAUUUAAGACAACUCUGGAAUGUCAGAAAUAUCACCAAACUUUUUUCCUGAAAACACAUGAAACAUAGGGAAAUGAGCUUCACAAGCUCAAUAGGUACAACAUAAUAAUCGUUAUAACUAAGAUUCUAAACCAGCAACUACAUCUGAAAUGUGAAGGAUGGUAGAGAUGCUUCAAAUGUACUUUUAAAUGAGAAUAAGAAUAUGGCUGCAAACAAAUUUGGAAUUAAGCUUGAGGAACAAAUGCCAACCGUUAACUGAAUCAAGCACAGAUGAUAACAUGAUAACAUAGAAUUAUUAGGCUGCAACUCACCAAGCAACUCAUAUCAAAUGAGCAGACAACUGAACAUGAAGGAAUCAAGGACAGAUAAUAACAAUCUAAAAUACUUUACUGCAAAUAGACCAAUCAAUUCUGAUCCAAAUCAAUAGAUAACUGAACAAAUGAAGGAUCAAGAGAUAGAUUACGACAUAUAAUCAAUUAUUUCAGAUCAACUAAGUAGACUAAUAAUGAACAGGAAAGGAAAAGUGAGCAAACUGAAAUUCGAGAUUUUCUCACUGGAUACUCAAACACAAGGGAAAGAUUUUCUUUAACUUCCUUUUCUCUUUUUCAAAGUCUAAAAUCUUUCCUUUCCUUUCCAAAACAUUUGUAAAACUCUUUUCCAUAAACCAAACUUCAGCGAAAUCCUUGGAAACCGGUUAGAGCCCACUGCCCAGCUAUACCACUGAGCAAACCCCGCACAUGCGGUACCCUAAUCAGGUUUAGGGUUAAACAACCCAAGGGAGGCACAAUCCCUACUCACACAAUUCACCGGGUCUAACUAAAUAAAACAAAUAAAACCAAAUCUGAUCUUUCCAUGAAACACUUUGCUUUUCCAAACCUAGUCAAUCUGUGACAACCCGGAAUUUUAUUAUGUAUAUAUUAUGUAUAUACCUAUUUACAAACUUGCUUAUAUAUAUAUAUAUAUAGGUAUGAUUGUUUUAAGUGUGUGUGUAUAUAUUUAGUGUUAUAUAUGCUGAAAAUUAAUAUAGUUAUUUAGUUUUUUUUUUAUUAAAAUUUAAUGAGUAGGGUUUUUAUCCAAGCCCAAUACCCAAAUACAAAGCCCAAGCCCAAACUUGAUAGCAAGGAAAAGAGAAGUGUUUGUCGUUCAGGCAAAACGAUGUCGUCCUCUUCUUCUUCAUCUCCUUCACCGCCUUCUGCUUCUUCUCCUCCGCCUUCCUUCCGACCUCUAAACUCGAAGUUUUAUCCUCUCUUCUUCACCGACUUCUUCUUUCUUCCGACCAGAUGUUUCCUAAUCCGAAACAUUGCCGCCAUAAAACCCAGAAACCGUCCUUGAAACGCCUAGCAGCCGACUUCAUUAAGCAGGAGAUGUCAAGAUUCUUGGAGACUAAGUUUCCAGAUGGAUAAGAAUUGGGUUGAAGUGCUCAAUUUGACUUCCUUGAGUCUUUCUUGGACUCCACGUUCUUCCCUCUUUCUAGACCCUAUAAAUAGAGGUUAGUAUUCAGAGUUUUCCAUAUGGUUUCCUUGAAUUCACUGAUAGAGAGAGAGAGAGAGAAGAGAAGAGAAAUUGGUGUUGUAGGAAAUUGGUAGAACUCAGGUUAGAUUCUCUUUAUGUUCAGACCAAUUAAUUGUGUUUAUAUGCUCUUAGUUUGUGAAUUUAGAAUUUGACAUCACUUUGGAAUCUUUGUAUGAUUGUUUAUUUGAUUGGAAUAGUUCCUAUUAAGAAUUGGUUUUGGUUUUGUUGCUGUUGAAUUCUGUGGCAAGUAGGAUUACUAAAUCCUUUGGUUUUGGUUAUCUUUGAUUUGAUUUCUUUGUUAGCCAAAUCAGUUCUUAUAUGUUAUUAAUAGCUAGAGAAUCAAGUAUAUGAUGUUGUUGUUAUUGUUGUUGUUGCUGUUGUUUGAAUUAGCUUAAAAUUUUGUUCAUGUAGUAGAUUUAUUCUUUUGUAAACAGAAUAGAAACUGAUGAAGAUGAUUAUCUUUAGUUCUGCAAGUUUGGGUGUCCUGAGUAAUUACAAUGUUGUUGUUCGAAUUAGAGAUUCUUGUUUUCUCUUACACAACAAGGGCUUAGAGUGACUAAGAAACCUAUAUGAGUAUUUAGACAUCGAUAGAAUUGAUUAGGAACCUUAGACUUUGCAUGAACUGAAGUGACAUUUGAAUGGAAAAGUUUUUGUAACUUGUUCAUUUAGUUAACUUUGAGCAACCAUAUCUUUGAAUUAAUCAUGCUUUUUAGAAAUCAUUUGCAUGUAUUGAAAGUUCAUAUUCUUAGCUUGAUAUCUGGGUAGUUUCAUGCAAGUUCAUUUAGAAUUCGUUAGUCAAGUUUGGAGCCGAAAACAUAGCUGAACAUUCUGCAAAUCAGCUUUCUUGUAUUUUGGAGUCAGUCACCUUGAUUUCUAAAAACCGUACAUUUAGGUUGGUUAUUUGAAGUUUGUUUCUUCAUAAAAGGUGUAGUAGACAUCUUAAAUAUUAUUUUAGAAUUUGAAUCACUUCAAAAGGAUUUCUUUAGGUUAAGAUAUGAUUUUUCAAAGUUCAGGGUCUGCAGUAAGAAAUUCUGCAGAUCAAUUUUCUGUGUUUUUGACCCAGCUGUAUUUUUACUAAACCCUGUGCAUUUCAGUUGAGUAUUUGAAGUUAUUAUCUUCAUAAAAGUUAUAGUACACAUGUUAAAUAUCAUUCCUGAAUUUGAAUCUCUUCAAAAGGAGUUUUGUAGAUUAAGUUAUGAUUUUUCAAAGUUAAGGUUCUGCAUCAGGAAAUUUCUGCAAAUCCGUUUUCCAAGUUUUGGACCAAGUGACCUUUCUAUUAAAACCUGUACAUUUUGGUUCAGUAUUUGCAGUUUGUGUUUUCUCAAAAGUUUUGGUAGACAUCUUAGUUAUCAUUUACUGAAAUCUCCUGAAAAUGAUUUAUGUACAUUAAGUUAUGAAUUUUCAAAGUUGAAGGUUAGCUUUAAAUGGUUUAUGUAUUUGUUACUAUUUUACUGUUUGUUCAUUUUGAUUUCAAUGGUUUCUUUCAUUCAAACUUGUUUAGAUUCACCACCAACUGAACACACACAUUCUCAACUUUCAAACAAAGCUUGUGACAUUAUUUUCCAAAUUUAUUUGAGAUACUUAUGCCAUUUUGAAAUUAGCUAUGUGUAACAGUUUUUCUUCAAAAUAAAUCUACAUCACAUUUUGCUUAGUUUUUUUAACACGUCAAAUGUUAUCUUAAUGGCCUGAGAUUUUAGGUAGUAUGUUUUUGAGACGUAUGCUUUAAAGUAAAGCAUGUUCUUAAAACAUAUGAGGUCACACCCAAUUUUCGAAGGAUAAUUUUCAAAAAUUUGGGCAGGAUAAAUCUAAAAAAUUUGGGCAUGAUAAAUCUAAAAAAAAAACACUCCCAAAACCUAUUCAACAACUUCCAACUAAAUUCAAAUGCUGGAAAUGUAAUGUCAACAAAACUCUUUAACUGAGGUAAACAUUAUCUCUCCUUAAUUACACCAACUUCAAAAAGUCCAGUAAAAUACAGUCGCUCGCAUGAGUUUAAUACUGUCUACCAGAAAUAAUAAAAUAAAGUGUACAACAUCUAAAAUCCUGUCACUAUGCCUCCACCUCAACCCUACUGAUCACCACCUGCAGGUCUAACCCCUACACCAUGAAUUGGUGCACCGGGUUGUAAAACAACAAAACCGGUAAGCUUAAAAGCUCGUAUGAGUAAAUCCCAAAAUAAUAACUCAACAAUUCCAACAUCACAUAAGAUAAAACUGGUAAUUCCUGCAUUAGCAACUUAGUUUAGAAAUCGCCUAAAAGCAAGAGAAUUCAAAAGAAAUAAUUAAGAAAACACGACAAUUCAAAAUGAUAAAUGAAUCCUGCAAAAAGCGUAGUUUAGGAAUUCUAUUAAAAUCACAUAAUUAAGAUUAAAAAAUCUCCUGUGAAUAAGCAUAGUUCAAGAGAUACUCAAACCAAGAAAUUUAAAUGAUAACACAUAAGAACAUCACACAAUCGUUUCUCUACUCUUAUUUAUGAGUUCGUCAACACUUAGUCAUCCCCCAUAAAUAACCAAAAAACGCAUACUCAUGGGUUUGUCAACACUUAGUCAUCCCCCAUGAAGUCCCGACAUACAAACUGGAGCUCUAUACUGACCGUAACCAAUCACCCGGUCAAGACUUGGUUCCUGGUCCACCACGAAGGCUCAUAAUCUAAUGCACACAAUCACCACUAAGGCACAAAUCCACAACUAAUUGAUAGGAGCAUAAAAUGCGACAUUCUUAAUGUGUUAUUAUCUCCAUUUGUACUUUGAUUAUCUCUUAUUGUUGUAGAAUAGAGUCAUAAUGUAAAGUCGAAAGUUUUUGGUAGAGUUGUGCGUAAAAUGUGUUAAACAUAGAGGAAUGAUGUAGAAAAUUGUCAAAAGCCGAUUUGUGGAGCCUUAGAGAUGUUCUUAUGAUUAUGUAAAGCUUUUACAUUGUCACAAAUUGAUUUAACUUCUCUGAUACUUAGGUGAUAUGAGAAGAGUUAUGGGAGAAAGAAUCAGGAGAAUUGAAGUUAUGCUUGAAUCAUUGCCGAGAGAAGUCUUCCUGAUGGACCUAGGGAAGCAAAGCAGCUGAUCCACGAAGCCUAGUCCAUGAAGGAGAGGUCCAAACCAAGUCCAAUAUGGAGAAGAAGAUCUAAAUUCGGCAGAAUAUCAAGGAAUAUCCAAGUCUUGAAAAUCCGGAUUAAAUCGGGAGAAUCCCUGUGCACGUCUGUCAAUUUCAACGGACUCUCCAGGACAGAUCACAAUGAAUCAGAAAACGUGCUAGAUAUGGAUAGAGAGCUACGGGAGUCUAGUUUCCAAAUCAAUUGGAAUCACCUCAAUAUCUAUUUUCUAGAGGGAGUUAUGAUGUAAUCAUCAGACGGAGGUCAUUCUGCCGAAAUUGAGAAGAACUAGGAAUCCUAAACCAACUUGGUUUAGGCUUUGUGGCCGACUUCUCUAGGGUUUUUCCUCUAUAUAAAGCAUGACUUCAAGAGCAGAAAAACAUCAUCUCUACUCUUGCAAUUACAUAGCCGAAACUCUACCAAACCCUAUACAGAAAAUUACUUAGCCGAUUCAUCCACCACAAACCAUAAGAAUCAUUCCAUCCUUCCACCGAUUUUCCCCACACUUGCCGAAUCUUUCAAGGUUGUAAAAGUGUGAUUUUCUCAUGGCUUCUUGUAUUAUUUUCUGUAUGGUUUCGAACUCUAUUGUAAUAUACUUUUCGAUUUUGGUUUUAUUUAUCAAACAUGGUUUUCGGAUUUCUUUGUGAUCUUUGAUUGUUCUUUGUUUUGAUUUGUAACUUCUUGAAUAUAUGAUGAUUUCGUGAUUUAGGUUUUGGGGCAGUAGCAUGUUCUUAUGUGUUUUUGAUUUCUAAUUGAUUAAUUGUCAUGAAUUCGUGCAUCUAAAUCAAUCCUUGAGGCUGCCUCGGCCAUGGUUGUCCUUAAGGUGCGGUUUCAUCUACCAUAAUAAUUUUGGAUCGAUUCAUAUGCAAAGUUGUCUUGGUCUCUGUUAUUAACUUAGGGCCGAUAUAAUUCUGAUAAUUUGCAUGCUAAUAGGAUGAGUGACGCCAUGCCUUAGAUCAUGUUUCCGAUUGACUCGUGUGCUAAAGUGUUUUCUUGUUUAAUCUCUACGCAACGUGUCUUUAAAUGAGUUAGCAUUCAUGUUUAAGAUCAAGCGCAAAGAUGGUUCUAAAUACUUGAGGAGUCUUAACAAUUAGAUAACCGCAAAGGCUCUAAUUAAAUCGGAAUUGGUUAGAGUCUAGGAUAAUUUGAACGUUGUUGCCCGGCCUUGCAUGAAGUUGUUAUGUGUUCUUGAUGGUUUUUCGUGUUAUGUGUUGCAUGAGUAUGUUGAUCACUUGUAUAUAAUAAUCUUAGGUUAAAUUUUCAAAAGGUUAUUUGUUAGAAUUAAUCAAUCUUAAACCCCCAAUAUUUCGAUGUAUAUAUGUGAAUACUUGUUUAUAAAUUGUUUGGUUUCUCUUCUUUCGAUCGCCCUUUGGUUUCCCCGGCUAGAACGAUCCCUACUUGUCCAUAUUACUACGAUUGCAGGGUAAUUAAAUUGAAGUUGUUUGACCCCGGUUACGCGACACGUCACUAAUGCACACAAUCACCACUAAAGCACACAUUCACAACUAAGACACACAAUCACCACCAAGGCAUCAUUCCACAACGAAUGUACACAAUCACCACUAAUGUCACAUCCCGACUCUUAAAUUUUUACCUUAUUUACUAGCUUGGUAAUAAUAAGAGUUUUACUGUAACAUCCCGGACCCAAAUUUUACCUAUUUACUCGGUAUUUCACGAGUUACUGGAGAAUUUAACAGUGCUCGGUAACUUAGUAAGUUAACACUCGAGUUUAUUUGUGAGUUUUUCUGGAAAUGUCAAACUCUUCUUUUUAGGUCCCGAUGUCGUAGUUCAAGUCGAUUCGAGUUCUUCGGUGUCUUCAGAAUUGUUUUGCGGAGCUCCGGAUUAUUUUUCUAUGUUUUAUCGAAGGUUUGGUACUAGGAUUAUUCUUACUGAGAUUAGGGUAUAAAUUUUUUUCGAGUUUUAAAGGAAAAGAAGUGGUGGACUUCGGUCAAAAGCCCAAAGUGGGUGUUGACCAGCUCUUCCACUCCUCUCCCCGACUCCCUCUCUCUCUCGUCUCUCAGUCUUGCCGUGCCGGAGUGGCGCCGUCCGGCCACCUAUGACGACAAGACCCCCACCAAUUCUCUUCCUCUCCCUCUUCUUUACAACGUCUAGCUUUCAAUUCACCAGUGUCCGAACUUUGGAAGGAGAUCGACGGGAAGAAGCACAGCAGCCCUCCGGCGAUUCUUGUUGAUGUCGGCCAUGACUUGGCACCCGAACGGUAGGGUUCGUCUCCUCUAUCCUUCUUCCUUCUUUCUCUGCCUUUGACUCUUCAAAACGAGUUCAAAUUCGGGAGCCCCUUUUUGUGUUUUUAGGUUUUCGUCGGGGUUUUCCGGCGAGUUCGUUCUUGGAGCUCCGGCGGGACUACCGUGCUCUAGUGAGUCUAGAAUCAGUUGAAUGGAGCCCAGACACGUCUUGGGAAGGGUUGGAGGAAGCAAUGGUGGUAUUGAACCGAGGUAGAGGUUUUCUGCCAAAGGGAGGUCCCCUAUUCUUCUAUUGGUUCUUUAUUUUUGUCAAGACGAAGGCUUGGUGAGUUUGGCUUGUGAGGAACCGAAGUAAUCUGGAACUGUUUCGGUGAAGGUGGCAGCUAAGGCAGCCGUUGGGAAUGUUUGGAGGUCUUUCAUGUGGAGUCUGGCAAGGAGGAGCUCUGGUUUGCGAAAUAGAGCAAAUUGAAGGUAAGUUGGUGUUUUCGGCUAUUGUAUUGAGUUGUAUUGAGGUUUGGGUGCUAGUUAGGUGAUUUGGAAUUAUGCUCGGUGUUUUUCGGAAAUGGUUAAUGACUGUUCUUGUUGUUGUGGUUGUUGCAUGUCGAGAACUUGGAGUUCUGAAGAAUACGGGGAGGCUAUGGCGAAAUUCCGGCAAGUCACCAGAAUCCGACGAGUAUUUCUGGCAGAACCCAUGAAGGUAGCUUGUCGACUUUUCUUUUCGUGUAAGUGGUAGUUUACGGUUUAGGAAAACCUGCCAUAUUUAGAAAGUCUCUUUUUAGGGAACUUUCCCCUUUAUGGAAACUUCCAUUCUUGGAAACCCUUUUGGGUGCCCUUAGUAAUUGUUGGUGUGAAGUUGGGUAGAAAAGAAAUGUUGGAAUUGUUGGUUCUGGUUGGCUUAAGCUAGGGGACCAUAAAAUAAUUUUUGUUAAUAUGAUUACUAUCCAUAGUAACCCUAAAAUCUAGACCAUUGGCUUCAUGGUGAUUUUGGAAGUGAAUUGCUUAGUGUGUUAAAGGCAUAGAGAUAGUGUGUGACUUCGAUUUCAGGUUAAGGUUUGGUUUGAAACCGAAUAAGUUUUGGAUGCGAAGUUAGUAGUAGAAAAUGAUUCUUUUAUCUAUUGGUCAACCUAGGAAAUCUUAGUCAAACCAGGAAGAAGUCGAUUCGUUAAUGUUGAUGGAGUCCGGUCUGACCAAUUUAUUCUUCUGUUUAUCGUCAGACGUGGGAUUGGCUAGAGUGUGUAAUUAGUUGGAGGCAGCGCUCGAGGAGUAUUCCGAGCAUUGGAAGGCUUAGGCCUAAUACUGUGAGUGGACUUUUAUUUUAAAUAAUAUGCAUGCUAUGGUUUUGGUUGAGCAUUUAAAAUUGUUGGAGUUUUAACGUCAUUUAAUUUUGACGCUUUUAUUUCUUUUGGAGAGUUACCGAAAAAUAGGAUUUUUCGGUGAGUAUAAAUAUGUAUAUUGAGGAGAGUAUGUAUAUAAAUGCUAGCUAGCCAUAUGUGUUUGUCCACCUUAAUGGCGUAGCAUAUAACCGUAUUAUGGUGUGACGUGAGCGUUGGAUGCGAGCGUAGUAGCCCUAUAUGAGUGUUUAAUUCAUAUAGGGGGUAUGGGCACAUAUUUAUACACCCGUCUGUCCACCUUAAUGGCGUAGUGUAACACCGCAUUAAGACGUGACGUGAGCGUUGGACGCGAGCGUAGUAGCUCUAUAUAGACCCAUGAAUUUAUAUAGGGAGUAUGGACGUGUGUAAAUACAUACAUAUAUUUUUUUAGAGUCUGAGAGACUCGAUAUGUAUGGGAUAAAAGUUCUAUCGCUUGCAGCAUGCAUUCAACUUUCCUUGGAAAUUGAUUUGGGGAAACAUAAAUAUUUUAUUCGUUAAUUUAUUUUUGUCUACUCACUCUAACGUUUAGUUUUCAAAUGUUUUUCCCCUGGGCUCUUCGUUUUAAAAAUGCCCAGUUUGCAAGAUUGCAUAGUUGUGGUCGGACGUAUUUGGAGAAGAGGCAUAGUCAAUAGUGUUGCUUCCGCUCAUUUUUAUAUUUCUAGUUCAUUUCCUUUCAAAUAGAGUUGCUCUGAACUAUGGCUGUUGGCUAUGAGAUUUUCUUGUUUAAGUUAGUAAUUAAAUUUGGAGAUGUUGUGAUUUGGGGAGCACGAAGGCUCCAGGAGUUUAAGGUUGGAUUUGGAUUUUUCAGAAGUGUUUGCAGGUAUUUAUUAGAAAGGGUUGUCCAUUUUCAAGGGAGGUUGUGCCGAUUUUUCGGUAAACUUUCCUUGGAGGUGGUCCCCGCAGGAUUUACUUCGGGUUUCAGGGUGAAAUUCGGGGUGGGUCUUGAUAGUUGGUAUCAGAGCACUAGGUUAUUCGUUUCCUUUCUCAUUUUAGUACUACCUCAUAUUCUUGGUCAUGCUUAGUGUCUAUAGAGUGAUGGUCCGACCGCGGCGGAUCUAUUAGCAUUAUAUGCUUUAGACACUAUGUGUUGAUUAGGUUUGUGAUGUAGUUGUUCUUGUUUUAUUUAUGGUCAGUAUUAUGCCAUAAAUAUCUAUAUCUUCAAGACUAUGCCUCCGUACGCUGACCUUUUAGGUAAUCUUUAUGUUUCGUGUAAUAUAAAGGUAUAUUGAUUACGCCUUUUCCAAGGAUAUUCGAGUUGAUAUCAUAAAUUAUUAGAGUUUAAUUGCGAGUUGGGAACUCCAGUUGGGAACUCAUAAGAGUGGUAGCAUUCGUUUCAUUUGAUCAAUGAUUGUUUGGGUAAUGAUUAAGAUGCUGAGGGGAACAUCUUGUGCGAAUCUGUAGUACGUGAAACGUUUGAUUCGACGGAUGUCUUGAGAGUUUUCUAUUUUUGGUGGGCAAGUAAAGAGCUGUGGUAAUCCGAUAGAAAAUCUUGGCAUCUAGUUACGUGACUUCUGAAAGAAAAGAGUUGGAAAGAAAGUUUGGAGUAGUGGUGUACUCUAUAGAUUUAAAGGUUGGUGGAAGUGAUGUGGUGAGGUACCCAUAGUAAUUCGAAGAGGUACCUAUACGAGUCGAUGAGGACUCUAAUUUUGGGCUGAUUAGUCACGAGGGAUUGUGUGGCUAAUAAAAAGGCUAUCAAUUUAGAGAAGUCUUGAUUCUUGACCAAAUUCCCAACUGCUUUAUCCGCAGCGAAAGUUAGUUGGGAUUGUUUUGGUUAAUGCUUGUUAUGGUCGCGCAUGUUCUGGCCGUACAACUCUAAUUAAGGAUAUGUUUUUAUCCUUGGAAUCAUCAUAUUAAACAGUAAAAUCGGAGAAUUUAGGAGAAGGAGGUUAGCAGCAGUCGGCGGAUAGUAAGAUUUUUUGAUGAAUUUCGCCUAAAUUAAAGAUGGAUUAGUUGAAGUUGGUUUUACAACAGUCAUUAGUCAAUGGCAUUAUGGCAAACUUGAUGUUGUGUCGUGGUCGGGGAAUUAUUAGAAAUUGAAUGGUGUCAUCAAAAGUUUCGAGUUUUGAGUUUCGAGCAAGCUUUAAAGCGUUGAGCGACUUCUGUCAGCUAUAGUAUUUUAAUCGUGGGCCGUUGUAGAUUCUUUCGGAAUUCUAAGUGUUGAAGUUGGAUUCCAGUUUUGUUGAGUGUUUUGGGAAGAAAAUAAAUUUAAAUGAAAUUGAAAAGUAAUGGUGGAGUGAGAGCGGAUGGUUGUGGUCACUCCGGUUUUACGACAACAUCUGGUGAAUUUGUGAUGUGUUGUCAGGGGUAUUCUAAAAUAGUUGUGUAGAGCUGGUGGAAGUGGUAGCAGUGGAAUAAAACCCACUGGAUCUUGGAGCAAGACUGUGUGGGUGUCCAUAGUAAAUUUCAAGCUGCAUUGUUUUAAGUAGUGAUGUAUGUCUCAAAUUUGUGAUCGAAGUUGGUUUUUGAUAUCAUUUCGUUCACAAUGGGUGACUAAUUACGACACAACAAUGAGAGGAUUUGUUCUCGCCUUAUUUCUAAUUCAGUGAGAUGGAGUAAGGUUUUGGUUGUGGUGUGUGUGGGAAUAUUUCAAUUAUUCCUACUGUAGUUUGUGGGUAGCAUCCUCAGAGCUUGAAAUUAUGGAAUGCGAUUUCAACGCUUCGAUUUGAAGGUUAGAGAUUAUGGUUAGUUUGUCGAAUUUUUGAGGCAAAUCAUAAAUUGGUAGUUGUGUCGUAGUCAUGGAGUUCAUUUAAGCGAUGAGUCUUGAUGCCGUAAAUCCUAUGUGGUAGUUUGAGAGUUGCACGGUGAUGUUCAUUUGAUGGUUUGUGCCGUUAUAGACAUGUUGUAGCCUUAUGGAAAAGGGUUUUUCCCUGUUGACUCAAGAAGCGUCUAGAGGUUUAUUAAGAGUUAUAAUAUUGAGGGUAGUAGAUAUGGGGAUAGGUUGAACGAUGUCUCUUCUCGAGAUCGUAUUGUGGUGGGACCACUUAUUGAUCCAAGUUUGAUUUGGGAGAUCUUUGCUUUUUGGUGGUGUGUUCAUCCAUUGGUGUCAGGAUGAUUAGUUGAGGUUUCUAAUGCGAUUUUGAAACGGUUCUGGCGGAUAUCGGAGAUUUGUGGAGCUUUUGAGCUCGAAGUUAGAGGACUUGCCUUUCGUGUGCUUUAAGUUAUUUCUUCUGGAACUUGAGCUGAGUUUAGCCUUGAGUUUUGAUUCUUGCUUGAAUUCAUGGUUUUCAUUGGUUGGAGAACCACAAAAUGUGGUAAUGGGUCUUGUAUAAAAUUUAUCUUUGCAUUUGAUAGUUGCAUGAUUCUGCAUGCUCGGUUAUCAAAGAAUUUUUUUGGUGGGAAGCCGUGGCCCUAGGCGGUGUAGGAGACUUGAGCAUAUUUGUUUUUCAGAUCGUCUUCUGCUAUUAGACUAAUCGUUAAGAAGUGUAUUUGUCGGGUGCAAAGGUUUUGGCUUUUAGAAUCAUUCUUGUGGAACGGCUAGAGUGAGCCAUGUGCUUUUAAUUGUUGCACUUAGGGUCGCAGUUGCACCCGAAUAAUUAGCAUGGUUGGAGAUGUAAAUUUUGUCAAUGCUUAAAGAAGGUGUUCUAUUUAUGUGGAUUUCAACAUCAAGUUUAGCAUCACGAAUUGACUGUGCCAAUUUUUCAUGGGCAUUAUUAGUCAGUUUUGUUUAUGGCGAGCAUGGGGGAAUUUCUAGUUUCCACAUGAUAGUCAUGUUUCAGAUUGUCUUCUGAUUUGUGGUAAAGAGAUUGGUAGAGAUAGCAGAAUCAAGAGAGAGUUGGAUUUCCUAUAAGCUGCUAGUUUGUGGUGCAUAAAAUGGUAAUGUAAUAGUUUUGGUGGAGAUACCUAAGUGACGUGGUAUUGAUCUUUUCAUAAUGUUAUCUCGAAAAUCAAGGUUAUCAUAUGUUGGUGGACUGGUCACUGAGGCAAAGCAAAGCUGUCUUGUGGACUUGCGAGGGCUUUGACUCCACGAAAGACUUUGCGAGGUGUCUCGGUAUUAAAAGUGAUUGUUACAGUUCUGCAGUGUGUGCAUCCUUAAAUCUGUUCAAUUAGCAGGUCUUAAUUUUGACCCCUAUGAGCAUGUGGGAAUGUGUGAACUUUAGUUUUUUUAGCAAGUUGGCUUCGACGCUGAGUUUGUGAGUUGCAUAAUGACUAGUUUGUUGUAUGUCAUUAGGAGAUUUAAGCCUGGCAGUGAUAUUGAAUUUUUCUCUGUAUUAGCUAUUUUAAGUUUCUUAAUGAAACAAAUUGUGAUUUGUUGUCGAUCAAUGAUCAUUACCUUUGGCUCGUUCAGUUUAAAAUUUCGAGCACGAAAUUUUUAUAAGGAGGGGAGAUUGUAACAUCCCGGACCCAAAUUUUACCUAUUUACUUAGUAAGUUAACACUCGAGUUUAUUUGCGAGUUUUUCUGGAAAUGUCAAACUCUUCUUUUAAGGUCCCGAUGUCGUAGUUCAAGUCGAUUCGAGUUCUUCGGUGUCUUCAGAAUUGUUUUACGGAGCUCCGGAUUAUUUUUCUAUGUUUUAUCAUAGGUUUGGUACUAGGAUUAUUCUUACUGAGAUUAGGGUAUAAAUUUUUUUCGAGUUUUAAAGGAAAAGAAGUGGUGGACUUCGGUUAAAAGCCCAAAGUGGGUGUUGACCAGCUCUCCCACUCCUCUCCCCGACUCCCUCUCUCUCUCGUCUCUCAGUCUUGCCGCGCCGGAGUGGCGCCGUCCGGCCACCUAUGACGACAAGACCCCCACCAAUUCUCUUCCUCUCCCUCUUCUUUACAACGUCUAGCUUUCAGUUCACCCGUGCCUGAACUUUGGAAGGAGAUUGACGGGAAGAAGCACAACGGCCCUCCGGCGAUUCUUGUCGAUGUCGGCCAUGACUUGGCACCCGAACGGUAGGGUUCGUCUCCUCUAUCCUUCUUCCUUCUUUCUCUGCCUUUGACUCUUCAAAACGAGUUCAAAUUCGGGAGCCCCUUUUUGUGUUUUUAGGUUUUCGUCGGGGUUUUCCGGCGAGUUCGUUCUUGGAGCUCCGGCGGGACUACCGAGCUCCGGUGAGUCUAGAACCGGUUGAAUGGAGCCCAGACACGUCUUGGGAAGGGUUGGAGGAAGCGACGGUGGUAUUGAACCGAGGUAGAGGCUUUCCGCCAAAGGGAGGUCCCCUGUUCUUCUAUUGGUUCUAUGUUUUAUGGUGUGACGUGAGCGUUCGACGCGAGCGUAGUAGCCCUAUAUGAGUGUUUAAUUCAUAUAGUGGGUAUGGGCACAUAUUUAUACACCCGUCUGUCCACCUUAAUGGCGUAGUGUAGCACCGCAUUAAGGCGUGACGUGAGCGUUGGACGCGAGCGUAGUAGCCCUAUAUAGACCCAUGAAUUUAUAUAGGGAGUAUGGACGUGUGUAAAUACAUACAUAUAUUUUUUUUAGAGUCUGAGAGACUCGAUAUUUAUGGGAUAAAAGUUCUAUCGCUUGCAGCAUGCAUUCAACUUUCCUUAGAAAUUGAUUUGGGGAAACAUAAAUAUUUUAUUCGUUAAUUUAUUUUUAUCCACUCACUCUAACGUUUCGUUUUCAAAUGUUUUUCCCCUGGGCUCUUCGUUUUAAAAAUGCCCAGUUUGCAAGAUUGCAUAGUUGUGGUCGGACGUAUUUGGAGAAGAGGCAUAGUCAAUAGUGUUGCUUCUGCUCAUUUUUAUAUUUCUAGUUCAUUUCCUUUCAAAUAAAGUUGCUCUGAACUGUGGCUGUUGGCUAUGAGAUUUUCUUGUUUAAGUUAGUAAUUAAAUUGGGAGAUGUUGUGAUUUGGGGAGCACGAAAGCUCCAGGAGUUUAAGGUUGGAUUUGGAUUUUUCAGAAGUGUUUGCAGGUAUUUAUUACGAAGGGUUGUCCAUUUUCAAGGGAGGUUAUGCCGAUUUUUCGUUAAACUUUCCUUGGAGGUAGUCCCCGCAGGAUUUACUUCGGGUUUCAGGGUGAAAUUCGGGGUGGGUCUUGAUAUUUACCGUCUUCGUCAAUGAGUUUAUAGUUUAAAUAGUCCCUAGAGAGGUUUUGAGGGACGAUUAUUUCGGAGGAAAUAUUCGUAGGAGAAAAUUGUGACGACGGUAAAAAUAGUAAAUUUCAGCUAGUAAAAGGUAAUUUUUAUUGGGGUAUUAUUUUUGGGGUGUUUUAUUUGUGGAGUUGGGUUUAUUUGGUGGUAUUGGACCGGUUAAGAGUAGAAACCCAAACCAUUUCUCUCUCUUCAUCUCUUCUUCCUCCUGACUCUCUCCCUCUCCCGCUGUAGGAUUUUUCGUCGCCAGCCUGCCGCCAUCCGGCCACCGUUCGCCGCCGCACCGGUCCCAAACAGUCGGCCGUCCACCUAGCUGUCUCCCUGGACCGGUGAGAGCCGCCCUAGCGCGCCGUGAGGGAGAGUUGCCGCUCGAAACCUCCGGCUGUCCAAAGCUCUCCAUCGUCGGAACUCUCUCCUCCGGCCGCCAUAGCCGGAGCAGCUUGGCUCAAAAGAAAGCCCUCCUCCCGAGCAUUCAUCCCUCCAAAGGUUCCACUCCCCCUUGGUCUAGGUAAGGAGAAAGGUGGAGUAGAAAUUCUAGGGCUUAUGUAAUGUUUUCGUUCGAUUGGCAUAGUUAGACUUGGAAUUGGGUAUUGUGCUAGUUAAGAAAGUUGUAGGGUGAGUUGAGAGGAAGAUACUGUCAAAUUUUGGUAGGCAUUGGAGGUCGUCGGAGUCGGCCGCCGGCCGCUGCUGCCGGCGGAGCAGACGGCGGCUCUGCCGCUGUUAAGGGGUUUUUCAUGGUUUUAAGUGUGUUAUAUUAAGGGGAGUUUAAUGGUAUGAAGUUUAGAAUUCUUGGAAGAGUUUUGAAUAAGUUUUGGAUUUUUGAAAGAUUGGUGAAUUUAGCGGUUAAUGGGGUAGAAUCCGACCGUUGGAUUUUCCUUAUUAUUGUUUUAGAAUGUUGAAAUAAAGGAAAUAAGGCUGUGGUUGGAAUUUAAUGUGAAUUCGAUAAGCUUAACCCUAGAAAGGGUAGUGGGUUAGGCGGAAGAGUUUUAGGUUAUAUAUUUAAGUAUUAUUUAUUUCUAAAAUUGAAGUUUGAUCCUAAGCAUGGUUAUUGUGCCAGGAUUCAAGGAGACCUUACUUGAGUGGCGAAUUGGAUUUGAUCGGGCUUAUGGCUAAAGUUGUGAGGGGACUUUUGUUUUAAAUAAUAUGCAUGCAAUGAUUGAUUGUUAAGCAAUUUAUUUUGUUGGAGCAUUGACGUCAUUUUAUUUUGACGAUUUUAUUUUUCGUUUGAAGAGUUACUGAAAAUGGGAUUUUCGGCAAAUAUAAUUAUAUAUUGAUGAGGAGAGUAUGUAUAUAAAUGCUAGCUAGCCAUUUGUGUCUAUCCAGCUUAAUGGCGUAGCAUAUAACCGUAUUAUGGUGUGACAUGAGCGUUGGACGCGAGGGUAGUAGCCCUAUAUGAGUAUCUAAUUCAUAUAGGGGGUAUGGACACAUAUUUAUACACCCGUCCGUCCACCUUAAUGGCGUAGUGUAGCACCGCAUUAAGACGUGACGUGAGCGUUAGACGCAAGCGUAGUAGCCUUAUAUGAAUUUCUAUUUUUCUUAUAUUUCCUUCAUAGAAUUCAUAUAAGGAGUAUGGACGUGUGUAGAUACAUACAUAUAUAUUGAUGGAUAUAUAUUAAUUUACCCUGAGAGGCUCUAUUUUAUAAAGCUUUGGAGACUAGCCGGAGCUAGUCGUGUUAUUGCCAGUUUAUGAGUUGAGAGCUUUUGAGCUUGUUGCAUACAGCAUAAUUUCUGUGGAAAAUAAAUGGGAAUGCAUAAAUAUUUUUAUUGAAUUCAGUUUUGUCCACUCACUCUAACAUUUUCGAAUAUUUCCCCUGGGCCCUUCGUUUUAAAAAUGCCUAACUUGCAGGUUAGCUUAGUUGAGGUCGGGCGUAUAUGGAAAUGAGGCAUAGUCCAUCAUAUAGCUUCCGCUUGUUAAUUUAUUAUGUUUCCUUUCUUCCUAUUAGAGUUGCUCUGAACCUAUAAAUGGUUGGAUAUGGGAUUUGUUUAGAUUAGUAAAUAAAUUGGGUGGUGUUGUGAUUUGGGGAGCACGAAGGCUCCAGGUUUUUAAAGUUGGAUUUGGAAUUUUAGAAGUGUGUGCAGGUGCUUUUAGGAAGGGUUGUCCAUUUUCAAGGGAGGUUAUGCCAAAUUUUCGGUGAAUUUUCAGUAAAUUUUCCUUUGAGGUGGUCCCCGCAGGAUUUACCUCGGGUUUCAGGGUGAAAUUCGGGGUGGGUCCUGACAACUAAGGCACACAUUCACAAGUAAGACACACAAUCACCACUAAGGGUCCAAGGCACCAAUAAUCACAUCAAUAGAACUAAAAAUAUUAUGGUCACAAGAACCUUAAAAAUAAUUAUUUAAAUCAUCAUAAUCAUUAUCAACAUCAUCAUCAUCAAAAUCAUCAUCAUAAUAAUUAUAAAUAAUUGGUCUCAAAAUGAACCUUGGUGAGAUUUUACUCACCUAAAUAAUCCCGCUGCGUCUUCAACACAAAACACAUUUCACAAGUCACCUAUAAUUACACAAUUAAUAACCUUAGUAACCAAAGUACCAUAGGAUAUCAAACACCCUUAAACUAAACCUUAUCCCAAAAGAGGACAACCUUCCAAGGUCAUCGAAUUUAACAACCCAAAACUGCUGCUUCUAAUUCUCAAAACAGAAACUCAAACCUUGCACAAGUCUAAGAUUAACCAAAAAGUCCUAGCAAGAAAUAAUGGUAACCAAAACCUACAACCCAUAUAUCAACACGUUUGUAUCGAAGAGUACUACCUAACCAGCACCAUAAAACACUCCAGACACUACCGGACGCGCUGCCAUGCGCCGCCAUAGGCGACGGCGAGUGGGCCCUAUGCGCCACCCUACCAACCUUCGAAUUAGGGCAAACUCACAACACAAAACUUGUAGAUUGAAGAGCGGGAAGCAUCUUUUAUACCUAAGGUUUCGCCUCAAUCAGCUGGAAAACACCGAGAAACUUGCCGAAAGGUUGGCAUCCACCACCACCACUCUACACCGAGAGUCGAGCUUCAAGACCACCAGAAGUCGAACCAGGACGCCAAGGAGCUUCUAUCCCGACCGGUUUCCAGCCUCGUCACCGCCGUCAGAGGUGAGAAUUCCGGUCGGGUUGCAAACCAGGUCGCUGCCCUCACUGUGGCGCUCAAUUAGCACCGAUCCGGUCGAGUCUUCCUCACUCACCAACACAACGAGGAUUGCGCUGAGGAGAGGAAGAGUUUCCGACUAGUGCCGCCGUCUAAGUCGGCCGGAAAAGUCAGGUCAGGUCGACCGGGUCUAGGUCGGGUCAGCUGAAGAACUUUGAUAGCUACAGUUCGGGGAGAGAGAGAGGGAAAGGGAGAAAGAAAUGGUUCCGGAAAAAACGAAAAGGAAACCUAAAACUUUUCUUAUUUAACCCCAAAUUCCUGUAAAGCCACGAACUUCCACUGACCGUAACUUUCUCAUACGAAGUCCGUUUUACUCGUGCCACGUGUUUACAAACUUGUAUCGUCGUGCUCUACAACUUUCGUGAAGAAAGUUUCUCAAGAAACCCAACAGAUUAGAAAGUCAACUCUUGACUCUUGAAAACCAUAAAACCGUUUUGGGUGACUUAUGCAUCCGAACACUUCCGCCCUUCCUUCGAACCUCAAAACACACUAACUUCUAACUCGAAAAUUCCUAAAUAAUAUUAGAAACUAAUACAUAGGAAUAGGCAUAUGUGUGUCAUGCUUUUGAGUCUUCCUUAACUAGUUUGCCUAUUGAACCUAGACCAUGGGAUCUCCAAUGUUGCUAGGUUAGGUUCCCGCCAAGUAAUGACUCAUUGUAUGGGCUUGAGACUCAUUCCCCUCGAUGUAAAUACAACUUGCUCUUUAGUUAGGCCUUUAGUCAAUGGAUCGGCUAGAUUUUCCUUUGAUUUGAUGUAAUCCAAUGCUAUAACUCCAUUGGAGAGCAAUUGUCGUACUGUAGCAUGUCGUCAUCUUAUAUGCCGAGAUUUCCCAUUGUACAUUUUGUUUUUGGCUUGAUGUAUGGCAGCCAUACUAUCACAAUGAAUACAAAGGGGUGUUAAAGGCUUAGGCCACAAUGGAAUAUCUUCAACAAAAUUUCUAAGCCAUUCGGCUUCUUUGGCAGCUUUAUCCAAAGCAAUGAAUUCCGAUUCCAUUGUUGAUCGUGCUAUACAUGUUUGUUUGGAUGACUUCCAUGACACAGCUCCUCCACCAAGUGUAAACACAUAACCACUUGUGGACUUACUUUCCGUACUACCCGAGAUCCAAUUUGCAUCACUAUAUCCUUCCAAAACAGGAGGAUAUUUUGUAUAAUGUAGACCACAGUUCAUUGUAUACUUUAAGUACCUUAAUACUCUUAUCAAAGCAUGCCAAUGGUCUAUACUAGGAUUGCUUGAAUAUCGACUUAAUCGACUUAUUGAAUAAGCCAAAUCCGGUCUUGUGCAAUUCAUAACGUACAUCAAGCUUCCUAUGAUUUGUGUGUAUUCCAGUUGAGACACACUCUCACCAUUGUUCUUUGCAAGCUUAUAUGUUGGAUCAAAUGGAGUCAUCAUCAUUUUAUCAUAAUAGUGUCCAAAUUUCUUUAGCACUUUCUCCACAUAAUGAGAUUGAGUGAGUAUAUAACCAUUACUAUCUCUUUGAAUUCUCACUCCAAGGAUUAAAUCUGCUAAUCCCAUAUCUUUCAUUUCAAAUUUGGAACUGAGCAUCUUCUUUGUGGAAUUGAUAAUGUCCUUGUUUGUUCCCAUUAUCAACAUGUCAUCCACAUACAGACAUACAAUGAUACAAGCAUUUUUGGUUUGCUUGAUAUAAACACAAUUAUCACACUCGUUUAUGGUAAAUCCAGAAGACAACAUUGUAUAAUCAAACUUCUCAUGCCAUUGUUUUGGGGCUUGUUUAAGUCCAUAUAACGAUUUAACAAGUUUGCAGACUUUCUUCUCUUGCCCUUUAACAAUGAAGCCUUCAGGUUGCUCCAUAUAGAUUUCUUCCUCUAACUCACCAUUUAAGAAUGCCGUUUUGACAUCCAUUUGGUGUAUCUCGAGAUCAUAUAUAGCAACAAUUGCUAUUAGCAUUCGAAUGGAAGUAAUUCGAGUGACAGGGGAAUAGGUGUAAAAGAAAUCAAGACCUUCUUUUUGUCGAUACCCUUUUGCAACUAGUCUUGCUUUAUAUUUGUCUAUGGAACCAUCUGGUUUUAACUUCUUUUUGAAUAUCCAUUUAUAUCCAAUUGGUUUGUUUCCAGGUGAUAAAUCAACCAAUUCCCAUGUAUGGUUAUUCAUAAUGGAUUCCACUUCACUUUGAAUUGCUUCCUUCCAAUAAGGUGCUUCUACAGAUUCCAUUGCAGCCUUAUAUGUCUGAGGUUCUUGUUCAGUUAGAAAAGUCAGAAAAUCUGAACCAAAGUCUUUUGCAACUCUUGCUCUUUUACUUCUUCUUGGUUCCAAUUCUUGCUCUUGAACCUUUGAAAUAGAAGCAUUGUUAUUAUUUUCCUGUGUUUUUGGAUCUUCAUGUACUCUCUUCUUUGUAGUACUUGAUCUAUCUUUGUAUGGAAAUAUAUCCUCAAAGAAUUCAGCUUCAUUGGACUCAAGAAUAGUGUUCACAUGUACUUCUUCAUUUCCAGAUUUGUGAACUAAAAAUCGAUAUGUUGCACUGUUAUUUGCAGGUCCAAUAUAUACACAGUCUACUAUUUUUGGUCCAAGCAUUUGCAUCUUUGGAGGAGGAAUUCUAACUUUAGCAUGGCAACCCCACACUUUCAUGGUUUUAUAUGUAGGCAGCCUACCUUUCCAGAUUUCAUAUGGGGAUUGAUCAUUCCUUUUAAGAGGAAUUUUAUUCAAUAUUGAGUUUGCAUACAGAAGACCUUCACCCCAUAAACUGUGUGGAGCACCUGAACUGUUUAACAUGGAAUUUAUCAUUUCUCUUACGCUCAGCAACUUCAUUUUGCAUUGGAGUGUAGGGUUUUGUUGUUUGAUGAACAAUUCCAUGUGUGGAACAAAAUUCAGAGAAUUCAUUUGAUAUGUAUUCUCCACCACGAUCUGAUUUGAGUGUUUUUAUCUUCUUGUCUAAUUGAUUUUCAACUUCAGCUUUGUAUAUCUUAAACAUACUCAAAGCUUCAUCUUUACUAGUUAUCAAAUAGGCAUAGCAGAAUUUGUUGCAAUCAUCAAUGAAUGUAAUAUAGUAAUUCUUUCCAGAUCGACUUGGAGUUGAUUGGAAGUCACAGAGAUCAGUAUGAAUCAAUCCAAGUACUUCGUUGGAUUUUUCAACACAUUUGUAAGAGUGCUUUGCAUACUUUGAUUCAACACAGAUUUCACAUUUAUGUUCAUCAGCAUUAGUAUUGCUGUUUGAGAUGCAUUCUAACUUAGGACUGCAUUUUGGUAACAAUCCCAAGUUGAUCAUCCUGUCUAGACAACGAUAAUUCACAUGACCUAAUCUUGCAUGCCAUAAAUCAACUGAAUCAAGUAAGUAGAUAGAAGCAGUGCUAUUGCCUGCAUUAUUAUUAUUAAUAUCAGCCGUAGGAAUUACAUUGAGUUUGAACAGCCCCUCAGAUAGGUAGCCUUUUCCUACAUACAUUCCACCCUUGGUGAGUACAAACUUAUCAGAUUCAAAUAGUAACUUAAAGCCUUUGUUGAUAAGAAGAGAACCAGAAAUCAGAUUCUUUCUAAUCUCAGGGACAUGGAGCACAUUGGUCAGUGCAAGUUCUUUUCCAGAAGUGAGUUUCAGUAUCACUUUUCCUUUCCCUUCAACUACAGCAGUACUAGAAUUUCCCAUGUAAAGAUUUUCUCCACCAGAUCCUUGCUCAUAUGUUGCAAACAUGCUUCUUUCAGCACAAACAUGCCUUGAUGCACCUGUGUCAACCCACCAGUCAUUGGUAUUGGUCAUUAGAUUGACCUCAGAUACAACAACAACAAAUUGAUCUUCUGCCAUGUUUGCUUGAUUAUUAUUUCCGGCAGGUCUGUCCUUCUCUUGGCGACAAUCCAUGGCUUUAUGACCAGGCUUACCACACACUCAGCAAGAACCUUGAAUUUUCUUUUUGAACAUAACAGCUUUUGGGGCAGUAGAUGCUCUCUUGGCAGCAGUUUUUCCCUUCUUAUGAUUGUGAGAAAACUUAGGCUUGGAGGUGCUACCUUCAAUCACAUUGGCUUUUGCUUCCAUUGAGGACCAAUCGGUUUUUUCAUUCUUUCUGUUCUCUUCCUCCACACAAAGCUUGAGAAUGAGUUGCUCAAGGUUCAUCUCUUUAGAUAGGUGCUUGAGGUAUAUCUUGAAAUCCUUCCAAGAGGGAGGCAGCUUUUCAAUAAUGGAAGCAACAAGAAAGUCUCAUUGAGUCCCAUACCUUCAGCAAGUAAUUCAUGAGCAGUAAUUUGGAGUUCCUCCACUUGCUUCACCACAGAAUUGGCAUCACUCAUCUUAAAAUUCAGAAAUUUUCCAACAACAAACUUCUUGGCACUUGCAACCUCAGACUUGUAUUUCUUGUUCAAAGAAUCCCAUAGCUCUUCUGCAGUUUUGAAUGUUGAAUAAACAUCAUACAAUGAAUCAUCUAAGGCAUUCAGAAUAUAAUUCUUACACAGAAACUUGUUUUGCUCCCAAGCUUCAACAGCCUUAAUAGUUGCAUCUAGGAUAUCACCCUCUACUGGCAAAUCUGGAGCCUCAGAUGUAAUCACUUAUGCCAAGUUCAGUGUUGUUAGAUAAAACAACAUCUUUUGCUGCCAUCUUUUGAAGUCCACGCCUUUGAACACAAAUGGCUUCUCAAUAUGGUUCUUAACACCAACAGCAGUAGGUUGAUCCAUCACAAUUGUAAUAGAAUUUCUGUCUUAGAUUGUUAGAACAAGGGAACAAUCAGUUAUGGAACAACCCAAUCAACACCAGAUGUUGUGUUAAAAUCUUAUAUUUAUACUUUAAUUACAACAAUAAGAACACAAUUCCUAAUCUAUGAACACAGUAAUAUCAGUUGAAACAAUGAAUUGAAAUCAAAACAAAAUUGAGAGCAAUGAAACUGACUUGAUGAUUUUGAUAGAGGCUUGCUUGCAGCAAUCUCCUAAGACAGAAAUUCACCCCUACACUUGUGCACGUAGAUCUUGGACGUCUGUCUUGUAGGAUACAACUAUCGAACCCAAUCGAUGCACUCCGGUUGAAUCCCUGGCAAACUCUACUUUGUGUUUCUCAUAAAUAUUAAGGGGAGAAGAGAGAGGAGAACUGAAUGAAUCUCCCAUCUGCUUGGGCUGAUUGUCUUUAUAAAGAUGAAGGACAACUUUUGGGGAAUAGAGGUGUAGCUUCAGUUGUUCUGGUUUGAAACCCAGAAGACACAACCUUCUGUUCGUACUCAACUCUUCCAAUAGAUAUAAUCUCUUCCAACAAAUAUCUAUUAUUAUCCAAAUAAUAAAAACAGAUAAUAAUAAUAAUAAAAGCAGAUGGUAAAAUGGUAAAGUAAAAACACAGAUGGUUAAUUCUAAUUUUUACCCCACAUUCUCCAACACAAAUCCUAUACAUAUCGACAUUUAGAGAUACUUGCUGGGAUAAAGCUUAAGGAAUAAGUAGGAAAAGUAGAUGGUAGUCAAAUUUAGCAGUACUAGAGAUGAUAUUGGUAAAAAGCUUAUGUGCUACGACCAAGAUUCUUGUUAUAAUAGAAGAAGAACAGAAGAAUCCAGAUGGCUAUUUGUAUAGCUACAAAGGACAUUUAACACAAUUUAAGGAGGCAAGACUGUAAUUGACAUGACAUGAAUGGAUUAAACAAGACGAAAAGAAAAAGUCUGUUGUGCAAAGGCUAGGUUAUAUCAAGAUUAAAGCAUCCAAAACAAAUGAUACUUUUUACAAUGAACAAGUUGGUAAUUCUGCAUUCAUAUCAUCACAAGUGAAAGGGAUUAAAGUCCCGAAGAAGCAUCAUAUGGAUGAGAACUCAAUAAGAUUCAAGUUUGACAAGCGAACAAAGCUGGCCAAAUUACAGUCAAGAUCAAACAAACAGAAAACAUUCCAACACAAUCACACCUAAACAUAGAUACUAGAAUAGAAUCAAAGCUAUAAAUAAAAUUAUGCUUUCCCUACCUCAAAUCCUACAUAUCAGUAGCAAUCUCCAAAAGCAAUCAUGCAAGCACCCAACAAUUCCAAAGCAAUCCACUCUAUACCAUAGCAAUCCAGCCACCUGAUACAGAAGUUUUCAUAUACGAAUUCAAACUCCCCUCUAAUCGAAGAUAGAUUAAUCGAUUACAAGUAGUUUUGGAAGAUCAAGAAAUUAAUUGAACUUACAAGGAUCAAGCCUUUGUCUAGAUGGAGAAACUCUGAAAUUCUAGAGCAAUGGAUUAGUGAAUAUCCACUUUAGUCUCUUGAAAACUAGAUAAAACUUUGGGUAAGUGAUGGGACGACAUUUUUGAGCAAAGCAGAAGUGCGAAGAAAGAAAAGAACAAAAAGGAGUUCGUGUAUGGUUCAAAUGAAAUCGUACAAGGAAGGCUUGAAUCACCGACACAGAUGAAGAAGCGUGUAUGGUUCUAGAAGGUAGUACANNNNNNNNNNNNNNNNNNNNNNNNNNNNNNNNNNNNNNNNNNNNNNNNNNNNNNNNNNNNNNNNNNNNNNNNNNNNNNNNNNNNNNNNNNNNNNNNNNNNNNNNNNNNNNNNNNNNNNNNNNNNNNNNNNNNNNNNNNNNNNNNNNNNNNNNNNNNNNNNNNNNNNNNNNNNNNNNNNNNNNNNNNNNNNNNNNNNNNNNNNNNNNNNNNNNNNNNNNNNNNNNNNNNNNNNNNNNNNNNNNNNNNNNNNNNNNNNNNNNNNNNNNNNNNNNNNNNNNNNNNNNNNNNNNNNNNNNNNNNNNNNNNNNNNNNNNNNNNNNNNNNNNNNNNNNNNNNNNNNNNNNNNNNNNNNNNNNNNNNNNNNNNNNNNNNNNNNNNNNNNNNNNNNNNNAACAUGUAACCUACUGAUGAAAACUGGUGGAAAUGCGGGUGACUAUGCCUCGCCUCCUACUAGAUCCAAUCCGAACUCUGCAAACUGGGCAAUUUAAAACGAAGGCCCAGGGGAAAACAUUUAAUAACGUUAGAGUGAGUGGACAAAAAAAUAAAAUAAUAAAUAAAAUAUUUAUGUUUCCCCAAAUUAAUUUCUAAGGAGAAAAUCGACUGCAUGCCGCAAGCGAUGAAACCUUUAUCUCAUAAAAUAUCGAGCCUCUUAGACUCUAAAAUAUAUGUAUGUAUUUACACUCGUCCAUACUCCCUAUAUAAAUUCAUGGGUCUAUAUAGGGCUACUACACUCGCGUCCAACGCUCACGUCACGCCUUAAUGCGGUGCUGCACUACGCCAUUAAGGUGGACAGACGGGUGUAUAAAUAUGUGUCCAUACCCCCUAUGUGAAUUAAACACUCAUAUAGGGCUACUACGCUCACGUCACACCAUAAUGCGGCUAUAUGCUACGCCAUUAAGGUAGACAGACACAUAUGGCUAGCUAGCAUUUUAUAUACAUACUCUCUCAUAAAUACAUAUUUAUAUCCACCGAAAAUCCCAUUUUCGGUAACUCUCCAAGAGAAAUAAAAUUCGUCAAAUAAAAUGACGUUAAAAUAUUCCGCAACAAUUAUUGUUCAACCAUGAACUUUAGCAUGCAUUUUAUUUAAAACAAAAGUCCACUCACAAAUUAGGCCUAAGCCUGACGUCGAUCUGGGGUCUCGUCUGCUCGAGCCUCCUCACGUCCUGAUCCAAAAAUAAUAUUAAUUUCCCAACUAAUAAUCCAAUAUUUAGUCAAAAUAGGCAAAAUUACCCGAGAGCCAUAAAUACGCUCAUCAUUGCCUAACUUCGAUAUUCUUAAAUCGGAACGAUCUGAACUUAAAUAUCAUACUCGACAGUCGUAACUACAACCUCCCCAAAAUACGACUUAAAUCAUACGGCCGGAUUCUACAUUAAUUAACCGCCAAAAAUACCAAACUUCGGAAAUUCACAAACCUAUCCAAAUCUCAUCCAAAAAUUCCAUAAAUCACAUCAAUAAUAUCCCCUUAAUAUUCCACAUUUAAAACCCUAAAAAUCUCCCAAACCGCGGCGGCUCCGCCGGCAGCGGCGGCCGGAGGCCAAUUCCGGCGACCUCCAAAACCUAUGAAAUUUUGACAGAAUAAUGCUCUCAUCAUGCUCUAAAACUUUCCUAACUAGCACAAACACCAAUUCCAAGCCUAACUAGGGUAAUCGACUAAAAACAUCAAAAACGCCAAAAAACUUCCACCUCAAAUUUCUCCUUACCUAGCUCAAGAGGGAGUGAGUCCUUUUAGGGCAAGGCUGCUGGGUUGGAGGGCUACAAAACCGAACCAAGCUUGCCCGGAUUGGUGGCCGGAGGAGGGAGUUCCGGCAACGUGAAACCUAACACAGUCGGACCUCUCGGGCCCGAUAUCUUCUUCACGGCGGCGCUAGGGGAGCUGUCACCGGUCCAAGAAGGUUUCUGGGUUGAUGGCCGACCGAACGGGACCGGUGCGGCGGCGGUUGGUGGCCGGACGGCGGUUGGCCGGCGACGGAAAGAUCGGCUGCGGGAGGGAGUUCGGGUGCGGGAAAACCGGGAGGGAGAGAGAGAGAAAAGAGGGCUGGGCUUGACCACCCCUUGGCCCGGUCCAACCUUCUUAUACCACCCAAAUCCAAAAUAAAACACCCCGAAAAAUAAUACCCGAAUAAAAAUUACCUUUUACUAGCUAAAAUUUACCAUUUUUACCGUUGUCAUAUUUUCUCCCACGAAUAAUUCCCCGAAAUUAAUCAUCCCUUAAAAUACCUCUAGGGACCAAUUAAACUAUUAAUUCAAUGACGGAGACGGUAAAAUUUUUAUUAUAAUUAAGCUAGUAAAUAAGGUAAAAAUAUAAGGGUCGGGAUGUCACAUAUAGUUUCUAAAUGGUGGCUGAAUCCUUCUAAACCCCAAACAUAUAUUUUCCAUAUAAAAAUAAUAAUAAAACAAAAGCUACAUAAACAAGAAUGUCUAAUUUGAAAUUAUAUUGCUAAAAACCAAAAUAGCACUAAAAAUCUAUUCCUAAUCAUAUAAUGAAACACACAAAGAAAAAAGAAUGAAACCAAUUAAAUUAAAUAACCUAUUAAAAAUUGAGAUCAUUACACGAGCUCUAGUACAAAAAUAUUCAAUGAUGUUGGGUCGUAGAUGAAUAGUAAAGCUACAUGCAAAUAUUGCAUAGCCUCAAGACGCAAUAGAAAGAUUGGUGCGUAUCAAUAAUGUUCGAGCGACAAACUAAAGUUGCUUGGUCGUAGCCUCAGUGAGACCGUAUUGCGUGUGAACAUGGGGUAUAAGACACUUCAACUUAUAUCCCAAUAAACUUCUUUAAAGAAUGGGUAGUGAGCCCGUAGAAGUAUAAGUAGCAUAAGUAGUAGAUAAUGGUGUAACACGUGACCAUUGUGUUAACACUUCAACCAACACCAUAAAGCAUAAAAAACUGUCCUCAAGUUGGUUGUAUCGAUUUACAAAAUUUGAUGUAAGAAUGAAAUAUUCUCUUUUGUGUCAUUUAGCAUAGGAGGGUCUCGCUCAUAAUUUAGCCAAAAAAUAGGCUUUCAAAACUAGCAAUGAGCAUUGCAGGGGGCCAAUGAGACAUCGAGGGAAGGCUGGUGCACCUCAAUUUCUUGAGGGAUUGACCAGACGGCCUCCGGGAAGUUAGAGCCGUGUUCGGGUGACGUUAAUGUCCCCCGGGUGCCGCCAUUUACCAUCAUGGCGUCACCAUCAUGCUUCAUGAAGAGGCUAGAUCCUGAAUGUCUUCGUUUUGAGCGGAAGAAUAGAUGUCCAUGAGAACUUCUCAAAAAUUCGGACCAUUAUAUCUUUUCCAGGAUGACCGAAUUGGUUAAACCAAAGCCUAUAUGAGUCGGUGUCCCAAAUAUCAUGUUUGGCGACAACAUGAGAUUCGAUAUUCGAAUCGUAGUGACAUACAAUCCACUAAAUUGACACAUGAACUUUUCCAAGAUGCACUUUAGUCCGCAUUCAUGAGAAGAUAUACACAAAAGAAUUCUUGUUCAUUCUCAUAAUGUGUUUUCAAAUGAAAACUAUUAACGUGAAUGUGUUUAAAGCUCAACAUGGUUCGGUUGCCUCUCAAUGCAUAG